AAUUGUUAGGAAGAUGAUAAUAACAGCUUGUUGGUGUAUACAAGUGCCACCUAACGACCGUCCUUCAAUGAGCAAAGUCUUGGAGAUGCUUGAAACUAAUGUUGAGCUCCUUCAAAUGCCCCCCAAACCUUUUCAACUUCCUUUUGAAGUAUCAAUUGAGGAUCGUGCUGAUGAGAAUCCAAGUGAGGAUCCAACUUCAUCACUUCUUUCUUCGAAUGAAAUUAGCUUAAAUAUAACGUAAGUUAUGAAACUUUUCAUUUUAUUAUGUUAUUUUUGUACUUUGAUAAUAAGAAAAUAUCAUGUCCCUUUAAAACCUAGAAUUUUGUAUUGUAAUUUCCAAACUUGUUUCUGUACUUUGAGCUCUGUUUCUAUGGGUUUUCUUCUUUCGUACCCUUUUUGUAUUUUUUUUUCAUAAUAUCUUUCAUUUGGCUCAUUUGACCUCUGUUUGUUAUUGCCUUUGUUGAGCUUAACCUUCCCCCUCUUUGAAAAGACGGCUUGGAAGAAUUAAAAAUGGUAAUGGAAGCAAGAACUCAAUAAGAAACAAAAUAGGGGCCCUCAAGAAGGUCAUCCGAGAGUUUGGUUUAUCUCGAUUUAAGUUUAACUGUACGUAGAAAUGGAAUGUGAUAAAUUAUUCUGCAAGCAAGAAUUAAUAAAGAAUAAAAAGCAUCGCUUAAUAUAAGGGUAAGUUUGUUAGGAAAAUAUUACAUAGGAUAAAGAAGAAAGAGAUUAAACAUGCAGUUGCAAAUUUUCUUCACUGACCCAAGAAGGAAUGCUCCCUGAAAAAUCAUUGUAUGGCACAUCUCUGACAUCGCAUUAUCAGUCAUGUCAUAACAAGUCUUAAGUUUAUUCGGCAAGAGACUUUAAUGGCAUAAAGAUACUGAUAUGGGCAACAUCAGCUGUACAAUUACAAAAGUUUUCACUGGCAGCCUAAUUCCUUUUUAAAACCUAAACAAAGACUAAGGGUUUAUCAGUAGCUAAUUUCUAUUUGAGUGUUCAAAGUUCAGCAUAUUCAUCAAACUUUCAAAUUAUUUAAAAAAACAGAUUUAACCCUCCUCCAUAUACGGUUCACAAGGAGAACAACCAAAAAAACUAUUAAACCGGAGCAUCAACGCAAAAUAUAGCUCCCAACCAUGAUGGAGCCCUGCUGAAAGUCCCACUUCCGGAACAUCCAAUCAUAAGAAUCUGUCCCUCAUUCAGACUGUUAUGACAUUUAUUGCUAUGAUAUGUAAUACUAUUCACAAUUCUUAGCAUCAAUUCAUAAUUCUUAACAUCAAAUAUGGAUAAAAUUUUUUUUUAAAAAAAGCUUGCUGUUUUGGUAAAUUUGAUCAGCUUUGCUGGAAUUGGGUAGUUUAGUUAAAUGAAUCACUUUAUUUAAAUUAAUCAUAGGAUUAGAGUCUAUCCACUUUAUUAAAUCAUAUUAUGAAUUAUAAUUAAAACCAAAUAAGUUUAAUCCAUUAUUUCAUAAAAAAGAAAAAUAAAUUAAAUAAUGCAAAUAUACACUUUAUUAUUUGAAAAAAUAUAACAUUUUAUACAAUUAUAACUGAGAUUCUAAAUAUCCUUGACAACAUCAUAGGACUGUAUUACUUUGAUAUCUACGAGACGCUAUUAAUGGACUUUGAAAUGUCAUGGCAAUUCUAUGACAUGAGCUGCACUGUCCUCCACAUAUAUUCAUUUCAUAAGAUGAAAGAAUUUUUCAAGCAUUGGAUCAAUACUAUUUUAUUUCGCUGAGUUUUCUUGGGUUUGUUAAAGUUACGAUUGGAAAAAGUAUAAUUAAUUAAAAUCUACAUUUCACUCAAAUUUUUUGAUUAAAUUAAAACAUUUUGAAUCCAUUUGUCAUUAAUGUAAUUAUUUUGAUUCAAUCCAUAUUUUAAUUAAAAUUUUUUAUACUAAUACCAAACAUUAAAACCAUAUUGUACAUAGUUAGGAUCUUCAUUUUACUCCAUUUUUGUUUAAAUUAAAACAUUUUGAAUUUAUCUUUCAUUGUAAUUAAUUUUGAUUAUGGAGGAAUUAAUAUUGGGUGAUCAUUUUGGACCACCUUAUUUUAAUUUUGGGUCUAUUUGGCUGGCAACUGGCAAGGAAUGAAAAUAACUUAUCUGAAAAUUGUCUCACUUCUCUGCAAGUGAUUUGAUUUAAUUCAAGUUAUAGCCCAAGAAGUCGCUUGCUCUUUUCUCCAACAUUAAUGAUAUUUCUUUGGAUCCACUCUCUAAAAUUGACAGGAUCAAUGGUUUUUCUAAUCCAAUAAAUUUGUACUUUUUGUAUCUCAUUUUAUUUUCUUCGAAAAAUAGGAAGAAAUUUCCUAAAGAUAUUUUUCAAGAGCUUGACUAAUUGGUUAAACUGUUUUCCACAUUGGCUUUAAUUUUUCGACAGUGACUUGCUCUCAUUUACUUAAUCCAAACGAACAAAAAGAAAGAAAAAUGUUUUCUUUCUUGACCCACUGCUGGUCCUCGGAAAACAAGAAGAAAAUUCCUAAAGAUAUUUUCCAAGAGUUUGACUAGAUUUUUCAAAUGAUGACUUACUCUCAUUUACUUAAUCCAAAAAAAUAAAAAAUGUUACUGUGGUUCUAUAAUUCCGCGACAUCCUUGACUUAAAGCUUGUUUAGCCUCCGUCGCUUCUUCUUCCGCACCCAAAUUUGCAUCAUGCCAAAACCAAAAGCAGAAUUUCCAUUAUUUGCCCUCAUUGCCCUUCCUCUUAUUCUAUUCCCUGGCCCUGCAACAUAUAUUAUAUCUCUCGUUAAAAAUAUUUAUACUAAUGCAUUUUAAAGGAUUUUUCUUCAAAAAGAAGAGUAAUUUUAUCAAGAAUUGUUGGGGAUAUCUAUCUUGAUUACUUUUGUUACAUAUAAAUUGCAAAAGAGACAUUUAUCUGUAAAUAAUACAAUUGAAGAUUUUUUUUUUUAAAUUUGAGUAUUUGGUUCAUUAGUUGAUGCAUAAUUUUCCUUCUUAAAGAGUAAAGUUUGAAUCUUCCUUCUCCAAUCCCAAAAACAAAAAAAAUAUUUAAUAUCUAUUAAGUAUUCUUGAUAUGAAGUAAAAGGAUUGAUAGUCGGUGUAUUGCCUUCAAGAUGGACAAGAAGAGGCAAUAGUUGAUUGUAGAGAAGCUCGAGAGUUUGGGAGCAACUUAUGAUGAUUUCACCAACUCCUUGCCUUCUAAUGAAUGCCACUAUUCUGUCUUUGAUUAUAAUUUCACUACAAAUGAGAAUUGUCAAAAAAGUAAGAUUUUCUUCUUUGCAUGGUAUAUGAAAGCGAAAAAGAAAAACCCAACGCCUUGUUUUUCUUCGUUCAAUUUUGAAAGAUUGUUACAAUUAAAACGGCUGCAAUGUUGUUUGUGGUAUAGGUCACUUGACACAUGAAGGGUGAGGACUAAGAUGCUUUAUGCGAGCUCCAAGGACAAGUUCAAGAGACAGUUGGAUAGCAUUCAAGUUAAGUUGCAAGCGAUAUAUCCAACUAAGAUGAGCUUGGACAUCGUCAAAGGACAAGCCCACUAAUUCCAUAUAACUACUUCCAUUCAAGGCAUUUUCCUUCUCAAUCUAUAGUCUUUAUUUGGGAGAGUUAUUCCCCUGUUUUUAAUUUUCUUUGUAUCUCAAAUAAUCCUCAGUCUAACUGAUAAUAUAUAACGGUAGGAGAACUGCCCCUGUUUUUCUAGUUUUCAUCAUGAUUACAUCUGUAUAUCUCCUAAAUUAUCAUCGUGGAUGAUUUUAUAUUUUAUUCUAGAAGUUAAUAUUACUCAUAGUCUUUUUAUUUUUGUUAAAAUAAGUAAACAUCGUUAAUUUUGAAAGUAAUAUAUGACUGUUAGGGAAUCCGCCUUCUAUUUAAUUAAUUGGGACAAAUUUUUUAUAUGAUAUGUUGAAUCAUGGGCAAUGGUAAUUAAAUUUUAAUUUGGUACCAAUGACCAUGAAAAUGAAACAAAAAGAGAGGUUUCUAUUGCUUCUUAGCUUUGAGUUUCUUCCAAUAUUCAGUUUGCCACUCCUCCACUUGCCUGGUUAUUUUCUCAUUUUUGUUGAGAGAAACUUGAAGAGCUUGAGGUUCAUAAGGGAGAGGCAACGCUCAUGGAAUUAUCUUUCCUAAGUAAAAGCAAUAUAUAAAAAACGAAAAAAAAAGAAAUAAUGCGAGAAAAAAAAGAAUUUCUUUUGGGGGAUCUAAUUGCUAGAUGGGAGCCAAUUUGUCACGAUCCAGACCCAAAUCUGGGGUCGUGACCGACGUACGAGUUCAGCAAGCGAGGCUCACAAGGUCUGAGGAAGCCUCCAAACACAAUUAUGCAGAAGUACAAAUGAUCGUAUAUAACCAUAGAUCAAACCAAAAAUGCACAACAGCUUUACUUAUAUAACAGAAGUUCUAAUCUUUUACAGCAAAAAUGCACGCUGACACUUGUUUCAACACCUCGUUGUGCUUAAUCAAAAAUAGAAAUGCAACCACGCAACAUAUACAGAAGUUGCCAUAACUUGGCUAACAUGGUGGGUCCAAUAGUUGAACAGAAUCAAAUGUUAACAGCGUACUUACAAAACCGGAACAUGUUAUAAGUUUAGAACCAUAACAAGAAUGCGAAAACAGACUCUAACUCAACGGAGUGGACUGCUAGAUGAACAUGCCUACCAGAUACUAAUUUUCAAUCUACGAAGCGGGCGUUAAUUACGCACUUCCCACAUGGAAAUCCCCAGUUGUUAAUUGUUUUCACAAAUAAAGGGGGUGAAUCUCUUACUAAUUUAGUGAGUGAGAGUAGAAGGAAAUCAAGCCAAAAACGAAAGAAUAUUUUUUUUUUAAUAAAAUAGAUAGUUCAAAAGUAUGCCAGAUAAUGCAUUCGUAAUGCAAGCAGAGCUAUGUACAGGACAUCUCCAAAUAGGCAAACUUCAUAUAUCUAUGGGAGUCAUCCCACUAUCUCAUAUCACAUAAUCAUAGGUUCUGCUAUCACCAAUAUUUCUCCUCCGAUCAUAUAAUUCAUGGUACAAUAUACACCAAAUAAUUAGUAUUCAACUUUCAGCUUACUAGCCUUUCAUAUCACAAGUCAUCCCCUUAGGGUGCAUGUUGCGAUUUGAUAGGUUUUAGCAAUAAACAAAUAAAGGUAGGAAGAGCAGAGAAUGAAGGAUCUGAAAAAAUAAUUGGUGAGCUCAAAAACAGAGGCUCUCACACACUUUCAUCUAUUCAUUUUCACCUUUAUAUACUGACUAAUUAACAAGAAAUAACCAACAAAUUAACAACCGUAGAGAAUCUCGAAGAAAGAGAAUGAAAUCUGUUAGCUGUGCACUGAAAUCCAUGUAUUGGUUUCAAUGCCAGGCAACAGCUACAAAUGGGAAAGAAAACACUUGGCUUAACAACCAGCAAACAUCAAAAACGACACUUACAAGCUGUGUUUAACACAGUAAAACAAGAAACGACAUAUGCUAAAGUCGUAUUACAAAAACAGAAAGUAAAUAUAAAUGAAACGACACAAGGCUUGGCGUAUUGGCUGCUGAAGUGAGAAAAUGACACUGUACUACUCAUCCCUCUUCUUCCUCUUCCUUCUUCAGCCUCUGACUUUUCCCACCAAGUCUGCUCCUUGAAUUUCCAGAAUUGUGAUCAUCUUCCAACAGACCCCCUUGAUCACAAAUCUGGUAAACACCCAAACAAGACCUCAAGAAUUCAAAUCUGUCUCUACACAAACCUUUAGUCAGAAUAUUAGCAAAUUGUUGAUCAGUUGGAUAGUAAUGAAUAUCAAUUUCAUUGUCUUUUACUGCCUCUCUAAGAGCAUGAUAGUUAACCCUUAUGUGCUUGGUUCGACCAUGCUGAACAGGGUUCUUUGCAAUAGCUAUGGCUGAUUUGUUGUCAACUUUAAGCACUGUGCCCUUAGUUUGAGGAAAUUCCAAGUCAACUAAUAUCUUCUUGAGCCACUAGAUAUGAUUUGUAGCAGCUGAAAUAGCAAUUCACUCAGCCUCAGCUGAGGAUUGAGCUACCACUUCCUACUUUUUUGAAUUUCAGGAAAACAUACCACUACCAAAUGAAAAACAAAAUCCCCUAGUGCUCUUUGAAUCAUCAAGUGACCCUGCCCAGUCACUAUCUGUAUAUCCUUGAAGUUCACCACUGUCAAACUUACUGUACUUGAUUCCAUAGUUCACCGUACCUUUGACAUAUCUCAACACCCUCUUAGCUGCUUUGAAAUGUGUUUCAGAUGGUGACUGCAUGAACCUCGAUAGCAAGCUAGUUGAAAACAUAAUGUUAGGCCUUGUAGUUGCUAGAUACAGUAGUGACCCUAUUAUACUUCUAUAGACUAGACCAUUAGCCUUAUCUGCUCCAUCAUUCUUAAUCAGUUUAUCCCCCACAGCUAAUGGUGUAUAAACUGGUUUACAAGACUCCAUCUUAAACUUCCUCAACAAAUCUCUGGCAUACUUAGCCUGGUGAAUCAUGAUCAGCUCAUUAGUUUGAAAAAUUUCCAUACCAAGGAAGUAUCUCAUGAACCCUAGAUCAGUCAUUUUAAAUUUAGUCAUAAUUUGAGCUUUGAAUUUCUCUAGGUAUACUGCAUCGGGCCUUGUUAACAAAAGAUCAUCCACAUAAACAGCUACUAUAAACAUCACUGAGUCAUUAGACUUCUUCACAUAAAGAGUAGGUUCUGUCAUGCUUUUGAUUAAGCCUUGAGCUCUAAGAUAGUUAUCCAACCUUUCAUACCAGGCUCUAGGUGCUUGUUUUAAACCAUAUAAAGCUUUAAUACACUUACAGACUUUUCCUUCAGCUCCUUGCUUCACAUAGCCUUCAGGCUGCUUUAUAUAAAUAUCUUCAGUUAAGAUUCCAUUAAGAAAAACAGAUUUCACAUCCAGGUGAUUGAUAUUCCAUCCUUCUCUUGCAGCUAGAGUAGCUAGCAAUCUUAUAGUGUCAUGGUGAGCCACAGAAGCAAAAGUUUCAAAGUAGUCUGUUCCAUAAGUCUGUGCAUAACCCUUUGCCACCAAUCUGGCUUUAAAUUUGUUUACAGAACCAUCAAGAUUGAGUUUGGUUCUGUAAAUCCAUUUAACUCCAAUAACUAGAUGAUCAUUAGGUCUGUUAGCUAGACACCAAGUUCCAUUCUUCUCGAUCAUAUUCAACUCAACAUUCAUUGCUUCCCUCCAGUUUGCAUCUGCACUUGCCUCCUUAUAGCUACCAGGAUCUGCAAUUGCUACAUUGCAUUUGUUGUAUAUGUCCUGAAGGGUUUUGGUCCAUCUAACAGCCAAAGACUCAUCCUUAAUAUCUUCCUCAUCAUCAGACUCACCUUGCACUGGAUCAGUAGACAGAUUCAAGUUACCAGGACCUUCAAUUAUAGCUUUGUCCCAAUUCCAAGUUGAAUUUUCAUAACACUUUAUAUCUCUACUGAACAUCACUUUCUUACUCACCACAUUGUACAAUUUAUAUCCUUGAUGACAUUACUGUACCCAAUUAGAAUAGUAACAACACUCUUCUCAUCCAGCUUGGAUGUUCUCUCAUCUGGCACUUUAGCAUAGCAUAUACAACCAAAUACCUUUAAGUGUGAUACUGAGGGCUUUCUAUCAAACCAACAUUCAAAAGGAGUCUUCUGAUGCAAAGUUCUAGUCUGACUUCUAUUCAAAAUGUAAUUAAUUAUGUUAACAGCUUCUGCCCAAAACAUCUUAGGCAAAUUCUUCUAAAACAGUAGACAUCUGGCCAUUUCCAUGAGAGUUCUAUUCUUCCUCUCAGUAAUUCCAUUAUGUUGAGGAGAAUAUGUAACUAUCAAUUGAUGCAUAACCCCUAGCUUGGACAGAAAACCUUCAAAUUCAGCUGAGGUAAAUUUUGUACCAUUAUCACUUCUUAGAGUUUUAAUGGUUGACUCAACUUGAUUUUCAAUAGUGUUUCUGAACCUCACAAAGUUGCUAAGGGCUUCUGAUUUGAUUUUAAGGAAAUAGAUCUAGCAAAACCUAGUCUAAUCAUCAAUGAACAGAAGAUAAUACUUACUGCCCCCAAGUGAACUAGUCUUCAUAGGACUUUCAAUGUCUGUAUGAACCAGCUGAAGCUUCCCAAUUGCUUUCCACUUUUUCUCCUUUAGAAAAGGCAAUCUGCACUGCUUACCAUACCGAUAGAUGCUACAAACCAUACCAGGUCUUGUAAUUUCAGGCAAGCCUUCAACCAGCUCUUUAGUUGCCAUGUCUUACAGGGAUUUGUAGUUAAUGUGCCCUAACCUUCUGUGCCACAGCUCAGAGUCAGGCACUACACUGAGGAAGGCCCUUUGAUCUGUAAGUUUCCAGUCAAUGGGAUAACAUUUAUUUCUCAUCUCCACUAUUAACAUUUCCCUACCCUUAGGAUCAAAGAUAGUGCAUAAUUUAUCUUUGAACAAGAGUGUAUAGUGAUUUUCAGUUAGCUGCCCUACACUCAACAAAUUUUGACUUGCAUCAAGAACAAAAUAAACAUUAGGAAUAUACCUGUUGCCAUCCUGAGUCUCCACAACAACUAUUCCUAUGCCUAAGAUCUUCAUGAAUGAACCAUCACCAAUCUCAACUCUAGCUCUGUAGCUUCUGUUGCUAGUAGUGAACUGUUCUAUAUCUCUUGUCAGAUGGUUAGAGCAAGCAUUGUCUAUUAGGCACACAUUCUUCUUUGCUGAUCUCCCUGUUUCCUGAACCAUGAAAAGUACUUCAUCUGAGCUUUCAUUCUUCUCAGCAAUUGUAGCUUUUUCAUCCCCACGAGUCUCUUUGUUUUUACAUACUCUUUCCACAUGGCCAAGCUGAUUAUAGGACCUACAUUUUACAUUAAGCUUGUACCAGCAAUACUUAGGUGAAUGAGUAGUCUUCUUACAAUGAGAACAUGGAGGAUACUUAGUCUUCUAUUUUCCAAUCUUCUCCUUCACUGUUUUCUUCCCUUUUUCCUUCUUUUCAGAUUCAUUCUUCUUCGAGCUAUUACCUCCAAUCUUCAAAUCUUUUGUUUUGGCAACCAAGGCACUAUUGAGAGCAUUUUUCUGCCUGAAUGCUUUUCUUUGUUCAAGAGCUUCUAAGGCAUUCACAAACUCUUUCAGAGUAAUCUUUUCCAUAUCCUUAGAAUCCUCUAAUGAGGAAACUUUGGAUUCAUACUUUUUUGGAAGGUUGACAAUCAUCUUUUGAACUAACCUGUCCUCAGUUAUAACUUUGCCUAAUAAUCUCAACUGAUUCACCAAUGCCAUCAUUUUAUCAAAAAACUCCCUAAUUGAUUCGUCCUCCUCUAUUGUCAGCAUUUCAAAUUGUCUAAACAGAUUCAAUGUUUGAAUCUGUCUAGUCCUAUCACUUCCAAAAAAUUCAUCUCUCAAGUGCUCCUAUACAUCCUUAGGAUUGUCUAAAUGCAUAAUCCUAGUGAAAACUUCAUCAGACACAACAGAAUGUAAAGAUGAUAAAGCUUUAUACCUCCUUGCCUUGUCUUCUUCAAACUGUCGAAUCUGAGCUAAGGUGGGAUUGGUAUGCCUCUAAGCCGGGUCCUCUCCAGUCUCCACAACCUCCUAGAUACUCAAUGCCUUGAGGUACGCUUUCAUCUUCAUUGACCAGAUUGCAUAGUUCUCACCAUUGAACACUGGUAAAGAAGCAACAUUAAAUCCUGAUGAAGCCAUUAUUAAACCUUGCAGAAAAGAACAAAUAAUUACUUCAACUAACAGAGGAAGAAGAUAACAUCACAAUCCCUUAAGAUCACUAAUACAGCUCUGAUACCAUGUUGCGAUUUGAUAGGUUUUAGCAAUAAACAAAUAAAGGUAAAAAGAGCAGAGAAUGAAGGAUCUAAAAAAAUAAUUAGUGAGCUCAAAAACAGAGGCUCUCACACACUUUCAUCUAUUCAUUUGCACCUUUAUAUACUGACUAAUUAACAAGAAAUAACCAACAAAUUAACAACCGUAGAGAAUCUCAAAGAAGGAGAAUGAAAUCGGUUGGCUGUGCACUGAAAUCCAUGUAUUGGUUGCAGUGCCAAGCAACGGCUACAAACGAGAAAGAAAACACUUGGCUUAACAACCAGCAGACAUAAAAAACGACACUCACAAGUUGUGUUUAACACAGUAAAACAAGAAACGACAUAUGCUAAAGUCGUAUUACAAAAACAAAAAGUAAACAUAAAUGAAAUGACACAAGGCUUGGUGUAUUGGCUGCUAAAGUGAGAAAACGACACCGUACUACUUAUCCCUCUUCUUCCUCUUCCUUCUUCAACCUCUAACUCUUCCUACCAAGUUUGCUCCUUGAAUUUCUAGAAUUGUGAUCAUCUUCCAACAGACCCCCUUGAUUACAAAAAACUUUCCAUCAUAGCAGAGAAUAUAUUGACAUUAUGUUCAUGUAGAAUUAUAUUCUUUCUGCUUCUUGAAAUAGAGAUAUAAACUUCAACAUAACUAAAAAGAAAAUUCUCAUACAUCUAGGUAGGUAUAAGAUUACAUUUACAAGUGCGAUAAGUCAUUUUUCGUACCAAACAAUGCUUGAUCAAGGCUGUUGUUUGAGAGAUAUUCAUAAACAAGGAGUCUUUCAUCUCCCUCAAUGCAGCACCCAUACAGCCUCACAAGAUUGCGAUAUUGAACAGCAGUUAUAGUUGCAAUUUCUACUGCAAAUUGAUCUCUCCCUUGGUGGGAUACUUCAAACAAUUUUUUUAUAGCAACAGCUCUCCCAUCUCCAAGAAUCCCCUGUACAUCGAGUACAUCUUUUAUUGAUAAAAAUGAAGUAUAAUAAAGAUGUAACAGUACUUUUAGUUCAUUAAUUAGUUAUCUUCCAUUAUUAAGUGCUGCACCUGACUGGGGAGAAAAAUAGUUCUUGUAGUUCACUACUCGUACUGGUUUGUGGUGAAUGUUUGGUUGAGUUAGAGGCUGCACGAUCAAACUGGACUACACCUAGUGAUUCGCAACUAUUCUUUCCCAAUUACACUAACUUUUAUGAUUUCUUUAUUAAAGAGGUGAUUAAAAGAAAUCUCGUAUAAGUUAAAUCUGGGUUAUUAUAAGCAACAUAAAUGUAAUAAAGGAUCAUUGCACUUAUUGCCAAAUGGUUUUAGAUUCUAUGUCUAUCCUAAAAUUUAAUAUAAUUUGAGAAUAAGUACCUUUGUAAUAGACGUGUUAUCAAAUUAGUUUUGAGUUUUUUGGUGAUUUGACAAGUAGGCGCUGUGAGCACUGUAUAUUUAGUGUAAAGAUAAGGAGAUUGAGGGUCUCAUUUCACCUAUAGCAAAAGAAAAGGAGCAGUGUGACAAGAUUACAAAAUGGGAUAUCUAGUUCUGAAAGUUGAAUACAUCGUUUUCUCCUGGUUGGUCUUUAGUUAGAACGAUGGCUCACCUUUUUUUUUAUUUUUUAAAGGCAAUGACUCACCUUAUAAACAUGUCCAAACCCUCCCUGUCCUAGCUUAUUUGAUGGACUGAAAUCUUCAGUGGCAAUUUUUAGUUCAGCAUAAGCAAAUGCUUGUGGCGUAGCGUCCAUAUCGAUUAGUUCUUUAUGUUUGACGGUAUUUAGCAUCUUUCCCCUCUUCUGGUGAAUAUAAACAAUUGCCAAAACUGAUAGACAAGUUAUAGUAACGUCAAGAAUAGUACUCAGAAUUAUCAGCCUUGUCUUCACACGUUUUGGAGGCUUGAGCUUGUUAAUUGUGGGAACAAAAUCUGCAACGAAUUAAAAAUCUACCUAUCAACAAAUAUACUCCACAUAAUUAAUGGAGUCCUUAACUUUCAACCAUAUAAUUGCACUGAAUCAUGAAAUACUUGGAGUAGCACUAAUUGCUGAUACAGUAGGUCCAUAUGUACCUUGAGCAGGCAUGCAACAAGUCCCCUUUCCAGCCUAAAACAGAUGAAUUUCGAGGUAGUUUUUUGAUACCUUGGCCAUGAAUUGUUUUGGAACUGCUUGGAAUAAGGCCUUAUUGGCUUCCUUUCGGAUGUCAAAACCCUUUACUCAAGCUCUCCCUGCAGAUAAAUUGAAAACAUGUAUAGUAACUUAUAACCUUAAAGCUUCACAUGAUUAAAUAAGUAGAUGAAUUGUGCUAGCUUUAGGAUGAAAAUAAGCACCUGAAUAUAGAUGUCAAAAACUCGCCUCCCUACAUUUAGACCAAAACACUUUCCAUAUACUGUCAUUCAAACAAAAUUUAGUUCCUGUUUCAUUUUUAGAUACUCCUGAUUAUGCUCUUGAUAUUAUGGAUUCAAUUGUUAAGAUAAUUUUUGAUUCAAAGGAUUUUGGUUUGUGUUCUUUAACUCAAGGAUUAUAUUGAUUGUGUUUGGCUCCUACUAAUAUUUAUGCCACCUUAUAUAAUGUCGAAAGAGUUGCCAAAAGGUCCUACGUAAAGGAAACAUCUUCCAUGCUAUGACAUAAAAGGUUUGGGCACAUCUCCAAAGAAACAGUGGAAAAGAUGAUAAAGCAUAACAUCUUUCCUACUCUUAUUUUUAAAGACUUGGAGACAUCUUUUGAUUGUUAUAGGGACAAGAUGACAAAAAUAAAAGGAAAAAGGUCACAUAGAAGUUUCAAUCUCUUCGAACUUAUUCAUACUGACAUAAGUGAACCAUAUACUCCUACCAUUUACAAUCAUAGAUAUUUUGUAACCUUCAUUGAUGAUUUUUCUCGUAAUGGUUAUAUGUUCCUAAUUAAAAAAAAAUUAGAAGCUCUUGAUAAAUUUGAAAAUUUUAAGACUAAAGUUGAAACAAUUGGGAAAUAUCAUUAAGGUUGUCAAAUUUAAUAGAGGUGGUCCAUAUUAUGAUAGACAUGACACAAUUAGACAACAAAAAGGUCCAUUUUCAAAUAUUUAGAGAGUUAUGGAAUAGUGCCCCAUUAUACUAUGCUUGGUAGUCAUGAAUAAAAUGAUGUGGUUGAAAGACGAAAUUGCACUUUAAAGGAUAUGAUGAGGAGUAUGAUGAGUGGAGCUGAUUUACUUGAAUUCUUACGGGGAGAAACAAUUAAAACAACAUUGUACAUCUUAAAUAGAGUUUGCACCAAGUUGGUGCAUAAAACCCCUUAUGAAUUAUGGACAAGACAAAAUCCUAGUCUUAAUCAUUUACAUGUGUCUUUAUGAUCCUAAUGAGACUAAGAUACAAUAUCGAUCCGCUCAUUGUUAUUUUAUUGGGUACCCAAAUUGGUCCAUGGAUUAUAGAUUUUAUUGCUCAAAUAGAAAUGGUAAAAUUAUUAAGGCAAAAAUAACUAAAUUUAUAGAAUUAGAUGUGGCUGAUACUAGUUGCUAUAAAGUUAAAGAUGUAAAAGAACAUAUUGAGAUAGUAAGAAUUCCUAUAUCUAUUCAGAAAGAUAUUGUUGUGCAUACAGAAGUUGGGGAACAAGAACAAGUACAACUAAUUCUUAAUGUAGUCCUUCAAAAUCAAAAUAUUGUAGAUGAACCACAAAGAAGAUCCACUAGGAUAAGGAAGCUUGCUCUUUCUUUUGACAUAUAGGAAUUCUAUCUUGGAAAGGGUGAUUAUGAUAUUGGUCAUGUAGUUGAUCUAGUAACUUUUUCAAAAACUAUUUCUAGUCCUUAAUUAGAUUUGUGGCAGGAUGCAAUGUGCAAUGAGAUACAAUCUAUGUCAUAUAAUAAUGUAUGGGAACUUGUUGAGCUACCAUUGCAAACCCAUAGGUUGUAAAAUGGGUAUACAAGACCAAGAAAGAUUCCAAAGGAAAGAUUGAGAGGUUUAAAGCUAGAUUGGUUGUCAAAGGUUUUACACAGAGAGAAAAAAUUGAUUAUAAUGAAACAUUUUGUUCUAUAUCGUUUAAAAAUGUUUUUAAGAUUAUCAUGGCACUAGUGUCUCAUUAUGAUUUAAAGCUACACCAGAUGGAUGUUAGGACUACCUUUCUAAAUGGAAAUCUUGUUGAAAAGUGUCUAUAUGUUUUAGCUUGAGGGAUUUAAGGAAGAUGGCAAAAAUCAUUUUUUGUGAAGACUUCAAAAGUCUAUUUAUAAGCUUAAACAAGCUUCUCGCCAAUGGUAUCUUAAAUUUGAUGAAGACAUCACCUCCUUUGGUUUUGUUGAGAGCAAGGUAGACAAAUGUAUAUAUCACAAGAUCAGUGAGAGUAAGUUUGUCUUUCUUAUUUUGUAUGUUGAUGAUAUCUUACAUGCAAGUAGUGAUUUAAGGAUGCUAAAAGAGACUAAGAAAUUAUUGUCUAGCCAAUUUGACAUGAAAGAUAUUGGGGAAGCAUCUUAUGUUCUUGGAAUUGCAAUCUAUAGGGAUCGAUUUUGUCACUUAUUGGGACUCACUCAGAGUGCAUACAUUGAUCGAGUGUUAAAUGGAUUUUCCAAGCUUGAUUGUAAAAAUGGAGAUGUGUCAGUUGUUAAAGGUGAUAAAUUAAACUUGGCACAAUGUCUAAAAAACGAUGUUGAGAGGGAGUCAAAUGAAAGCAAUACUAUAUGCUUGUGCAGUAGGAAGUUUAAUGUAUGCCUAAGUGUGCACAAGGUCAAACAUUACCUUUACAAUGGGUCUUUUAGGAAGAUACUUGUCUAAUUCGAUUAAAGAUCAUUGUGAAGCUGUAAAGAAGGUGAUGAGAUACUUGAAGAAAACCAAGGACUAUAUGCUAAUUCAUUAAAAUGUUGAAUACCUUAAGCUAGUGGGUUAUAUGGAUUCAGACUUUACCAGUUGUUCAGAUGAUAAGAAAUCCAAAUCAGCAUACAUCUUUAUGUUAACAACUGGUGCAAUAUCUUGGAAAAGUGUAAAACAAACACUUAUGACCUCAUCCACUAUGCAAUGGUGCAGCUAUAGAAGAAGUUUGGUUGAGAAAUCUUAUUAAAGAAUUAUUUGUGGCUAACUCUAUUGCUAGAACCAUACAAUUGUACUAUGAUAAUGCUGCAGCAAUUAUGUUUACUAAUAAUAAUAGGAAUAUCACAAUGGCUAAGCAUAUAGAGAUAAAGUAUUUGAAAGUUAAAGAACUUGUGAAAAAUGGUGACAUUGUAGUAGAACAUAUUGGAACUAAUGAUAUGAUUGUUAAUCCUCUGACCCAAGUGCUACGCACUAUCACCUUUAAGAAAUAUGUUUUUAACAUGGGUGUUUUAGACUCUUUUGAUGUGCUUGGUUAGUGGGAGGAUUUGACAUUGUUCUAUUUUAAGCUUUUGCCAUGUGUGUAAAGAAAUAUUCCAACCCUUGACCAUUAAUCUCAUGCUCCUAUCCUAAAUGCCCUACAAUUAUUGAAAUGUAGAAAGAAAAUUAAAUAAGAUAAAAUAAUAAAGAUAAACAAACCAAGUAAAUAAAACAAAUGUUAUUUUUUAUUUUUAAAAUUAAGGGAAAUAAAGUUGGAUAUUGAAUCAUAAUUAAUUAAGGCUUGAGAUAACACAUAAUUAAUUACUAGCUUGUCUCUCGAAGUCCUAAGUGGAGUCUCCAAGCUAUUGUAAUGUGCGGGUCUUGGAACCCUGAUCGCUAGAUGUGGAAAAACUGGGAGUCGCCACCGAUCUUUUUUAUCUAGGUGCUAUUGGCCACUUACUAAAUUUGUUCCAUUCAAUGAAGUCUUAAACUGGUUUUAGGUUCAUCUAAGAAACAAUAGUUUGGUCUGUGAAUUUUUAAAGUUCGGUUCGGGAGUACGAUUACACAUGAGGAAGGAUUAACACUUCCGUAACGCCCAUUCCACGAAUAGUACCAUCUAAUCCUAUGUUAUCCUAUAGAAGCCUUAAUUUUUAAAAUUAUUUCAUUGUGUUUUCUUAAUCAUUAUUUGUUUAUUCUAGUAAAUCAUGUUACAACCUAUUGUUGUGUCGUGCACCUGAUGCAAUCAUAAAAUGCAUGUCAUAAACAUUGGUAAAAUGUCAAAUGAAAACCUAUUAUUGAGAUUAUUCCCCGAAUCUGCCUAUCAAAUUGACAGGACUCAAGGAUAAUCUCUCACCUAGGGAAUCACUCGAGAAAGCUUACCUUCACAAGUUUAUCAGGUAAAUCCCAUCAUCAGAGUAAUCAUUCGUAUUUAAAAAUAAUAUUUUUGUGGAUGCAAACCAUAAUACAAGCGAAAGCUUUUUAUUUAAGACAUUCUCUGGGCCCUCCCAUCGUACUAGUGGGACUCAAAGGUGUCCUUUCACCUUGAGAAUUUACCGAAAGAACUCACCUUUACAAGCUCCCUCGAAAAGUUUUAUUAUCGAAGCCUUGACUCGUACACAAAAUACGUCUACAUGCCAUGACAUUUAGCGAUGCAGUGAUGAUGUGUAAUAUACCUGUAAAUUGCAAUAUUUAUUUCUUAACCUUCCAACAACUCUUUUGUUAUUUCUUUCAAACUUCAUUUUUCAUUAUUCAUCUUUGUGUGCAUACACAUCAUAAACAUUUUUUAUUUAUUAUUUUUUAUCUAACUAUAUUUUUUAUUUUUUAUUAUAUCUUUUUUAUAUUUAAGUAUUCACCUAUAGAGAUUUCCUUUUACUUAAAUACUAUUUUUUAAACCGAAUAUUUUACUUCAUAAUUACUAUUGUUUAUGUGUAUUUUUUGUAACUCAAUUCCUUUCCUAUUCUUUUAUUAACCUAACCUAUCUCCUUUUUGUCUAACUAUCUUUUUAGCUUUUCAUAAAUCUAUUCUUCGUAACUAGAUUAUUUUCUUUUUAUAUUUUAAUUGUAUUCGUUAUUAUUAUGGGUUUAUCAUCUCUGAAAAUUUUAUUUUUAUUUAUUUACCAUCAUGAAUAUCAUCAUUUUUCAUUAUUAUAUGUAUUUGUAAAACUAUAUAUAUUUUAUGUAUUUCCCCUCGGUAUAUAUUAUUAUUAUUAUUAUUAUUAUUAUUGUUUUCAUUACUUCAUUAUUUCUUUUUGUAUAUACAUUUUGUUUGGUUAAUAACCAGGUAAAUGUCUUUUUCCAUAUAUUUAGAAUUGUAAACAUCGGGACUCGAAACCCUCCCAUCAUACUGAUGGGGUUUUAAUCGAAAUCUUUAAUCUAGAAAAACUCAUUCGGGAUGGCAACUUCUCACAUACCAAACGAAUAUUCCAUCAUUGGUCCCAUCUAAGUACGUAAUAAGAUUAUGCUCACUAUUAGUGCUAUGUAUAUUUUCGUUACCUAAAAUAUUCUACUUUCCUAACCAUUAAUAUUACCUACGUCUUAAAUAAUUAUGGAUAUUAUUUACUUUCCAUAUGUGCAUUAUUCUAUUUAUUAUUAUUAUUUAUUUAUUUUACCUAACUAAAUCUACAUAUAAGAUUUUUACUACUAACAUUUACUCAUUCUUUUUUUAUAUGUAUAUUUUUAUCUAUCUAAGUCUAUAAAAUUGUUUACUGGAUAUUUUAUUUAUUUAUUUAUUUCUUUUAGUCAAAUAUUUAUAAAUUAUUUUUCUACCUAUAGUUUUCUGUUUUUUUUAUAUAUAUAUUUUUAUGUUCUUACCCUAAACUAAAUAUAUAUAUACACACACAUAUGUUCUCAAUUACUAUUAUCAUUCGUAUUAUUACUAAUAUUAUUUUAACCACUAACUUCAAAUAAAACUAAAAACAAACCUUUUAAAUAAUAAAGCCUAAUUUAAAUUAAACUAACAAGUUAAAUGGCCUAACAAACAUAAAAAACAAUGUAAGCCAACUCAAUGAAAUAACCCAAAUAACCAAGUCAAAAAAAAAUCCAUACCAAGUUUGGACUGUUAAAGCCCAAAGUCCAAUGAACCCAAUAGCUCCCCCUAGGUACCUCUAAAACGAGUCCGUUUUACCUCUCCACCCUUAGGUAAAAAAAGUUUUUCACCUCUUCCUUUCAUUUUCCUCUCUUAUUGUCUCUCCCUACUUGGCGGCACCCCUUCCUGUCUCUCUAGUCGAAAACCACGGCCCCUCUCUUCACUCUCUCACCACCGUUCGCUCUCCCCUUUCUUUCACCGCCGUUCACCUUCUCCGAGACUCUUCCUACCCAAGAAAAAAUCAUUUUUUUCUUUCCUUCCCGAAACCUAAUGGUGCUUCUCUUCCUAAAACGAUUUCCCCAAAAGCUUCAAAACCCACUUACCCCACCACGCGCUGCCUCCCAUUUGCUUUUUGAUUUUUAGUAUUGUUUUUUAUUUUUUUGGUGGUUGUGGUAUCUCACCAGUUGGUAGAGGUUAGGGUAUUUUUUCUUUUACAGGGCUUUAGGUUUUUAGCAAAGACUUCUAGGGUUUUCGAAAUAGAAAAUUUUUAGGGUUUUUCAUAUAUUUUUUGAAAGCUAGCUUCUCUCGUUUUUUUUUUUUUUUUAAAUCCGGCCCCUCCUUUUAUAAACGGGGGAUGGAUUUUCAAAAUCCUUCCUCCCUGUUUGCUGCCAAUGGUAGCGUCUCAGGGCUUACGUGCUGCCAAUGGUAGCGUCUCAGGGCUUACGUGCUGCCAAUGGCAGUGGCCAAACCCUUGACUUUUUGAAAUCGACUUUUUCUUGCCACAAUUUGAGGGAAGGGGAAAAGUGGCGUAAAUCGUCAAAAGGAAGGAAGCUUAGCCAAAGUUGACAUGCUUUGGGCCAUUUUUUCUUUUCACAAUGUGAAGGAAAGGGGAAAAGUGGGGUAAAUCGGCUUAACCAAAAUUGAUAUGCUUUGGGAGAAAGAGGCGCUGAUUCAAUCUUGGGAAAGGAGAAGGUAGACUCCGAUGGCAGUCCAGCCUUGGCUGGCUACCACAGCAGCUGCCUCGACUGCCAUGCCAAGCAUGGCAGCAAAUCAUGAUUUUUCUUCUUCAUUUAUUUAUGAAAUUAAGUAAAAAUGGGUGUCUACACUUAGUGGAAAAGAAGCUUGGAAAUCCACGUCAGGCGGGGAGGGAACAGCAGAAUAUAACAACGUCGGUGGGAAUAGUUCUGCUGGGUUUGAGUCAAGCUGAACUCAGAUGGAAGGGCUUAACAUGUAUGGCAAUGGUGUCGAUAAUGGCUUGGUGAUAAGGAAGAGAGUGAUGGUUGUAGUGGAUCAAAGCUCACAUUGUAAGCAUGCAAUGAUGUGGGCACUUACUCAUGUAGCUAACAAGUGUGAUUUGCUUACUUUACUGCAUGUUAUUUCUCCUAGCCAAAAGAGUCUUCAUCUUGUUCUCCUUACCUUGCUAACUCUCUUGGGUCACUCUGCAAGGGUUGUAAACCCGAGGUUGAAGUGGAAGCACUGGUUAUCCAAGGGCUUAAGCUGGCGACAGUGACGAGCCAAGUGACGAAGCUAGAGAUUUCCGUGUUGGUACUGGGUCAGAAAAGGCCAUCUCCGUUCUUAAACUGGUGGGUCCUUUGGUCCUCACCCUUUCCCACAAGUACACAUUUUCCAUCAUUCAUUCAGAUCUCAGAACCUAUCUCACCCUUUAUUAUCUUGCGAACUGUUUCGUGGUUGCUUUUGCAGUCUCUGCGGGACCAGCAGCUCUGAGGAAGUUGUGGAGCAAUGAAUCAAGGGUGCAGAUUGUUUAACCAUAGGGGCUAGGAAGCAGAGCUAAGGCGUCUGUGGAUACCUUAUUAACACUAGGUGGCAGAAGAAUUUCUGGCUCUUGGCUUAGUUCUAGUUAAUUUUUAUGGACUGUUAUUAACUAAAUAUAUAAAUAUAUAUGAUUCCUAGUUAGAUAACCCAGGAUAGCAUAUAAAAUCACUCUAAUAACAGUAUUAGCUUCUGAUCUAGGCUUCACCUUAUGUAUAACUACUACUGACUAGAUUUUCCUUUGUACCCUUCAUCAUUGCUAUAAAAAAAAAUGAGCAACCCCUGCCUAUGGCUUGCUCUAAUGAAAUUGAGGUCGUUGCGCUUCCCAGAAAAAAAAUAUUUUUGUAAUUUUUUAUUCAGAAUAUACUAAUAAUUUUUUAAAAUAUUUUAAUCUUUCAUUGAAAAUAUAUUAAUUAAUCUUUUUAUUAUUAAAUUUUUUUUCUUUAUCUUUAUAAAUUAUGAUUGCACAUGUCAUUUAGCUUUGAAUAGUUGUUACAUUUAUUAUCCUCUUUUUUAGUUAUUGUUUGAGUUCUCCGGUUUUAUUGAUUACCAUAUAUACAUCACGUUGCAAACUUGACUACGUACAGACAAAAUAGUGAUGAACAUAUCAACCCACUGCUGCCAGUUGAGUUUUUUGUUCAAAACUGUGCCGCAUUAUGUUCUUUAGAUUGUUAUCUACAAAUAGCUACAACAAUAUGCAACUUUGUAAUUAUAGAACUCUAAAAGUGAACCAAUCAUAGUUAUUUUGAUUUGUUCAUAUGUAGCAUAUGACAUCAUACAUGUUAUCCCAAAAAAUGACAAAGUAUAUUUUUAAAUUUCUAUUGUAGAUAAUUAGUUUGCACUGUUUUUAGGGCAACAGUAUUAUAAUCAAUAGUUAACAAAAGAAAUUUUUGCUUGUUCUCUCAUCAUAUCUGUAUAUCAUAAUUGUAAUAUUGCACUCUUGAAUACAUGCGAAUUGGAAAACUCUGAUACAAAGAUUGUAAUCCUGUUGAACUGUAAAUGGAUACAAUUUAUUUCUUUAUGUUUCACGUUAUAAAUUGUAUGAUUUUGUGCUACUACCGACAUGUAUCAAAUAUUUAAUAAUAAAAAUACUUAAAAUUUAUUCAAUCAAAUUGUAAUCCUUACACUAAUUUGCUAUAGUUAGUAAAUAAUUAUAAAAUUAUAUCCAUGAAGACAUAUUGAUACAAACUUUUUUGUAAAAAAUUUGUGAUAAAAUAUUCACAAAAUUUUACAACCCGCUGCAGAGCGAAGGAUGUGAUCUGUAAUUUUAAUAUUAAAAAGAAAUUCAAAAAGGUUAGUUAAGAUUUUCAAGUCAAGCAGCCGAGGGGUCAACAAGGCGUAAAGUAGCAGCCUGAUGAGCCUAAAUCUCAGCUCCCGACGUGUAUGCUGGGCUGGGAUCAUGUGCCUUGCUCAACGGGGUCCUAACUCCUAAUUAUUCGUGACGAAAAAGUUCAGAAAAUCUUGUCCAAGAUCUUCACUAAUUCAUUAAAUUAUUUUCUGGGUUUUAGUUUUUUUAUAAAUAUGAUAAAAAAAUUUGUACGUAUCAUUCUUUUCAUUUCACCUCUUAUUUUUUGUUCAUUUUUCUAAUUUCAUUAAAAUUUCCACUUUAUUCCCAUCGUCCAUUAAAAAAACAAAUCUAUAGACGUGACAAAUAAUAAUAUAAAAAAAGUCAAAACAUAUAUUUAAAAUAUGAGUUUUUAUAGUUAGAGUUUAAAAAAUAAAGGUUGCAUAAAAGGGGUAAUAUAAUAAAUGUUAAUAUCUUCUUAGAAAAUCAAGAAAUUUCGCAAAUUUCACUUUAAGAGUUGAAAUUUGAAAUGAAAAUUUGAACCCACCAAAAUCUGUCAUCCAAAUUCCAAGAAUUUUGAUAAUUUCAGUUUUUAUUUUAUCAAAAAAUUAAUUUGACUUUAAAAUUUUAAAACUCUCUUUACAACAAAAAAUCUUUCCUUGAAAUCCUUCAACCAUAAUAAUAGCUUUUUGGUGUAUACAAAUGAAGCCUACUGAUCGUCCUUCAAUGAACAAAGUUUUGAAGAUGUUCGAAACUGAUGUUGAACUCCUCGAAAUGCCUCCCAGACCUUUUCAACUUCCUUCGAAAGCACCAACUUCAUGUUAAAUGUAGUGUAAACUACUGAACGUGUAUUUCAUCAUGUCACCUACAUAAAUUUGUAAUUUUAUGCCUAGCGAUUCAUAAUUUAUCAUACAAUCUUUAUGUAAGAUACUUGUGGGAAACAAUAUCUGCAAAAAAACUUUAUGAUAAAAGAAAUCUUAUUGGUCAAUUUUCCAUUCAGUGAGCGGUAUAAUUAAGUUUAUGCCCCAGUCAAGGUUAAACUUCUAAAGCCCUGGAGGCUUGAAGGUUGUUUGCCGCUCAAGAAACGUCUCCUUUCAAGAAAUUGCAACUUAGAUGCAUGUGGAUAAAAUCUAUGUUUUUAUUGUUGUUUUUCUCAAUUUUUUCCCUUCCCCAAAAUGUGAAUCUAUUCAUCAUUUGUUUUUUUCAUCUUUGUUCUUUAUUUGGGGAGAUCAUCAGCUCCUUGUGUCUGGUGGAGUAAUUAAUAAUGGGUGAUCAUUGUGGCUGGCAAGUGGCAAGGAAUGAAAAUAACUUCUCUGCAAGUGAUUUGUGAUUUAAUUCGAGCUGGACUGAAAUGGUGGAUUAUAGCCAAAGAAAGUGCUUGCAGCUUUCUCCAAAAAAGUCUUCCUAAAAAUUAAUGAUAUUCCUGUGGAUCCACCCUCUAAGUUCUACAGGUCAAUGGUUUUCAGGUCCAUGGAUUGUCAAAAUAAUAUUCUAGAUUAAAUUAUAUAAAAUUCUUUUGCAAAUAAAAUGUAUAUAUAUAAUAUAAAUUUAUUAUUAAAAUAAAAAGUAAGGCAAACUAUUUUCGAAUUCAGUCUGAUAUUUACAUCAUUGAUUAAUAAAUUUUAACAUUUGAAUUAUUUUGGUGCUAUUAUAGAGAGGUCCUACUUAUAUCCACUGCUGGUUUUCGGAAAAUGAAAAGGAAAUUCCUAAAGAUAUUUUUUCCAAGAGCUUGACUUUGGUUUUUCAAACGGUGACUUGCUCCCAUUUAUUUAAAUCCAAAAAAAAAAAAAAAAGAAAAAUGUUUCAGUGGUCCUAUGUUUCCUUGACUUAAAAGCAUGUUUAGCCUCCUUCGCUUCUUCUUCCGUUAUUUGUAGCGUGUCAAAACCAAAAGUACAAGUUCCACUAGUUAAGUCGAGUUAUAGUCAAAGAAAAUGGCUCGGUGCUUUCUCCAACAUUAAUGAUAUUUCUUUGGAUCCACUCUCUGAAAUUGACAGGAUCAAUGGUUUUCUGGUCUAAUAAAUUUGUAUCUUAUUUUUUAUUUUCUUCGGAAAAUGAGAAGAAAAUUCCCCAAGAUAUUUUCCAAGAACUUGACUAAUUGGUUGAACUGUUUUCCACAUUGUCUUUGAUUUUGUUUGGAGCCAGUCUUGCCAUAAGUUAAUAUCUUCACCGUGGGAUUAUACUUGCUUUCAUCGGAAUGGUUGUUGGAAUAUUGAAGACAAAAACGACCCAAUGCUUCUAUAUAUCCUUGGCUUAAGAGUUAAAACUUGUUAUAGCCUCAUUCUCGCUCUACCACAUCCAAAUUUUACAAUGUCGAAACCAAAAACAGAACUGCCAUUGCUUAGCCUCAUGACCCUUGCUUUAUUGCUAUUCCCUGGUGCUUGCCUCGCUACAAGUGAAAAUAAGGACUGCGGCGGCUCUUCUUUGUGCGGCAACCUUACCAUCAGUCACCCUUUCCGAUUAAAAAGUCAACCUAAGUGUAACGACACUGAUCAUAGGGUUGAAUUGGAGUGUGAGAAUGAUAAUCGCACCAUUUGGGUCAUGAAAAAUGGAAAAUUCUACGUCCAGGAAAUCUUUUAUUCUAAUUUGACGAUCCGAUUGGUCGAUGGGAGCCUGGAUGCAGAUAAUUGCUCACUGCCUUGUACUUCCUUUGUUUUUCAUUAUGAUUUUCCGUGUGAGGGAGUUUGGUUUUCUAGUACAAUUCCGAACACAAUGUAUCUUGUCAAUUGCUCAAGACCAAUGAAUUCUUCUCUUUACGUUGAUGCCUCUCUCUGCACCAACAGCUCUCCCCAUCCACCUUCCUACUUUUACUUUUUAGAUCAACAAACACCAAGCCGCGAUUUCAACCCGUUUUGCACAGUCAUAAACGAGCAGAUUCCAAUUAUGAUUGAGAAUAUCACAGGUCUGUCUAGUUUUGAUAUCUACGAAAAGCUAUUAAUUGGCUCUGAUUUGUCAUUGGAAGAACAUCAUUGUUACCAGGAGGACAAACCUUCAAUAUCUCAAAAAUUUCAUACGAUGUAAGAAUUCUCAAGCAUUUAAAUUCUAUUUUCUUUUUUUUUUCUAGAAAUAAAAAUUAAAUCUUUCAUUCUGUAAUGAAAGGAGAUACAAAAAAAUGCCAAAGUCAGUCUCCCAAGGCCCUAAGAGACCUACUUUGGCAUUCCCUAAAAAAUUUACAAGUAUUACCUAUGAAAUUAGUUAUUCUCUAUCACCAUGCUAGGCAGCCUACAGAUGACACUUGGUUGCCUGCGAAAUUCAGCAUUGACACAAAAAAAAAAAAAAAAAAAAACAAACCAACAAAAAUGCANCAAGUUCUAUUUUUUAUGCCUCGGGGUCAUUACAUCUAAGCACUGAUCCUAAACAAAAUAACCUCAUCGGUUUGGCAGCUUAAUACAUCUUCAAAUUCAUGGUCGGAGUGACAUGACCUGCUAGUAGGAACACCGUCCAGUUUGCAGUGGUUCCUGCGUCUCUUCUUUAUCUGGGUUCGCUUCGCAGUUUCAUGUUUUAUCCACCCAUUAUGCUUUCAGUCUCAUCAUGUGCACCAGCCUAUCACUUCCUCAACUACCUAUAUAACCCAAAUUUCACAAAAUGGGUGCUGCAACCUCAUGGCAAACAGAUGUAGCAGCCCAUCUUUCUCCCUACCCUCUCCCCUUCCUAUUUCUCCCUUCCUUACAAUGUAGAGAUCUCUCCUCCAACCUCUUCCGAUGCCUCCAUCAACCUCCUGUCCUCUCCCUCAUUCGUUCCUUGCCACCCUGCUCUUUCUCCCUCCUCAUUCCCCUUUCUCUCUCCUGUGAGACAACAGCUCCCUCCCAAAACCUCCAUUCACCUCCCCCCGUCUCCCUCGUUCCCUCCAGAGAUCCUUCUCCUCCUUCCCUCCAUCCACAGUUCACUCAUUCUUUACCCUUAAAACCCCGCCUCCCCUUCGUUUUAACCCCUUUUGUUGAUCUGUGAUCCCAACAAAAUUACCCAACCAUAAUUCCAACACACACAAGCACAAGUUGGAUCUAAGCAAACAAAAAGUUGCUAAUCUGUUUGUAUUUUUUUUUUCUGUUGACCAGAUUCAUUUGCUCUCAAACUAUCCUUGCUGCCAAAAUACCAUACGGUACUUCAACUACCUUUUGUAAUUCUUUGUUUGAGCCACGCUGGACUAAUCCUCUUGCCUCCAAACUCUUAUUCUCCUCUCCAAUCACCUCCCAUAUUUACUUCCCUCCCCCCCUAAUUCACGCACAUAUGCCACCCAAGAGGGAAGCAGAGCUCCUAUCUUCCCCACUACCGCCACAUCAAGGCAUUCAAGUUAAAUUCUAUUUAGUAGAUUGGGUUUGGUUGGGACUUAAAAUUCUAAUUUGGAAAAUUGUGGUCAAAUAAUUAUCUUGAAUGAAAAGUUUCCUUUUUUUCCCUACAACUGUUUUUCCCAUUUCCUUGUGGUCAAAUAAUCAUUAAUAUUUCCAAUUAUUUUAAUCUGAUGCAUUUGAAUAUUUCAGGUUGGCAGAUUUGCUGUAUGGCUUGAGAAACUAUAUAGAUAGCUUUGUCCAUUUCCUUUUUCAAGGCCCCCAUGUAUCCUACAAUAGUUACAAUCCACCAAAAAGUAUGCUUUCCUAAGUGCAUUAAUAUUUUUCUUCUUGAAUUUGCCUUAAUUUGUGUUCCUUUGUUGAAAUUAGUAAUUGCAUAAUUUUGUUUUUUCUUGGUUUUUUUUUUUUUUGCAGGAACGUAUAUUAUAUGUCUUGAAGCUACAGGUACUUAAUAAGUUUUAGCUUUGCAUUUGCAUAUACAUAAACGUUGAGCAAUAUCAAUGUACUCAAAUUUAAGAAAAGAAUAUUAAAACAGCCUAUUAGAUCAUGCAAGCUUAUAUUUAGUUUUAUGGUAAAACUCAAAUUAGCACAGCACUUAAAGGAUUUUGGAGGGUUCUAGAAUAAAAUUCUAGAUUUUCUUUCAUUAUACAAGUACAGAUACAAAUACGUAGGAAAAGAAACACAUGAUAUAUAAUAAUACGAUCAACUAAAUUACUUAUUUGAAAUAAAUUGAAAAAAUUUUCUAUAAUAAUCUCGGUAGUCAAGGCAUAUAUGGAUAGGUUAGUUUGUAGGAAUUAUUAUUGCUUUCUCCAACAUUAAUGAUAUUUCUGUGAAUCCACUCUCUAAAAUUGACAGGAUCAAUGGUUUUCAGGUCCAAUAAAUUUGUACUUAAUCUAUCUCAUUUUAUUGUCCUUGUUUGACUUUCAGGGAGUUUAAUUUUUUAUUUUUUAUUUUAUAGUAAAAAUGUUUUUUAUAAAAUUAAUAUUCCAUAAUUUUUAAUAUCAAAAAAUAGAAAUUCAUGAAAAAUAAUUUUGAAAUGAAAAAUGGUAUGAUAUUAGGUGUUAAAAAAUGGAAGACAAGACAAGGCAACUACAUUACUGCAGGUUGUGACUAUAACUACCUUAAAUGUAGUAAAACUGUGCAAUGUUUCAUAAAAUAUUCUUUCUUAUAGAUGAAAAAAAUUAAUAGUAAAUAAAAAAAAAGCUGUGGACUUGAAUAAUAUGACCAAUUAAACUAAGUACUUAUUAAUUGAACAUAUGAAUGGUAAAAAUUAGUAGUAAAUUUUUUUUGUAAUGUAUAUGGUGAUUUUAGUAAUUAAGAAAUUACCGAAUGCACUACUGAGUAGAAUUUGUCUUUCAAGCUAUACUAUUUAAUUUCUUAUAUGAUAUUCAAACUAUACUAUUUAAUUCAUACUGUGACAAGUACAUGCUACACUUCUAAUUAUUUGAUAAUAGAUUUUGUGAGAAUCACGAACUUGUUUUUUUUUUGUCCUUUUGAAAGUAAGCAUCCUACUCUUUCAUCAUGUUAUAAAGUUUGUUAGGGGGAAAGAUAUGAUCACUUUUCUUUUGAAAAUACUGUCAUUUAAAUAUAUUAAUGAGUUCCAAUGUACUUUUGUUGAAAAGGAGGAGUUAUCUUAUUAUGAACUUUGUCGAGAAUAUGUUGCUUGAUUGCACUUGUUACAUACAAAUGGCGAAGAAGACAUUUAUCUAUGGAUGACACGAUUGAAGAGUUUCUUCAAAGUCAAAAUAAUUUAAUGCCGAUAAGAUAUUCUUAUCGUGAAAUAAAAAAAAUGAUUAGAAAUUUUCGAGAUAAAUUAGGUGAAGGUGGUUAUGGUUCAGUGUUUAAAGGAAAGCUUCGUAGCGGCCAUCUUGUAGCAAUAAAGUUAUUGGGCAAGUCAAAAGCCAAUGGGCAAGAUUUUAUUAACGAAGUUGCUACAAUUGGGAGAAUUCAUCAUGUUAAUGUGGCAAAACUCAUUGGAUUUUGUGUGGAGGGAUCAAAACAAGCUCUUGUAUAUGACUUUAUGUCAAAUGGAUCUCUAGAUAGGAUCAUAUUUGCAAAAGAGAAUAAAAUCACCUUAAGUUGGCAAAAAAUGUUUGAUAUUGCUCUUGGGGUGGCUCGAGGAGUUGAAUAUUUACAUCAAGGAUGUGACAUGCAAAUUCUACAUUUUGAUAUCAAGCCACACAAUAUUCUUCUAGAUGAGAACUUUGUCCCAAAAGUUUCAGAUUUUGGUCUUGCGAAACUUUAUUCAAUAGAUGAUAGCAUCGUAUCUCUCACUGCAGCACGGGGUACGAUAGGAUACAUUGCUCCUGAAUUGGUCUACAAAAACAUUGGAGGCAUCUCAAAUAAGGCUGAUGUUUAUAGUUUUGGAAUGCUAUUAAUGGAAAUGGUGGGAAAAAGGAAGAAUUUGAAUGCGUUUGCUGAUCACUUGAGUCAAAUAUACUUUCCUUCAUGGAUUUAUGGCCAAUUUCAUCAAGGAGAGGACAUUGAGUUGGGAGAGGUUACAGAUGGUGAAAAGAUAAUUGUGAGGAAGAUGAUAAUAACAGCUUGUUGGUGUAUACAACUGCCACCCAACGACCGUCCCUCAAUGAGCAAAGUCUUGGAGAUGCUUGAAACUGAUGUUGAGCUCCUUCAAAUGCCCCCCAAACCUUUUCAACUUCCUUUUGAAGUAUCAAUUGAGGGUCAUGCUGAUGAGAAUCCAAGUGAGGAUCUAACUUCAUCACUUCUUUCUUCAAAUGAAAUUAGCUUAAAUAUAGCUUAAGUUAUGAAACUUUUCAUUUUAUUACGUUAUCUUUGUACUUUGAUCAUAAGAAAAUAUCAUGUCCCUUUAAAACCUAGAAUUUUGUAUUGUAAUUUCCAAACUUGUUUCUGUACUUUGAGCUGUGUUUCUAUGGGUUUUCUUCUUUCGUACCCUUUUUGUACUUUUUUUCAUAAUAUCUUUCAUUUGGCUCAUUUGACCUCUGUUUGUUAUUGCCUUUGUUCAGCUUAACCUUCCCCCUCUUUGAAAAGACGGCUUGGAAGAAUUAAAAAUGGUAAUGGAAGCAAGAACUCAAUAAGAAACUGUUAGGAUAGUCUUGAAUUGUUAUUUAAUUAGGAUUGUUUAAUUCUAAUUAAAUUAGUAUACCUUACAAAAUAGUCUUUAAAUCUAGUUAGAUUAGAAUAACAAUUCCUAAUUCUAUUAGGAUAAGAUUCCUAAUUAUAUUAGGAUAAGGUUAUUGUAUUUGAUACUAUAAAAGGACUCUAUGGGUUAAAGAAUAACAAUCACCUAGAUUUAGAGAGAGUGAUUUAGGUGUACGGGGGAUAAGGGUUAUGAGUUUGAGACUGUUUCUUGUAAUCUCCUGAUUUUUCUCUUAGUGGAUUUUUCUCUGUUACUGUGCCCGUGGACGUAGGUCAUCAAAAGACCGAACCACGUAAAUUCUUGUGUUUCUCUGUGUGGGUGGGCUUGAUUUCUUUCUUUCUUUAUUCUAUUGAUUGGGUUAGAUCUUGGGCAAUUCUUUAGAGAUAAUUCCGCAAUUUCCCAACAAACUGGUAUCAGAGCUUCAAGGUCUUUGGUCAAUCUGAAUCUCGCUAUGACAACUUCGUAGACCAAGUAUGAGAUUGAAAAGCUUAAUGGAAGAAACGAUUUCAGCCUGUGGCGUGUUAAGAUGCGCGCAUUGCUAGUGCAAUAAGGACUGUUGAAGGCACUGAAGGGAAAAGAACAUCUUCCCUCGAAUUAAUCUGAUGGUGAGAAAGAUGACCUUAUGGAAAAAGCACAUAGUGCUAUUCUCCUUGCUUUGUCUCAUGAGGUGCUAAGAGAAGUCACAGAUGAAGAAUCUGCUGCUGCAGUGUGUUUUAAACUCGAAAGUAUUUAUAUGACCAAGUCCCUGACGAAUCGGCUUUAUAUGAAGCAACGAUUGUUAACUCUCAAGAUGUAUGAAGGUACAUCCGUUAAUACCCACAUUGAUGAAAGAUAUAGAGUUAUUCUUGAUUUAAAGAAUAUCGAUGUUAAAAUUGAGGAUGAGGACNNNNNNNNNNNNNNNNNNNNNNNNNNNNNNNNNNNNNNNNNNNNNNNNNNNNNNNNNNNNNNNNNNNNNNNNNNNNNNNNNNNNNNNNNNNNNNNNNNNNNNNNNNNNNNNNNNNNNNNNNNNNNNNNNNNNNNNNNNNNNNNNNNNNNNNNNNNNNNNNNNNNNNNNNNNNNNNNNNNNNNNNNNNNNNNNNNNNNNNNNNNNNNNNNNNNNNNNNNNNNNNNNNNNNNNNNNNNNNNNNNNNNNNNNNNNNNNNNNNNNNNNNNNNNNNNNNNNNNNNNNNNNNNNNNNNNNNNNNNNNNNNNNNNNNNNNNNNNNNNNNNNNNNNNNNNNNNNNNNNNNNNNNNNNNNNNNNNNNNNNNNNNNNNNNNNNNNNNNNNNNNNNNNNNNNNNNNNNNNNNNNNNNNNNNNNNNNNNNNNNNNNNNNNNNNNNNNNNNNNNNNNNNNNNNNNNNNNNNNNNNNNNNNNNNNNNNNNNNNNNNNNNNNNNNNNNNNNNNNNNNNNNNNNNNNNNNNNNNNNNNNNNNNNNNNNNNNNNNNNNNNNNNNNNNNNNNNNNNNNNNNNNNNNNNNNNNNNNNNNNNNNNNNNNNNNNNNNNNNNNNNNNNNNNNNNNNNNNNNNNNNNNNNNNNNNNNNNNNNNNNNNNNNNNNNNNNNNNNNNNNNNNNNNNNNNNNNNNNNNNNNNNNNNNNNNNNNNNNNNNNNNNNNNNNNNNNNNNNNNNNNNNNNNNNNNNNNNNNNNNNNNNNNNNNNNNNNNNNNNNNNNNNNNNNNNNNNNNNNNNNNNNNNNNNNNNNNNNNNNNNNNNNNNNNNNNNNNNNNNNNNNNNNNNNNNNNNNNNNNNNNNNNNNNNNNNNNNNNNNNNNNNNNNNNNNNNNNNNNNNNNNNNNNNNNNNNNNNNNNNNNNNNNNNNNNNNNNNNNNNNNNNNNNNNNNNNNNNNNNNNNNNNNNNNNNNNNNNNNNNNNNNNNNNNNNNNNNNNNNNNNNNNNNNNNNNNNNNNNNNNNNNNNNNNNNNNNNNNNNNNNNNNNNNNNNNNNNNNNNNNNNNNNNNNNNNNNNNNNNNNNNNNNNNNNNNNNNNNNNNNNNNNNNNNNNNNNNNNNNNNNNNNNNNNNNNNNNNNNNNNNNNNNNNNNNNNNNNNNNNNNNNNNNNNNNNNNNNNNNNNNNNNNNNNNNNNNNNNNNNNNNNNNNNNNNNNNNNNNNNNNNNNNNNNNNNNNNNNNNNNNNNNNNNNNNNNNNNNNNNNNNNNNNNNNNNNNNNNNNNNNNNNNNNNNNNNNNNNNNNNNNNNNNNNNNNNNNNNNNNNNNNNNNNNNNNNNNNNNNNNNNNNNNNNNNNNNNNNNNNNNNNNNNNNNNNNNNNNNNNNNNNNNNNNNNNNNNNNNNNNNNNNNNNNNNNNNNNNNNNNNNNNNNNNNNNNNNNNNNNNNNNNNNNNNNNNNNNNNNNNNNNNNNNNNNNNNNNNNNNNNNNNNNNNNNNNNNNNNNNNNNNNNNNNNNNNNNNNNNNNNNNNNNNNNNNNNNNNNNNNNNNNNNNNNNNNNNNNNNNNNNNNNNNNNNNNNNNNNNNNNNNNNNNNNNNNNNNNNNNNNNNNNNNNNNNNNNNNNNNNNNNNNNNNNNNNNNNNNNNNNNNNNNNNNNNNNNNNNNNNNNNNNNNNNNNNNNNNNNNNNNNNNNNNNNNNNNNNNNNNNNNNNNNNNNNNNNNNNNNNNNNNNNNNNNNNNNNNNNNNNNNNNNNNNNNNNNNNNNNNNNNNNNNNNNNNNNNNNNNNNNNNNNNNNNNNNNNNNNNNNNNNNNNNNNNNNNNNNNNNNNNNNNNNNNNNNNNNNNNNNNNNNNNNNNNNNNNNNNNNNNNNNNNNNNNNNNNNNNNNNNNNNNNNNNNNNNNNNNNNNNNNNNNNNNNNNNNNNNNNNNNNNNNNNNNNNNNNNNNNNNNNNNNNNNNNNNNNNNNNNNNNNNNNNNNNNNNNNNNNNNNNNNNNNNNNNNNNNNNNNNNNNNNNNNNNNNNNNNNNNNNNNNNNNNNNNNNNNNNNNNNNNNNNNNNNNNNNNNNNNNNNNNNNNNNNNNNNNNNNNNNNNNNNNNNNNNNNNNNNNNNNNNNNNNNNNNNNNNNNNNNNNNNNNNNNNNNNNNNNNNNNNNNNNNNNNNNNNNNNNNNNNNNNNNNNNNNNNNNNNNNNNNNNNNNNNNNNNNNNNNNNNNNNNNNNNNNNNNNNNNNNNNNNNNNNNNNNNNNNNNNNNNNNNNNNNNNNNNNNNNNNNNNNNNNNNNNNNNNNNNNNNNNNNNNNNNNNNNNNNNNNNNNNNNNNNNNNNNNNNNNNNNNNNNNNNNNNNNNNNNNNNNNNNNNNNNNNNNNNNNNNNNNNNNNNNNNNNNNNNNNNNNNNNNNNNNNNNNNNNNNNNNNNNNNNNNNNNNNNNNNNNNNNNNNNNNNNNNNNNNNNNNNNNNNNNNNNNNNNNNNNNNNNNNNNNNNNNNNNNAAGAUUUUGUUAGGAUAGUCUUGAAUUGGGAUUUAAUUAGGAUUGUUUAAUUCCAAUUAAAUUAGUAUACUUACAAAAUAGUCUUUAAAUCUAGUUAGAUUAGAAUAACAAUUCCUAAUUCUAUUAGGAUAAGAUUCCUAAUUAUAUUCGGAUAAAGGUUAUUGUAUUUGAUACUAUAAAAGGACCCUAUGGGUUAAAGAAUAACAAUCACCUAGAUUUAGAGAGAGUGAUUUAGGUGUACGUGGGAUAAGGGUUAUGAGUUUGAGACUGUUUCUUGUAAUCUCCUGAUUUUUCUCUUAGUAGAUUUUUCUCUGUUGCUGUGCCGUGGACGUAGGUCAUCAAAAGACCGAACGACGUAAAUUCUUGUGUUUUUGUGGGUGUGCUUGAUUUCUUCUUUCUUUAUUCUAUUGAAUUGGGUUAGAUCUUGGGCAAUUCUUUAGAGAUAAUUCCGCAAUUUCCCAACAGAAACAAAAUAGGGGCCCUCAAGAAGGUCAUCCGAGAGUUUGGUUUAUCUCGAUUUAAGUUUAACUAUACGUAGAAAUGGAAUGUGAUAAAUUAUUGUGCAAGCAAGAAUUAAGAAAGAAUAAAAAGCAUCGCUUAAUAUAAGGCUAAGAAAGUUUGUUAGGAAAAUAUUACAUAGGAUGCAGAAGAAAGAGAUUAAACAUGCAGUUGUAAAUUUUCUUCACUGACCCAAGAAGGAAAGCUCCCUGAAAAAUCAUUGAAUGACACAUCUCUGAAAUCGCAUUAUCAGUAAUGUCAUGACAAGUCUUAAGUUUAUAUGGGCAAGAUCAACUGUACAAUUACAAAAGUUUUCACUGGCAGCCUAAUUCCUUUUCAAAACCUAAACAAAAGCUAAGGGUCGAUCAGUAGCUAAUUUCUAUUUGAGUGUUCAAAGUUCAGCAUAUUUAUCAAACUUUCAACUUAUUCAAAAAAACAGAUUCACAAGAAGAACAACCAAAAAAACUAUUGAACCGGAGCAUCAACGCAAAAAUAGCUCCCAACCAUGAUGGAGCCCUGCUGAAAGUCCCAUUUCCGGAACAUCCAAUCCUGCCAAAACACAGCGAGGCCACUCAUAAGAAUCUGUCCCUCGUUCAGACUGUUAUGACAUUUAUUGCUAUGAUAUGUAAUACUAUUCACAAUUCUUGGCAUCAAUUCAUAAUUCUUAACGUCAAAUGUGGAUAAUUUUUUUUUUUUAGAAAAAAAGCUUGGUGUUUUGGUAAAAUUGAUCAGCUUUGCUGGAAUUGGGUAGUUUAGUGAAAUUAAUCAUAGGAUUUAGAUUCUAUUUACUUUAUUAAAUCAUAUUAUGAAUUAUAAUUAAAACCAAAUAAGUUUAAUCCAUUUUUUAUAAAAAAGAAAAACAAAUUAAAUAAUGUAAAUAUACACUUUAUUAUUUGAAAAAUUCUAACAUUUUAUACAAUUAUAACUGAGAUUCUAAAUAUCUUUGACAAUAUCAUAGGACUGUAUUACUUUGAUAUCUACGAAACGCUAUCAAUGGACUUCGAAAUGUCAUGGCAAUUCUAUGAUAUGAGCUGCGCUGUCCUCCACAUAUAUCCAUUUCAUAAGAUGAAAGAAUUUUGCAAGCAUUUGAUCAAUUCUAUUUCUUUCUCUGGGUUUUCUUGGUUUUGUUAAAGUUACGAUUGGAAAAGUAAAAUUAAUUAAAAUCCACAUUUUACUCAAAUUUUUUGCUUAAAUUAAAACAUUUUGAAUUCAUUUGUCAUUAAUGUAAUUAUUUUGAUUCAAACCAUAUUUUAAUUAAAACUUGUUACACUAAUACAAAACAUCAAAACCAUAUUGUAAAUAAUUAGGAUCUUCAUUUUAGUCCAUUUUUUGUUUAAAUUAAAACAUUUUGAUUUCAUCUUUCAUUGUAAUUAAGUUUGACUCAAAACUAUAUUUUAUUAAUCAAGGCAGCUGAUGUAUUGCAUUUAUUUUAAUAUGAUAUACUGAAUAUUCAGGGUUGGCAGGAUUGCGAUAUGGCUUGAGAAACUAUAUAAACAGCUUUGUCCAUUUUCAAUGGAUUUCCAACGAAAUAGAUUUUUUUUUUUCUACGGAAAAUUUUGUUGAAAAUCUAUUGAAAAAUUUUAAAAAUUUUCACUUCUACCAAAUUUUUUGACAGAAUUUCCUACAGAUUCUCAUCGAAAUUUUAUAACGGAUAAAAUUCAGUUGGUAAUCCAUCAAAAAUAUUAGGUGCCAAAAGAAAUUCAUUCCCGCCAAUUUUACAACGGACCUGUUUGUUGAAAAAAGGUUUUACAACAGAAUAUUUAAUAGGAAAAUUCCAUUGGUAUUAAUAUUUGUUUUUUAUUUUUUUAUUCAGAAUUAACUAAUAACUUUUUUAAAUAUUUAAUCUUUCAUAGAAAAUAUAUUAAUUAAAAUUUUCAUUAUGAAAUUUUUUUUCUUUAUCUUUAUAAAUUAUGGUUGUAUAUGUAUAUUAGUCUUUAACUUGACUAAAACAAGCAUGCAUGCAUGCAUGUUAUCUAUGUACAUAUCGAGUUUUAUAAUAUUAAAAAUUUAAAUAUGCUUUUCAAAGUUUAGUUAAACCAGCGGGAGGAGAAGUCGUACUUUUACUUUUAUCUUAAUCGAAUUUGUAGAAUCAUAGUUUAAUGGAAAAACAAUUGUUUUUUGGUAGGUACACAACUAGUGUGUGUAUAUAUAUAUAUAUAUAUAUAUAUAUAUGGUGCAAUAGGCAAAUUCAUCAGCUGGAAUGGCUGUGAAUGAUGAGUGCAAGCAGAAGUUCUUGGAACUAAAAACAAAAGAGGAAUCAUCGAUAUAUUGUCUUGAAGAUUGAUGAGAAGACGCAAUAGGUGAUUGUAGAGAAGCUCGGGAGUUUGGGAGCAACUUAUGAUGAUUUCACCAACUUCUUGUUUUCUAAUGAAUGCCACUAUUCUGUCUUUGAUUAUAAUUUCACUAUGAAUGAGAAUUGUCUGAAAAGUAAGAUUUUCUUCUUUGCAUGGUAUAUGAAAGCGAAAAAGAAAAACCCAACACCUUGUUUCUCUUUGCUCAAUUUUUGAAGGAUCGUUACAAUUAAAACGGCUGCAAUGUUGUUUGUGGUUUAGGUCACCUGACACAUCAAGGGUGAGGACUAAGAUGCUUUAUGCAAGCUCCGAGGACAAGUUCAAGAGCAGACCCUUUGGGAUUUCAAAGGUAUUGUUGGCUUAAAUUUCAAGAGCUUGGCAUAUUCGUUCAACAAAUGAAACAUAUAAUCAUAUAUGUUUCGCAUUGUCAGAAACUCUUCAAUUAGUUUGCUUUCUUCCUUCCCAAUAGCCUGUGCCUGAAAGAGUAAAGCGUAUUGUCUUAUGAGAUAAAAAGGCUGUGAAUGACAUAUAAAGAAGCAGACAAGUUUCAAACAAAAAAAAAUUUGAGAUGCAAUCCAAUCCAAUCCAUAUUCCAUUUGCUAAGAAUAUAUGUAUAUAUACACCUUGUGAGGGUGAUUAUUGCCCCAUUCAAUUGCAAACUUUAGAUCUCUGCAUUCGCUUGUGUUUGCGGAUGGGCCAGUUGUGCUGCAUUGGCACCAUGCGUCUCAAGAAGAGAUCAUAGUAUCGGGGCGUUAUCAUCAAGGUCAUGCUAUUGCAUGCUAGUAUGUAUUUCUCACUGACAGACCUUGUCACUCCUUCUACAUAAAUUUUAUAUCUUUGUACAGAUGGUACCAUACCAAAAUUCAAAAUCUUUGUUAGUAUCAAAGAAAAAGAGUAAUGAGUAUUUUAAAAUUGAAAUUUAUGAUAACAGAAAUGAAGAAAUAACCUUCAAUAAGAAUGAUAUAAGAAAGGUUCCAUAUAUACCCACUACUAAAAAAUUGAGUUUUAAUCACACUUCUUUAGGUGAUAUAUUUUUUUGUAUGGUAAAAUUUUAAAAAGUGUAGCUAUUUAAACUUUUCGUUUCACUUUUUUCACAUUUAGUAGUAAUAUAAAAAAGUGCAACCUUUGCUAGUGUGUGCAAUUCCUAUCGUUAUAUUUUAUUUAUAAUGCAUCUAAAAAUUUAUAUAGUGAGGUUAGAUCUACAAAAAUGUUCUAAAAAACAUAAAAAAGUGUUAUUACAAAUAUUUUUAGUAGCACAUUUUAAAAAUGUGCUGUCUUAGGUUAAAUUUGUUGUAGUGACUAUGGGUGCAUUGAUCUUCCAAUUUGGAAUGCUUGAACCCUUCUUCAUUUGCCUUGGUCCAAUUCUGAAUAUUUUUUUUUAAAGAACAAAUUGUUAAUUAUGUAUGGAUUUUGUAAUUUUCUAACUUGGGCAUUAUCUAAUUUUCUCAUGACUUCAAUCAAUAUAUAGAAGCCCAUCCAAGACUCAAAGUGGCAAAAGAAACACAAUCUUAAAUAGUUACCUGGGUAUAAAGGCAAACAUUCCAAUCAUAUUUAUCUGAGAGGUUACAUUUCUGAAGGUAUUUCCUUUCUGAAGAAGUAUAUGGGUUACCCUCCCAAUAGGCGUAAGGUUUCCUAUCUUCGCAAUUGAUCCUCUUGUUGCCAUUUUUUAUUGCACUCAGCAUCUGCCCCCACGGCAUUAUAUUAACCUUAGCCUUGCCAGAGCAAAACAAAGUAAACAAGACUAGCUAGUUAAUUGCAAUUAAAAUUUGGUAGUUUUUUUUUUACUUUUUUUUUCACAAUGCCAAUGUGUUGUGGUAAUAUGUACAAGAAUUUAUCAUCCCUAGAAGGUCCAAUUAGGGAACACAAUGUCGAGUGCUUCCUCCUCACCACAGUAAUGAAACAACGGCGGUGGUGAUGUAGCAUUAGGUCCUGGGUAAUCCGUUUUCUUGAUCCUUUUCUUGUCUCCAGUAAGGACAAAAAGGUCCAAGUUUGGUAGCUUUCCAGGGUAAAAUCUUAGAAGCUGCAAAGUGCCCUAUAGCGUAAAUAAAUCCUUGGUUUCAUAAGGCUCGCCAAACAUUUUCAUGCAAACCUCACCCUUGACAAUUACAAGUCUAAGCUCUGCACUCGAUUUCCCUCUUUCAAUCAUCUCUUCUAUAAUUCCUGAACUUUUCCAAUGCUGUAAAUCAUGGUGGAUCCACUGGAAGUAGUUUGGACAAGUUUCAAUUGACAAUUCAUCAGGCUAAAAUACCGAUGGGUAAUUAUCAGGGCAUUUCUAUUGCAAUCCUGAAUUAGAGCAAUUUAGAGCAUAUUGAAUUCUUGGCUAGAGCUUUGUAGUGCUACUUCAUGAGCAAGAAAUCAUCAGGCGAAAUAGAUUGCCUUGUAUAACAAGCUGAGAAAAAAGUAGAUAAAAAAAAAGUUAAGCAGUUGCAGUAAUCUUCUAGUAACAGAACUUGAUAUAUGGAAAUCUAAUGCCUUUGAUGUAUAUAUACCAGUACCGCUUUCAUUCUCUUAGGGUUUAUUGUCUAAACAAUAAGAUAAUAGUGCCAGCAUGGACUCUCAAUUGAGUCAGUCUCUGGAUGCAUUAUACAAAGAAUGUCUAGGGGUAUCCAUAUUUUCCCUUUCUUGUUUGCUAGACAUAUUAGCAGUUGCCCUUUGCAAAUUUGAUUAAAAAAAAUCCGUGCACCUAUGGUGCAUUCAAUUCACAUGCUGAUGGAGAGAAUUCAUUUCAAAGUGACAAUUAAGGAUCUAAAUGGUGUUUUUGUAUUCUAAACAUAGUUUAAUAAUAUCUAAAUACCAGUAUUGCUGGUAUUAGUUACAUCUAAAUAACAGUAUUAGUUUAUGAUACACAAAAAAAAAAACAGUAUUAGUUAUAUCUGAUAAUUUGUUUUAAUAAUAAAUACACACAUUUUUCAUUUUAUUCACUCUUAGAUACAUUUACUCAUCUCAACAUUCUCAAAUUUUACCUAAUAAAAAAAAUUAGCAAAAGUUGAUGGAUAGUGAGGGAAAAUAGCGGUGGAGGAAGCAGAAUUUAGGAGAACCUUACCACAUACAUAAAAUGAACCAAGGUAGCACUAAGGAGGAAGAGGAAGAGGAAGAUGAAUAUGCAAGUAGCUGUGAAAACUAGUCUCUUGACCCGUCCAAGACCAACCUUGGAAAAGCAACCACAGACUUGAAAAAAUCUUCCCAUGGAAAUAUGCGGAUGACAAGGUCAAAGGCUCAAUGCUUGAAGAUUUAAGAUUACUCUUGGUAGUGCUAAGAUUCACAACUUUGAUUCAAAAGCCAACGUUUGGGUGGCCCAAUAUAUAAACAAAAAACAUGAGGCAAAAUAAAGAAUGUAGGAUAUGGAUUUGAAGAUAAUAUGGAAAUCAGACCAUGUGUGGUAUGUGGGCUUUCCUUGAGCCAAUUGCCUUUGAUGUUUAAUUUAUAUAUGGUAAGAUGCAGGAAAUGCGUUCGCAGUUGUAGUCAUAUACCAUAAAUAUGCUGUCAAAAUUUUAGAAGAUGAGAUAUUAACUAAAUUAUAUUUGGAAUUAUGUACACAGUUUCGUUUGGAGAGAGAUUUUUUAAGUUUUUGACUUGGCUGCUUUUCCUAAAUUAUUAAUUUUAAUUUAUUGUUUAGAACUAUUCUAUUGAUCUAUUGGUAGAUUAAAAUACAAAGACUAAUCAAAUGCAGGGAAUCUAGUACAAGGAUGAUAUAUGGCAAUUUUUUAUUGGGUUUGAGACAAAUAAUUCAGUGCCAUAUCCAAAAACAAUAAUAAUUUUAACUAAAAAAGAUCAUGGAAUUAAUUGUUUUUGAAAAAUAAAAUAUUUUAACAGCUAACUUAUUAAUACACACUUGAACUUUAAAAAAAAAAUACAACAACUAAGUUAUGUUGUUCAUAAGAUACCUUCCAUGCUAAUGAAUGUCGCUAUGCUGUCUUCGAUUAUAAUUUCACUACGAAUGAGAAUUAUUGGAAAAGCAACAUUUUCAUAUUUGCAUGGUAUAUGAAAAAGAAAAACCAACACCUUAUUUCUCUUUGUUCCUUUUUUGAAGGAUUGUGUGUCAACAGAACUUUUCUCGAUAAGAUGUGGUCUUAGACAGGGGUGUCAAUUGUCAUCGUUUCUUUUUUAAUAUUGUAGCGGAAGCUUUUAACUACAUUAUGGAGAAAGGGGAGGCUAUGAGAUUACGUCAAGGGAUUCCCACUGGCACCAACGGACUAUGGAUCUAUCAAUUGUUGGUCGCUGAUAAUAUCAUGAUUUUCUAAAAACAAUAGUUGGAGAGCCUCUUCUACAUUUUUUUUGAAAAGUGAGAUUUUAUUAGCUCCAAGUACCAUCAUGCCAUUAGAAGUCUCUAGCUUAUUUAGCUAGAUUUUGGGCUGAGGUAGCAAGCACAAUAGUUUAUCUACAUAAUAUUCUUCCUCCACGAACCAUGAAAAUCUCAACUCCCUAUGAGCAUUGGUUUGGAAAAAAAACCUUCUGUGAAUCAAUUAAAAGUAUUUGGUUGCAUUUGUUACCAACACAUACCGAAAGGGCAUAAAGAUAAAUUGCAAUCAAAGGCAUUAAAAGGCAUUUUUAUUGGGUAUAGUCAACAGUUGAAAGCUUAUAGAAUUUAUCAGCUUGACUCAAGCAAGGUUGCUAUUAGUGAAAAUGUGGAAUUUGCUAAGAAUGAUGAGUGGAAUUGGGAACAACAAUAGAUAGUGAGCAUUACACCUCUAAUGUAUCGCAUUGAAAGUCAGAAUAUUGAUGAUGAUAAACUUGAUGCAAAUCAAACCACAAAUGAAGCUCUUAUAAAAGAGACAAUUUAUUCAAGAUAUUUAUGACAAAUGUUAUGUUGCCUUGUCGGAACCUACCUCAUUUGAUGAAGCUUCGAAGCAUGUUGAAUGGAAUGCUACCAUGAGAGAAGAAAUUAAGAUGAUUGAGUAGAAUAACAUUUGGUCCUUGGUAGACAGACCUCGGCACCACCAAGUGAUUGGUGUGAAGUGGAUUUUUAAAAGAAAAUUCAAUGCAGAUGGCUCAUUGAAUAGAUGCAAGGUGAGACUAGUAGCCAAGGGAUAUGCACAAUUAACUGGUGUCAAUUAUCAGGAGACUUUUACUCUUGUAGCAAGGCUUGACACAAUCAGGUCAUUGAUUGCUCUCUCAGCAGCAAAGAAUUGGAGAAUUUAUCAUUUGGAUGUCAAGUCUGCAUUUCUAAAUGGUAAACUUGCAGAAGAAAUCUAUGUGAAACAACCAAUAGGAUUUAAGAUUGAAUCUAGAAGAGAUAAGGUUUAUAAGCUCCACAAGGCAUUAUAUGGCUUAAAACAAAAACCACGUACUUGGUAUAGUUGUUAAGAGUGGUUCCUGCCUUAGCUUUGAAGUCGUUCACAACAUCAAUAGUGGAGCUUUGCUUAUUGUUAAGUGGCUACUUUACUGUUAGUGUUAGAAGUUGGUUGUGAUGCUUGGCCACGUUUCAUGUACUAGGUGGUUAUCCCAUACUAGGUACCAGACUUAGAAUGCACCCAUCGUAGCACUAACUUUCUUGAUUUUCUUUGUUAACUAAACUAGAUUAUUUUCCUUGACUUUUUGUUUGGUAGUUGCAGUUUUUAAGUAAUCUAUUGUAAGACAAGUGUGUAAGGUUAUUUUGAUCAUCUUCUCUAGUGUCUAGUAAUUGGUUUUCGAUAUCUCUGGUUUUUCUCCUUAAAACUUUCUUUACUUCCUUUGUGAGUUCUUUCAUAAUCAUCAACCAAAUAUGUUUCCUAACGUAGUAUCAAAGUAGUAAGAAGGAUCUUAAGGGACCUAAUUUUUUUUUCUUCAAGUGUGAAAGCCAAUAUCAUCUUAGUAUUCUCUUUUGCUUACAUCUCAUUGUGUUUCAAUGGCUUUGGCAAGUUACAAUGCCUCCGCUCCAUUUGUUUUUUCUGGAGAUAAUUACCUUAUAUGGGCUAUUAAGAUGAAGGCUUAUCUCCGAGCCUUUGAUUUGUGGGAGGUUGUAGAAGUUGGGGGAGAACCCCCGUUUAUGAGGCAUGCCAAUCCUACCAUCACUCAAAUAAAGUAGCACAGUAAAGAGGUGGCUAAGCGUUAUAAGGCUAUCUCUUCUAUUCACUGCAUCGUGACUAACUCAAUCUUCACAAAAAUUAUGGCUUGUGAAUCUCCAAAAGAAGCUUGGGACAAGCUUGAAGAGGAAUUUCAUGGUAGUGAUAAAACAGGACAAAUUCAAGUACUCAAUUUACUGAGGGAGUGUGAGGUAUUAAAGAUGAGAGAAGAUGAGACAAUAAAAGACUGUUUAAAGUAUUGAAGAUUGUCAAUCAACUGAGGUUGUUGGGUGAGGAGCUCUUUGACAGAAGGAUUGUGCAUAAAUUUCUGGUUAGCUUACCAAAAAAAUUUGAAGCAAAAAUCUCCUCCUUGGAAGACUCAAAGGAUAUGUCUAAACUUUUGGUGAUUGAACUGGUAAAAGCAUUACAAGCGCAAGAACGAAGGAAAGCCAUUUGUCAAUAGGAGAGUGUUGAGAGUGCUCUUACAACAAGGAUAAACUUUCUCAGAUUUGUUUAGCAACUAUAGUGCUAAGAAACAUAACACCAGGCGAGAUACAGAAAAAAAGAAUGGUGAUGGCAAGCUAAACAAAUAAGGAAAUAAAUUUCCUCUAUGUUAGCACUGUAAAAAAAGGAACCAUACUCCUACAUAUUGUUGGUACAAGCUUAACAUUAAGUGUAGGUCUUGUAACUAAUUAGAUCAUCUCAAAAAGGUAUGUAAAGCCAAGCAUGGUCACACAGAUGAAAAGGCAGCAAUUGCAAAAUAGGUAGAUGCAACAGAAGAACAACUCUUUACGGCUCAGAUUGCUGAUGAUAAGGAAAGGAACACAUGGCUUAUAGAUAGUGGGCACUCCAAUCACAUGACAGGGAAUGACCAACCCUUUACCAAGUUUAACAGAAACUUCAAGGCAAGAGUUAUAAUUGGGAAUGGCCUUUAUUUAAAGAUUAUGGGAAUAGGAAGAGUAGUUGUGGAAACAAUGAACUACAUUAAAUACAUCUCAAAGGUCCAUUAUGUGCUUGAAGUGACACAAAAUCAUUUAAGUGUGGGUCAACUAGUUGAAAAUCAUUAUGCUUUUUUGUUUAAAGAACAAUUUUGUUCAAUUUUUGAUCCAUCUGGCAAUGAGUUAAUGACAGUCAAAAUGAGAAAUCAAAAGCUUUUCUAUUGACUAAAUGAAAAUUGAGCAUACUGCCUGUGUUAGUAAAAAAAUUGAUGCUAAAUUGUGGCAAAAAAUGUUAGGACAUGUAAACUUUAAAUCUUUGAGUUACAUGAUUAAUUCUAACACUAUUGAAGGACUUCUUGGUAUGUCCAUUCCUAAGUAAACUUGCAGCCCUUUUAUGCAUGGCAAACAAAGUCGUAUGCCAUUUCCCUUUUCAAGUUCCCGGAGAGCAAAUGACAAAUUACAACUAGUCCAUUCUAAUGUUGGUGGUCCAGUUAGUACUGCUUCACUGACUGGUAGCAUCUAUUAUGCCAUUUUUAUUGAUGACUUUUUUCAAUAUUGUUCGAUUUAUUUUCUAAAAAAUAAAUCAGAGGUAUUUGAAAAGUUUAAGGGCUUUAAGGCGUUGGUGGAGAAUGAGUCUAAAAAUCGUUUGGAAGUUUUUAGAACUGAUAAUGGUUCAGAGUUCUAUUCAAAUACUUUCAAGAGUUACCUUGUGGAAAAGGGAAUUAAGCAUCAGUUAACAAUCAUAUACACUCCUCAACAAAAUGGCAUUUGUGAGAGAAAAAAUAGGACCAUAUUAGAGAUGACAUGCUGUUUAGUACAUGAGAAAGGAUUGCCCAAGUUGUUUUGGGCAAAGGCUGCAAGUAACACAAUAAUUUUGCUUAAUAUCGUGCCUUCAAGCAGUCUAAAAAAUUGGAAUGCCCAUGAAAUCUGGUUUUGAGAAAAACCCUUUGUGACUUACUUGAGAAUUUUCAGGUGCAUUUGUUAUGUGAAAAUUCCUCAUAAGAAGAGAACCAAAUUAGAUUACAAGACAAAGAUUUGUAUUCACCUUGGUCAUAGCAGUGUCUCCAAAGGAUAUCGGGUUUACAUUGUUCAAAGCAAGAAAAUAUUUGUCAAUAGAGAUGUUUGGUUCGAUGAGAAAAGCAUAUGGCAUUGGGAAAAGAAUGCUGUUGGAAUUUCAGAGAAUUUGAACUUCCUUGAUGAUGUAGUUUUGAAUGAACAGAAUCAUGAAGAAGAUAUUAAAGAUAAGAGUUUAGCAGUCAAAAGAACAAGAACAUUACAAGACAUAUAUAUUAAAUGCAAUAUUGUUAUAGUUGUGCCCUCCAAUUUCGAAGAAACAUCAAUAGAAAACAAUUAGAGACAAGCCACGGAGACUGAAAUAGAAAUGAUCAGAAAAAAUCACACUUGGGUCCCUGUUGAUCGACCAUCAGAUUAAAAUAUCAUUGGAGUAAAAUGGAUAUUUAAAACAAAGUUGAAUGAUGAUGGAGCAAUCAAUAAAUACAAAGCCAAGUUAGUUGUUAAAGGGUAUUCCCAAGUUUAUGGGGUGGAUUACUGGGAAACAUUUGUUCUAGUGGUCAGACACGAUCCAAUAAGAUUACUCAUUGCUAUAGCAGCAAGAGUAGGGUGGAAAAUCUGGCAUAUGGAUGUCAGGUCAGCUUUUUCGAAUGGCACAUUAUCUAAAGACAUCUUGAUUAAGCAAUCGGAAGGCUUUGUAGAACUUGGCAAUGAAGGAAAAGUUUGCAAGCUUGUAAAGGCAUUAUAUGGGCUCAAAUAUGCUCCCCGAAAAUGGUAUGAUAGAAUUAGCACAUAUUUAAAGUCUUAAGGCUUUAUCAAAAGUGCUAACAAGCCUACAUUAUAUGUAAGUGCUUCAUCUAUUUUUGAUAAGCUCAUUAUUUCUCUUUAUGUGGAUGACCUGUUGAUCACUGGUCCUAGUGGGUCGGUUUUUGAUGAUUUCAAAAGAAGCAUGAAAUAAGAAUUUGAGAUGUUAGACUUGGGGGAAACUUAUAGAAGUUUAAUUGGUUCUUUACUAUACUUAACAGCCUCAUGGCCUGAUUUAAUGUUCACAACAAGCUUAUUAUCUAGAUACAUGCAAGCUCCAUUAGAGAUUCAUUUUUUAGCUAUGAAAAUAGUUCUGUGAUAUAUCAAGGGAACCAUGGACUAUGGAUUGAAGUUUGAAAAACAAGAAAGCAAGGAGCUAAUGGGAUAUUGUGAUAGCAAUUAAGCUGAAUGCUUGAAUGAUUCCAAGAGUACAAGUGGAUUUUGUUUUUCAUUCGACAAUGCUGUUUUUUCUUGGAAUUCUUGAAAGCAGAAAGUGGUUGCCCAAUCAUCAGUAGAGGCCGAAUAUAUCUCUGUUGCUUUUUUGGCUUAAAAAAAUGCUUGGAGACUUGGGUUUCGUACAAACAGAGGGCACUACUCUGUUAAUUGAUAACAGGUCAGCCAUUUCAAUUGCCAAAAAUCCUAUGCAGCAUGGUCGCACUAAACAUAUCAGAGAUAAAUAUUGAGUUGGUCUACAAAAAUAUUAGAGGCAUCUCAUACAAAGCUUAUGUUUAUAGUUUUGGUAUGUUGUUGAUGGAAAUGGUGGGAAGGAGGAAAAAUUUGAAUGCAUUCGUUGAACAAUCAAGUCAGAUAUACUUUCCAUCAUGGAUUUAUGACCGAUUUGAUCAAGGAGAGGACAUAGAGUUGGGAGAUCUUGCAGAUGUGGAAAAGAUAAUCGUGAGGAAGAUGUCAAUAAUAGCUUUUAGGUGUAUACAAAUGAAGCCUAAUGAUCGUCUUUCAAUGAACAAAGUCUUGGAGAUGCUCGAAACUGAUAUUGAGCUCCUCAAAAUGCCUCCCAGACCUUUUCAACUUCCUUCUGAAGCAUCAACUUCAUGUUAAAUGUAGUGUAAACUGGUGAACAUGUGUUUCAUUAUGUCACCUAUGUCGUUUUGUAAUUUUAUGCCUAGCGACUCAUAAUUAAUCGUACAAGUUUUAUGUAAGAUACUUGUGAGAAACAGUAUAUGUAUAAAAUCUUUCAGAUAAAAGAAAUUCGAUUGGUCUAUUUCCAUUUAGUGAGCGGUUAAACCAUUUUGUUUUAAAGCCCUCGAAGAUUGUUUUUCGCUCAAGAAAGGUCUCCAUUCAAGAAAUUGCAACCUAGAUGCAUGUGGAUAAAAUUUAUGUUUUUAUGGUUGUUUUUCUCAAUUUUUUUCCCUUAAAGUGUGAAUCUAUUCAUCAUUUUUUUUUCAUCAUUGUUCUUUAUCUAUUUUUUUUCACCUUUGUUCUUUAUCUAAGGACAUCAUCAGCUCCUUGUAUUUAGUGGAGUAAUUAAUAUUGGGUGAUCAUUUUGGCCCACCUUAUUUUAAUAUUAAGGUGUUUAGUUGGUUGGCAAGUGGCAAGGAAUGAAAAUAACUUCUCUACAAGGGAUUUGUGAUUUAACUCGAGCUAGAUUGAAAUGGUGGAUUUUAGCCAAAAAAAAUUGCUUGCUAGUUUCUCCAAAAUAGUCUUCCUCAAAAUUAAUGAUAUUCCUUUGGGUGUACCCUCUAAGUUUGAUAGGUCAACGGUUUUCUGGUCCAAUUUGGACUCCUUGUAUCUCAUUUUAUUGUUCUUUUUGAUUUUCAAGGAGUUUAAUUUUUAUAUUAUUUUAUAUAAAAAAUACUUUUUUAUAAAAUUUUAAUGAAAACUUUCAUUUGAUUGCCAUCAUUCAUUUAAAAAAAGAUCUUAGAAAUGUUUUAAAAGUAUUCUUUUUCAUGAAAAUGUGGCAUCUUUUUCAGGUAUGAUAGUUAUAGCUAUCUAAAAAAAAAACAUCAAUCACAAAAUUCUAUCACGAACUUUUUUCAAAAUUUGAAAUUUCAAAUUUCAAAUUGAACCUCUCAUUGUAAUGGUUUUUUGUUUGAAAAUUUUAUUUUAGUUAUUAAAAUGACCAAAUCUAAUACAAAUUUGAACUUUACAAUAUUUUAGAAUGGAAUUUUCUUUUUAAAUGAGAAUACAUUUAAAAGUACAAAUCAUAAUACCAAUUAAAUAACUCUGAAACAUAUAUGAACUAAUUAAACCAUCGACAUUUAUGCUAGUCAUACUAACUCUUUUGUUUUAUCUUAGUGUAACACGUGCAAUUAUCAAAAUAAUAUUCUAGAUUAAAUUAUAUAAAAUUCUUUUGCAAAUAAAAUGUAUAUAAUAUAUAUAAAUUUAUUAUUAAAAUAAAAAGUAAGACAAACUAUUUCCAAAUUCAUUUUGAUAUUUACAUCAUUGAUUAAUAAGUUUUAACAUUUGAAUUACUUUGGUGCUAUUAUUGAGAGUCCUACUUAUACCCACUAUUGGUUUUCGGAAAAUGAGAAGAAAAUUCCUAAAGAUAUUUUCCCAGAGCUUGACUUUGAUUUUUACUUAAUCCAAAAAAUUUGUACUUUUGUAUCUCAUUUUUUAUUUUCUUCAGAAAAUAAAAGAAAAUUCCUAAAGAUAUUUUCCAAGAGCUUCACUAAUGGGUUAAACUAUUUGCUUAAAACAUCUUGCAUCUGAUUAGUCAUAUUGUAAGUAGCUACACUAAAUCUAGGAACUUAGGCAACUUGAUCAAGUCAAGAGCAUGUUGUGGCGACUUUGUAUACACAAUAGAAAAUGGAGAUUUUCCUAUGGCACUAUGAACAGUACUAUUAUAAGCAAACUCUGUUUAUGCCAAUGCAAAGUCCCAUUACUUCAGACUAUCUCUGCAAAUACUGCGAAUCAUAUUACCAAGGGUUCUGUUCACUGAAUUAGUUUGGCCACCAGUUUGUGGAUAAGCUAUGCUGCUGUAAUUCAAGAAUGAAUCAAACAUCUUCCAUAAAGUCCUCCAAAAAUGGCCAAGAAACGUGUCGUCUUGAUCUGAAGUGAUGGUUUUAGGUACACCAUGCAGACAAACAACCUCCUUGAAAAACAAUUUGCAAUUUGGCUAUUCCGCUUGAAUCUAAAGUCUUCUUGUAAGGGAUAAAGUGCACCAUUUUUGAAAACCUAUCAACGACAACAAAAACAGAAUCUAUGGACUUUUUUGUUUGAGGUAGUCCAAGCACAAAAUCCAUAGAUAAAUCUUUCCAAAUAUUUUUUGGAACAGGUGAAGGCAUGUACAAACCAGUAUUUUGGGACUAUCGCUUUGUGGUAUGGCAUAUGUAACAUCAUUGCACAAAUCUUGUUACAUCCCUUCUCAAAUGUGACCAAUAAUAUCUUUCUCCAAUAGCAGUGAUCGUCUUGUCACGACCUAAAUGAAUAGCAAGACCUCCACCAUGCAAGUCUCUAAUCAACUUUUCUCUCAAUGAACAUUUAGGAAUGCAAAGCUGGUUACCCCACAUUAGAAAACCAUCAUGAAUGUAAAAAUCCUCAACAAGUUAAUGUGUGAUACACUUUUUCCAGGUAUCAUGAAAAUCCUCAUCUGUAGGAUACAAUUCCCUGACUGUAUCGAAGCCCAUAACUUCUUGUCUCAUUGUCACCGACACAUUUGCACAUUUACUCAAUGCAUCUGUUAUUUUAUUAUGAACUCCAACCUUGUGCCUCAGCUUAGCAUGUAUUUCUUUAUUGAUCUGUUUCUGACAAUUCAAGUACUUCAGUGCUUCAUGAUCUGAGAAUAGAACAAAUUCUCACUUGACCAAGUAAUGCUCCUAAUUCUUUAAAGCACACUCAACAAAAUAAAAUUCUUUAUCAUACGUGGUCCACUUACGCCUUGCAUCAUUGAGCCUUUCACUGAAAUAAGCUACUGGUUUUUUCUUUUGUGAAAGAAAAACUCUUAUCCCCACACCACCAGGGUCACAUUCAACUUCAAAUAAUGCAUCAAAAUCUGGCAAUACUAAAACAGGAACGGUAGAUAGCUUCCCUUUUAGCACGGCAGAACUAUCUUCUGCUUUUUCACUCUAUUGCAACUUCCCUUUAUUCAAGCACUCUGUAAUAGGCGCUGCAAUACUACUAAAAUUUUUGAUAAAACACCUGUAGAAUGUUGCCAACCCAUGAAAACUUCUGACUUUCGUUACUGUUUUUUUGGUAGGCCUUUUUCUAAUAGAUCGAAUAUUCUUUUCAUCCACCUGAAUUCCAUCUGCACUAACUACAUAGCUCAGGAAUAAUAGCUUAUUUGUCAUAAAGUUGCACUUCUUCAAGUUCACAUACAACUUAUUUUCCUGUAAGACUAUUAGUACUUUGCACAAAUGCAAAAGAUGUUCAUCUUUUGAUCAACUAUAAAUUAGGUUAUCAUCAAAAUAAACCACAACAAAUUUUUCAAUAAAAGGUUUCAAUACCUGAUUCAUCAAUUGCAUAAAGGUACUAGGCACGUUGGUUAACCCGAAUGGCAUCACAAGUAACUCAUACAAUCAUUCCUUCAUUUUAAAAGCUGUUUUCCAUUGAUCCUCAAGUCUAAUUCGAAUCUGGUAGUAUCCAAUACGAAGAUCAAUCUUUGUGAACACCUUAGCUCCAUGUAACCUAUCAAGGAUGUCAUCUAGCUUCGGAAUUGGAAACUUGUAUCCAACAGUAAUCUUGUUGAUGGCUCGGCGACUACACACAUCCUUCAACUCCCAUCUUUCUUUGGGGUUAGUAAGGCAGGAACUACACAUGGACUCAUGCUCUCCUAGAUAUGUCAUUUGCACAAUAAUUCCUCCAUUUUCUCUUUGAGAAUCUUGCUCUUCUUUGGGCUCAUCCUGUAAUGAGGCAACUUUGGCAAACUAGCACCAAGAAUCAAGUCAAUAUGGUGCUGAAUUUCAUUAAUUUAUACAAAAUUCUAUCACGUAACUUUUUUCAAAAUUUCAAAUUUCAAAUUUCAAAUUGAACCUCUCAUUAUAAUGUUUUUUUGUUUGAAAAUUUUAUUUUAGUUAUUAAAAUGACCAAAUCUAAUACAAAUAUGAGCUUUACAAUAUUUUAGAAUGGACAUUUCUCUUUAAAUGAGAAUACAUUUAAAACUACAAAUCAUAAUACCGAUUAAAUAACUCUGAAACAUAUAUAAACUAAUUAACCCACCAUACAUGUUAGAAAAAAUUUCGACUUAUAUGCCAGCGACUUACUCUUUUGUUUUAUCUUUGUGUAAUAUGUGCAAUUAUCAAAAUAAUAUUCUAGAUAAAAUUAUAUAAAAUUCUUUUGCAAAUAAAAUGUUUAUAAUAUAUAUAAAUUUAUUAUUAAAAUAAAAAGUAAGGCCAACGAUUUUCGAAUUCAUUCUAAUAUUUACAUCAUUGACUAAUAAAUUUUAACAUUUGAAUUAUUUUAAUGCUACAUUUUAACAUUUGGCUUAUUGGUUGAUGUAUGAUCCAUUAGCUAAAGAGCAAAGUUCGAAUCCCUUUCUCCUAAUUAAAAAAAUAUAUAUAUUUUGGUGCUAUUAUUGAAAGGUCCUAUACCCACUACUGGUUUUCGAAAAAUAAGAAGAAAGUUCCUAAAGAUAUUUUUCCAGAGCUUGACUAAAUGGUUAAACUGUUUUCCACAUUGACUUAUGAUUUUUCAAACAAUGAUCGCUCUCAUUUACUUAAUCCAAAAGAAGCAAAAAAAAGAAAAAAUCUUUGUUAGGAGCCAGUUUUGCCAUAAGUUAAUAUCUUCACCAGAGGAUUAUUACUUUAUAAUACUAUUUCAAUGGGAUUGUUUCUCUCUUUGUUUGGAAGGUUGGUUGCUCUGAAAUUUUGGAUCUUGUUCUGACUUUUUGACAAAAAAAAAAGACUUUAAUGGAUUACCAUUUUUAGGUUCAUAAAUGCUCUUAAUAAUCUUACUCUUUUUCAUUUAAUAUUUUUUCAUAUUUGACAUAAAAUGUCAUUAAAUAUUGAACAUCAUUAUAUAAAUUUUUUUUAAAAUAACACACAUUAAAUUAAAGGGAGAGGCUAUUGGCACUCCCCAUUAUCUAUUUACACUCCCCACUAACAACUAAACACUGUAAUUUCUUAAAUUAGCUUCACUUAAAUAACUUCUUUUUGUUAAAGUUAAACUUUAAUUAAAUAUAUUAACAUUUUGUUGACUUCAUAUGUUUUUUAUUAUAACAAAACAUACCUCAUUCAUUAAUAUCUAACUUCACUAUUUAAGUGUGUCGGAUUUAAUUUUGUACCCUUAACAAAGCUAUUAAUUAAAAGCAAGUCAAGAAGCUUGUUGAAUUAAAAGAACAAGUUAAUCGGUUGAAAAAGGAAAGAACAAGUAAUGAACAAAGACAGAACAUUAGUAACUGAUUAUCAAAGAACCUUAAUCAAUUAAGGAAUGGCUGUGUGACAAGUUGAAGCAAAACAGAAAAAUAUUAAUCGGUUAAAAGGUUUGGUUAAUCGGUUAAAGCACAAGGUCUUAAUAUCUUCAAGCGUCAAAAACAAGUUUAAAAAUAUUAUUGAUCAUUGAAGGGAGCCAAAAUGGAGAAGUUUAAAAUUCAAAAAACUUCUAGUUGAUUAAAGGUGAUUUUAAUUGGUUGUGGUUGAAAAAAGUGAAGCUUCAAUCAGUCAAGGGAAGUGCUGACCAAUUAGAGGAAGACUGUUGUGUAGAGAAGUGAAAACAGAAAGUUUGUAAUCAGUUAGAGCCUGCCAUAAUCAGUUAGAGAAAGUCUGUUGAAGAAGAUAAGUCUGAAGACAGAAAACUCUUAAUCGGUUAGAGCCUCUUGUAAUUGAUCAGAGUAGAGAAAACAGCAACAGGAUAGUGCAAGACAGAAAGUCUAUAAUCGGUUAGAACUAUCUGUAAUCGAUUAGCUGAAGUCUGUCUCUCUUUUUGAAUUUAAAUGCUAGAGGAUAAAAUAAUGGCUAAAAGUGUAUUAGAGUUGUUCCCAACAUCUAAAAAUUAUCUCCAACAGAAAAAUCUGACUCCCCAAGUAUAAAAGGAAGUUCCCACGGUCAAAGAAAAAAGAGUUUUUGGAAGAUUUGAAGAAAAAAGAUCUACUUUGAGCAAAAAGUCAAAUAUUCUUCACCAAAAACACUUGUUUUUCAUUCCAAUUCUAUAAAAAGUGCUUGAGUUGAUUGUAAUCUAUCCAGACUUGUAAAGGCACUUAGUUGUACUUCUUUUUCUUCUCUUUCUUGGGAAAUUAGAGUGUGGAAGCACUCUAAAGAUCGAGAAGCUUGAGAUAAAGUAACCAAGAGGAGGGGUGAAUUGGUUGUUUAAAGCAAAAACUUGAUUUUUCUUGAAAAACAGAGGUAAAGAUGAAGACUUUGAAAGUACAACUUAGAAACCAAAGUAUGAGAACUUAUAAAAUGAAGAACAAAGCAAGUAAAAAGUAUAAAGUAGAAGAAAAAUACUCAAUCAAGAUUUUUAUAGAGGUUCGACUUUUGAAGCCUACAUCCUCUCCCUUGAUAUCAAAAAGAGUUUGAAUCCACCAUCAACUACCUUUUUCAACUAGGUUCAAGCAUAACCUUUACAAGUAACUACCUUUUAAGGAUCAAGAAUAACCUUUCAACAAGUCAUUGCCUUUUUAAAAUCAAGCACAGUCUAUACAAAUCAUUGCCUCUUUAAGAUCAAGCAUAACUUCUCUACCUUUUGCUAUGGAGGUAUAACCUUACAACGGUAGAUUACAAAGCUUUGAACCUCUAACAAGGUUGAUGAGUUGAGUUUAGUACAAGAGAAUGAAAAUGAAUCGAGGAAUGUUAUGCUUUGAGAGUUUUGUUGUAGAGAGAGAAAGGAAUGAACUUUGAGAAAUUUUUGCUUCUUUUUCUUCUUUGAGUAAUUUUCUUGCUCUUUUUUCUUUCUAGUUGUUCUUUUCACUUGAAAAGGUCAUUCACAAAGGUAUUUAUAGGUCUUUUAAAUUUUUUCCCAUUAAAGAGAAGUUUUGUUCAUUUUUUAAUAGUAAGGGCCACUUGACUUGCGUCAGUUAACCUUCAAGAAUCAAUUGAUGGACAUGUGAGAAGUCGAUUCUUUUGUAACUUGAGACUUUUUGCUUUUUGAGAAUUGAUCUUCCUAUUCUUAAGAUAUCAAUUCUUCUCCCUUUGAUUUGAGUACGAUGCUUUCUAUUUGGCGAGAAUCGAUUAGUGUGUUUGCAAGUAGUCAAAUUUUCUUGUCUCACUUCAAGUCUUGAGCAUUUUGUUUUAUGAUAAUCGAUAACUAUCUUCUCUAAAAGUCAAUUCUUUUUAUCUGGUGAGUGUCAAAUUGAAAUGUCAAAUUCAAUUUUUUUCCAUUCCUUUCUUGUCCUAUUCUCCAUUUUUACUUCUUCAACAAGUUUCUGCUCUUUCCUCUUUGUAGGUUGAUCAUGGGAUACCUGAGAAGUCAAUUCUUCUUUUCUAGUGUCUUCUCAUCAUGUUUCUACCUUAUCAUGAAUUGACUUUUACUUCUUGAGACAUCUCUUCUUCCCCUUCCUGUAGCUUUAUGUUUCAUCAAUAAUUUUAACGUGACUUAACAAAAACAGUCAAUUAUGGCAUGAGUUGCCAUGGAGAUUGAUUAUCGCAAUGUUGUCAAGUGGCUUACCGAUCCUAAUGAGAUGUCAUGGAGAUUGCGAGCAAUGGUUAUUCAAAUCUGAUCCCUACUUGCAAAAGUUGAUAGAUGGAGUAGUACUCACAUAGCACGUUCUGCCAACCAAUGGCUGACACGUUGGCUAAGGAGGGAGUGCUUAGACCUUAUGACUUUUUCUGGAUGAUCGGUGAAGCCUCAAGCCAGUUUGCUCUCUCUCUCUUCCCUUAAAUGCUGCUGGUUGAUUUCAUAAAUCUGUAAUGCUGUCCCUCUUGCUUAAAGGCACCCUGUGAUUUGUGAACCUGGUCAAUAUUUUGAUCUUUGAUAGCUGUAUCUGCCCUGAUUCUGGAUAUACUUCUGUAUAGCUUUUGUCCCUGUUUUUUGGCUUAGUGGGAUCUCUUCCCCCUGCACUUAUCUGUUAAGGGUGUUGUUUUUGUACAGUUGCUAUGGUGGUAUUUUUGUCUCUUAACAAGGCCUUUUGACCUCCUUGUCUUAACUGUACAGGUUCCUUUUAAUCAAUGAAGUGAUGCCUUCCCAAAAGAAAAUUACGGUAUGAGUUUGGACACAGUGCCGCGUAUGCCUAGCACUAGCUGUUUGCCACCUCUACUUUGAAUAUGAGUUCCAGGAUAGCUUGACAAAUUGACUUUGACUUUUCAAAGGAUGACUUGGAUUAAUUAACUGCCAUAAAAAAGAAAUAUGUUUCAGUGCUUCUAUAUUUCCUUGAUUAGACAUGGGAACUUGCUAGCAUCGUGCCUCCAUCCUCGUUCUGCUUCUUCCCCACCCAAAUUCUUUAGCAUGCCAAAGCCAAAAGCACGACUUCCGCUGUUAGGCCUAAUGGCCCUUGCUUUAUUUCUACUCCCUGAAACUUGCAGUGCCAGAAGUAGAAACAAGGAUUGCGGAACUUCUCUAUGUGGAAACGUUCCCAUCAGAUACCCUUUCCGAUUAAAAAGCCAACCUCGCAGGUGUGGUGACCAAAAGCUUGAACUGCAGUGUGAGAAUAAUAACCUGACCACUUUGGUCCUGGAGAAGGGGAAAUUCUUUGUGCAAGACAUCUCUUAUGAAAAUUAUCAAAUACGAGUUGUCGAUGCGAGUUUGGGCUGGGAUAAUUGCUCCCUUCCUCUUAGUUCUGUGUCUGUUCGAUUUUCCGAGUGUGGGGCGACAUCGUAUCAACCUGGAUUUUUUGUUUCUGAAUUUAGCACUAUGUUUCUUGUAAAUUGCACAAGACCGAUUAAAUCUUCCAUCUACGUUGAUGCGUCCCGUUGCUCCCCAAUUAAUAGCUCUUCCCAUCCACCUUCCUACUUUUAUUUUUUAGAUCAAGAAACCAAAUCACCAGAUUUCAAUGAAUCUUGCACAGUCAUAGCUCAGGUUCCAAUUAUGCUUAAGAAUAUCAGAGGCUUGUCUACUUCGGAUAUCUACCGAAAGCUUUUACCGGGCUUCGAGAUGUCAUGGAAAGACUACAAUAACACCUGCUACAAAGUUUCAUUUCACGAUAUGUAAGUAUUUUCGAGCAUUAUGAGAUCUCUUAUCAUGUUGAGAUUGGUUUGGGUUAUUAAAUCAUGAUUUGGAAAACUUAUAGUAAUUAAAUUCUUCUUUUUACUUAAUUUCUGUUAAUAUAAAAAAAUUUUGAGCUUAUUUUACAUUUUAUAUUAUAUAUAGCACUCUUUCUCAACAUUAAUCGUCAAAGUUUCUUUUAUAUAGCCGUUUAUUUUGACUUGAUGUGUUGAAUAUUCUAGAUUGGCGGGGUUGGGAUAUGCGUUGAGAACCUAUGUGGACAGCUUUGUAUAUUAUCUUUUCAAUGGCCCCCACGUAUCCUACAAUUCUAUGGAUCCACCUACAAGUAUGCUUUCCGAAAUUCAUUAGUUACAAUUAUUGUUAUCGCCUUUCUUCAUUUGUAGGAAUAAUUAUUUUUGGUUUAAUCUCGGUAUCUUUUCUCAGGUACAUAUAUCAUCUGCCUUGAAGCAACAGGUGAGUUUUAGCUUUGUAAUUGCAUUAUACACCAGACUAUGACCUUUUCUUGUCUUAUGGAAAGAAUUACUAAUGCUUAUACGUUAGAAACUAUAUGCUAGAAAUUAGAAAAAUAUCCACAUGUAUAUUCCCAAAUUUCUUAUUAAGAAUUUUAUCUAUAAACAAACAUAUAGUUAAGCAUAUAAAAGUUUAGAAACUCUUCCAUUAUAUAUGUUUAGAAGAAAUAAUAUUGUUGAGGCUUGAUUAACUACAUUUAAGUUUGAGUAAGCGGAUAAGAAUCUUAAAAAGAAGUUGAUAACUAAACACUCAAUUAAUUUAGGCAACUCGUGAAGAUGGUGUUGACACGAUGUUCAUAAUUAGCCCUUUUUAAAAUUUAAAUAAGAUAUAUAAAAGAGAAAGAUCAUACAAAUCACAUGAUUGACAGUUUCUACAAACUAAGCUAUAAAAGCAAACGUAAUUUCAUCAAACUAAACCAUAGAAAAAAACAUAUAAACGAUAGAAUACUUAACAUUCAUAGCUAACAAAUAAAUUUUUAAAGAAAAAAAAAUACUGAAAAGAUAAAAACAUAGCCAGUAACUCUCUCUCUCUCUCUCUCUCUCUCUCUCUCUAUAUAUAUAUAUAUAUAUAUAUAUAUUUCAAUGACUUAUUCCUAUUCUUUAAACACAAUAAUUUAUCAACCUAAAACUGACAAUACUCUUAAGCCACCCAAUUACCUUCUUUGCUACUUUUGUAGGAGAAUAAAUUCAAUCCUUUAUAAUAAAAUCAUAAAUUAUGACAUAUUAUGAAUAUUUAAUUUUGUAAUCAACACAUACACGAAUAGAAUCACUAACAACCAUACCUAGCAAAUUAAUCAAUUAAAAUAAAAGGUUGAACGAAAAUAGAAAAAGAAAUAUGAAUCAUAGGUAGGUAAAUAUUAAUAGGAAAAAAGAAAAGAAAGAAAAUUAUAAAUAUGCUUCAAUGAUUUAUGAUUAUAUUUUAAUGAUUUUUCUAACAUAAAUUAAACUCAAGAAAAAUAUAAAUAUGCUUCAAUGACUUUUUUUUUUUGAAAGCAUAUGAUAUUUUAUUAAUAAUUAAAGAGAAUAAUCUCUAAAGAGUUGUUUAAGAUGUUACACAAUCAAUAAAAUAAAUAAAUAAAAAAAAUCGAGCACACCUACAAGAACACAAAAAUUUACGUGGUUCGGUCUUUAGAUUAUUUACAUCUAUAGGCACAACAAUAGAGAAAGAUCCAAUAAGAAAAAUCAAGAUAUUAUAAGAACAAUUUUAAACUCACAACUUUUAUCCCUCAUAUAACUAAAUCACUUUCUCUAGAUCUAGGCUUAUAAUAUGCUUUAACUCCAUAUGAUCAUUUAUAGGACCAAGUACAAUAAUCUUAUCCUAGUCUUAUUAGGAUAUAUUACCUUAGUUUAGCUAUAAUUAAAGACUUGCUCAAUAAGAUAUAUUAGUUUAACUAGAAUUAAUCUAUCCUUAUCAAACUACAAUUCAAGACUUUCAUAACAAAUCUACACCUUAGGCUUGAAUUCACCAAGCUCCACUUACAAACCAAUCUCUCUCGUCACCACCAAUGCCCCAAAGGGCCUCAAACGCUAUGAACACCAAUCAAGUCCAAGCAAUUCAUGGACUUUACCCAUAAAUUGACUUAGUCAACAGAUUUGUCAUAUUUUUAAUUGUAUUUACUUUCUUCACUACAAUCUCACGUCUGGAAAAAAUCUCUCGAAUGAAGUUACACUUGGCUUGGAUAUGUUUAAUCUUUUCUUGAAACAUCUUAUUUUUGGCCAAGUGUAUGAUACUUUGACUAUCUCAAAACACAAUUGUAUGUGUUUGAUCAAAACCAAGAUCACUAACUAAGCCUUAAAGCCAUAAAGCCUCCUUCAUUGUCUCGAUCACUGCCAUAUAUUCAGCUUUAGUUGUAGACAAAGCAACUGUAACUUGAAGAACUACUUUCCAACCAAUCGUAAAUCUUAAGAGAGUGAAUACAUAUCUCGUUUGAGACCUUCUACUAUUUAGAUCACCAGCAAAAUCUAAAUUGGAGAAGCCAACCACAUUAUAACUAGUGUUUGAAUCUCCUUCAUACAUUAAAUGAAAAUCUAUAAUGCCUUUAGGUGGUUAAACAAGCUCCCAUGUUUGAUUUUGGUGUAGAGACUCAAUCUCUUCAUUCAUGGCAAUAAGCCACCAAGAAGACUUGGUACAUGUAAUUGCUUCACAAUGAAAGUAAGGCUCAUUAGUCUCUACUUCUUCAACCAUAAAUAAAACAUAAAAAUCAAAAUCACCAAUGACACAAGUAAUGAAAUCAUCAUACUUUUGAAGUGUUCUUGAAUUCUUUAUAUUCUUGGUUUGUGUAUAGAAAUGCUUUGUUGUUGUAUAUGAGAUACCGAUUCAUUUACCUCUUGUGAUUCAAUCUAGAUUUCACUACUACCUUGCACUAUCCCAAGAGCAUUAGUUUAAAGCUCCACAUGGUCACUAACUUCUUGGUCUUAUAAGAUUUUCAUUCUAGACUUUAUCCUAUGAGGUAAUGCAAACUCAUUAAAGUAACAACUCAACUCACCAUAAACUUGGGAGACGUCAGAUUAAUACACCACAAUCAAUAUCCCUUCACCCUAAAUGCAUAACCUAGGAAUAUGUACUUUUUACCCUCGAGUCAAGCUUACCAUCAUUUGCACAAGCAUAAGCAAGAUAACCAAACACUCUUGAUAUAGAGUAAUUAAUGCGUUUACCUAACCCAAGUUCCUUAGGAAUUUUAGAUUCAAUUGUAGUUAAUGGAGACAAAUUUACCAAGUAGCAAGCUAUGUUGGUAGCUUUUUCCUAGAAUACUUUAGAUAAACCAAUAUUAAAGAGCAUGCUUCAUGCUUUUUCAAAAAGUGUUCCAUUCAUUCGCUCUACAACACCAUUUUGUUAUGGUGUUUUGAUGAUAGUGCGAUGUCUAAUGAUUCUGUAAUUCUUAUAGUACAAAUCAAACUCAUUUUUGCGAAAUGCCAAAUCAUCGUCUAUUCAAAAGCACUUGGGCUUUUUCCCAGUCUACUUCUUAAUCAAUGCCUUCCAUUGGAAAAAGGUGGUAAAAACUUCAAUUUUUGUCGUUAGAAAAUAUGUUCAAACUUUCCCUGAGAAAUCAUCAAUGAAAGUCACAUGUAUAAUUAUCCCCCUUUUUAUGCCAUUGGAGAAAGACCUCACAAAUUUGAAUGGAAGUAGUCUACUAAACUCUUUCGGUUGAUGAAUUGUAAUGCUAAAUUUCACUCGACAUUGUUUACUAUAGACACAAUGCUCACAAAAAUCUAGCUUCCCAAUUUUUUGAUUACACAAUAAACCACACUUACUCAAUUCUAUUAUUCCUUUCUUGCUCAUAUGACUCAAUCUCAUAUGUCAUAAAUGUGUAACAUCAUCGUUAGGAUCAUUAGAUGAGACAAUGGAAUUAAUUCCUCUAAUCGUGCUUCCCACUAGAUGAUAAAUGGCCACUGCAUAACUUGCCUUUCAUGAUAGGUAAAGCUCCUUUAGAUACCUUAAAGACACUAUCUUGGCCAUUAUAUUUAUAGCCUUUCUUAUCAACAAACUCAAGGAUAUCACACUUUUUUCAUGUUAAGGACAUGUUUCACCUUAAGUGUCCUUAUCAUAAUAUCAAACAUCUUGAUCUAAAUGGUGCCAAUCCCAAAAAUUAAGAGAAAGAAAUCAUCUUUUAUUGUACAAUGCUUAUAUCAACAAAAUAAUAAAUUGUAAACUAACUACACUUAGGACAUAUGUGGAAGUAACAACCCAAAUCCAAGAUUCACAUAUCCAUCAUGUCACGACCCGGAACUCCUAUCGAGCCCGUGACAAUCGUCACGAAGUCUCGUCAGACAUUCUUUACCCCGAAUGCUGUCUGAAACCUUGUAAGGCUUUCGUAUCGAUUUUCUUACCUCCCCUGUGAUCGACAGUAACUAAAAUCGUGUUUUGAAACGAUAUGGACCAUCUUCCCAUCCAAAAACAAUGAAAAUUAAUUUAUGCCUCACAGGGGUAUUUUAGUCAUUAUUUUUUUCUCUUUUUUUUCGAAAAUUUCGAUAUCCGUAAAAAUGAAAUAUGUAAGUGGAAACACAUAUUUCAUUAUUUAAAUUAAAUUUUGAAGUCUAAAACAUUCGUUUAAAGUAAAAUUAUAACUAUUUGAAUAUAAUAAAAAUNNNNNNNNNNNNNUUGUUUAAAGUAAAAUUAUAGCUAUUUGAAUAUAAUAAAAAUAUUAAAUAAAAUAUUCUAUUUUCUUAAAACACAAUAUUUUCAAAGUCUUCCUAAAAUAACUUUUGUAGCGUAAGAGUAAAAUAAAUUUAUUCAUAUAGUAAUAAAGAUAACUAAAGUAUGAAAUUUUGUUUAUAGUGAUACGUGAGCCCUCAACUGACCAAAAAGGUGUAGGGCUGCGAACCCUUACGUUCUAGGAUGCAACUCCGAGAUUAAUUCUCGUUUUAAUCAACUAUCAACAAACUGUCCUGAGCUUGAAAAAUAGAUAGGAAGAGGGGUGAGAUUACAUAAUCCUAGUGAGUAAACAAUUACCAUCAAAAGCAUCUAAAGUCGAGUAAACGAAGACAAUAUAAAAACGUUAUAUCUCAAUAAUGUUCAUAACGCAAAAUUUGUUUCAAUCUAUACCAAACAAUUUCUUUUCAUCAAAAUUUCCCCGGCUUAUGAGUUUCUUAAACUUGGCCCUUGCCAGAAUCAUUCUCGCGGGUACCUUCGUCAAGGUAUCCCACUAAGACCGCCAAGGCUAUUAAAUGCCCUAUACCCAUAAAAAUGUUUUCGCAUCUGACACACAGCAAUUCUUUGGCAUUGGCUGAGUCUCACUCUCACGUGGUGUGUCGAACGUGAGGUGCACUCAAAUCUGACCUCAGGAGAUACUUUAUCCAACAUCUCCCCUUGGAGGUAAGUAUAUAAUUGGGUUACCGUGUCCCUCUCAUAGGCAGUCCACGGAAACCCCCACCACUGUAGUGACCGUUUAAUAUACCACCAGACCCAUAAAAUUUUCAGUAGCAUAAUAUGGCGAAUAAAAUUUAAUCCAGUCUACCGAGACCAAUCCAAAACUGUUCAUAUAUUUCAUGCCAACCCCAAAAAUUUAGCCAUCAUACUAUCAUAGUGUCAUAAGCCACAAUUUCACUAACAUAUAAAAUCAUAAAUUCAACACAGUCUCCAUAUACUCAAUUUUCUCAAAACAAUAUUUGAUUUCAAAACCAGUAUAAAUCUCAUUUUUAUUAAAAAAUAUUUUAAAUGGAAAACAUAAUAUUUUAUAAUUUAAACUCACCAUUCAAUAAAAACAUCAAACAAGUAUAAUUACUCUAAAUAUUUAAAACGAUAAAUUAUUCACUCACAGUAUUAGGAGUAGAAAUACUCCUAUUUUCAGUCCGAGGGUACAGUCCUUUACCUGUAUCCAAUGGCUCACCACCUAGCCAUAAUCCAUGACACAUAUUCCAAUUAAAUUGUGUCUAACAGUCAGAAGCUAUUUCAGGCUCGAUAUAUAUGCGUGAUAUGAAAUGAAAAAUGCUUGAUAUAUAUGCGUGUUCUUGAAUUCUUUAAUUUCUUGGUUUGUGUAUAGAAAUGCUUUGUUGUUGUAUAUGAGAUACCGAUUCAUUUACCUCGUGAUUCAAUCUAGAUUUCACUACUAUCUUGCGCUAUCCCAAGAGCAUUAGUUUAAAGCUCCACAUGGUCACCAACUUCUUGGUCUUAUAUGAUUUUAAUUCUAGACUUUAUCCUAUGAGGUAAUACAAACUCAUUAAAAGUAACAACUCAACUCACCAUAAACUUGGGAGACGUCAGAUUAAUACACCACAAUCAAUAUCCUUUUACCCUAAAUGCAAAACCUAAGAAUAUGUACUUUUUGCCCUCGAGUCAAGCUUACCAUCAUUUGCACAUGAGCAUAAGCAGGAUAACCAAACACUCUUAAUAUAAAGUAAUUAGUGCGUUUACCUAACCAAAGUUCCUUAGGAAUUUUAAAUUCAAUUGUAGUUAAUGGAGACAAAUUUACCAAGUAGCAAGCCAUGUUGGUAGCUUUUUCCUAGAAUACUUUAGAUAGACCAAUAUUAAAGAGCAUGCGUCAUGCUUUUUCCAAAAGUGUUCCAUUCAUUCGCUCUACAACACCAUUUUGUUGUGGUGUUUUAAUGAUAGUGUGAUGUCUAAUAAUUCUGUAAUUCUUAUAGUAUAGAUCAAACUCACUUUUGCAAAAUUCCAAAGCAUCAUCUAUUCAAAAGCACUUGGUCUUUUUCUCAGUCUACUUCUUAAUCAAUGCCUUCCAUUGGAAAAAGGUGGUAAAAACUUCAAUUUUUGUCGUUAGAAAAUAUGUUCAAACUUUCCUUGAAAAAUCAUCAAUGAAAGUCACAUGUAUAAUUAUCCCCCUUUUUAUGCCAUUGGAGAAAGACCUCACAAAUUUGAAUGGAAGUAGUCUACUAAACUCUUUGGGUUGAUGAAUUGUAGUGCUAAAUUUCACUCGACAUUGUUUGUUAUAGACACAAUGCUCACGAAAAUCUAGCUUUCCAAUUUUUUAAUUACACAAUAAACCACACUUACUCAAUUAUAUUAUUCCUUUCUCGCUCAUAUGGCUCAAUCUCAUAUGCCAUAAAUGUGUAACAUCAUCGUUAGGAUCAUUAGAUGAGACAAUGGAAUUAAUUCCACUAAUCGUGCUUCCCACUAGAUGAUAAAAGGCCACUGCAUAACUUGCCUUUCAUGAUAGGUAAGGCUCCUUUAUAUACCUUAAAGACACUAUCUUGACCAUUAUAUUUAUAGCCUUUCUUAUCUAACAAACUCAAGGAUAUCACACUUUUUUCAUGUUAAGGACAUGUUUCACCUUAAGUGUCCUUAUCAUACUAUCAAACAUCUUGAUCUAAAUGGUGCCAAUCCUAAAAAUUAAGAGAAAGAAAUCAUCUUUUAUUGUACAAUGCUUAUAUCAACAAAAUAAUAAAUUGUAAACUAACUACACUUGGGACAUAUGUGGAAGUAACAACCCAAAUCCAAGAUCCACAUAUCCAUCAGGUCACCAUUGGUAAUUGUAAGAACAUUAUAGGCUUCCUCAAAAGUAUCAAGGUCAUCUUCUACUACAUUUUGCAGCAUUCUUAGGCUUCUUGAUAUUUUCAUCACCCUCAAAUUUGAUACAAUCUUAAUGGAAGUCCCUUUUUUACCACAAUUCUAGCGAGCUUUCCCUCUUGCUCUAAAUUUACCGUUUUUGUCUAGGCCUUUCUCUUUACCUCUUUCUUUAUUCACAAUUAGGCUUUUGCUUGAUUUUAACUCUAAGUACCAUUAACUUUAUUCUUCAAUUCUUUGAGGUUUAAAUACGCUCUUUUAUCUCAAAAAUGUGUCUCACCCAUAUAACAUAGUAUCCACGAAGUUUUCAUAUGAUAAAGGUAAAAAAUACAGAAGAAUUAGUGCUUCGUCUUUAUCAUCAAUUUUAAAGUCAAUAUUCUUUAAAUCAAGAAUUACUCUGUUAAAUUCAUCGAUGAUGGUGUCAAUGGACUUAUCUUUAAGCAUUUUGAGAGUAUACAAUCAUUACUUCAUAUAAAGUCAUUUCUUCACUAAUUUGGUCAUAUAAAUAUUCUUGAGUUUAAGCCACACUACACUAGUAGAUUCGUCAUAUGUGACUUCUCUUGGCACUUCAUUAGAUAAAGCUAGGAGAAUAACACUAUGUGUUUUCUCCAUAAAGUUAUCUUUCUCACCAUCAAAUAGGUUUAAGGGAAAAUCGUGUUUUCCUUUUAAUGCCUUUAAUAGUGUUUGUUGCACUAACAAUGCGCACAUUUUAACAUGCCAUGGGCUGAAAUCAUUUUAUAGGGUCAAGUACAAUAAUCUUUUAGUAGUCUAAUUAGGAUAUGUUAUCUUAGUCUAGUUAGAAUUAAAAACUUGCUCAACAAGGUAUAUUAGUUUAACUAGAAUUAAACUAUGCUAGUCAAAUUACAAUUCAAGACUAUCAUAACACUAUAUCUAGAGAAAUUGUAACCAACACAUAGCUGCCAUAUUCCAACCAUAACCGCACCCCUUGGCUAAAGGAAUCUUAAGCAAUAAAUAGCAAAUCACAAAACAACAUCACAUAACAUCAAGCAACAACGAAGAUUUAAGGGCAACGCGCGUUAAAACAUGUUCAUUAUAAUUACUUGACGCAUGCAACUAAAGUCUACUAUGAGUGACAUUUAGGAUUUAAGUGCAUUAUCAACAACAAGUUCCUUAUGCGUUAUGUUGCUUUGUAGUUGAUUCAUAACAGCAAUUUUAAACUAUUCACCAUAGCCUGCAUACAUCUAAUCACUGACUUUAAGCUACUUCAAUGAUAGCUAAUCACCACCAACGUAUGUCAUUGUCUAUAUAAACCAACCUUAGUGAACCUAUCUUGCAUAUCAUUUGCUCUUGUGAUAUAUGUCAGAUUUGUCAUCUAUCCAUCUUCGCUUUUAUACUUUCAAUGGACAAUUUGACAUUUCUCACUGUCCACCAUGAGGAUUAGGGAUCUUCUCCCAGUUUACCGUGUUUGUGGAUUUGCUCUUGAUUAUAAGAUUUUGAGAUUCGGCCCAUGUGGAUGUGGCAAAGACCACAAAAGCUUCUUUGAUGGCCAUGAGUACUACAAAUUUAAGCCCCCAAUGCCAAUUGCUGUAAAGAAUAAAAGUAUUACCAUCCCUACCUCAUCCCUCAAGAACCCCCAAUACCAACCUCUUCUGAAUUACCUCCCGCUGAACCAUCAACAUUAAAUAUUAAACAUAAGAGAACCACUAAGAAGACAUUUCCACACAGUAUCAAUCUUUCGACAUUUUGUUUUUCUCAUCACCAUUGUGACAUUGGGAAAGAAGAAGAAAUUUGAAGCUGAAUUUUUAUCCUUCGUCCACUUUACUUUUAACACCGUGCAACUCUCAAUUUAAUCACCUUGAAUAAUUGCAUCAAGUCUUAUGUUUUUCCAUUAAAUAACAAGUAGUUCAUACAUAGCCUUGUGGAUCAAAUAAUCCCAAAGAAUGCCAUUCGCCAUAGCAAGGUGCCAUCUGGAUUCGAGCCGAUAGAAUUCCAAGCCAUAAGGAACUGAGAAGCCUUACAUCGGAACAUCCAACUUGAACCCCAUUUAUUACACCACAUGGACCAUAUCUUCCAUGCUUCAUGGCAUGUGAAUAAUAAAUGGGCCACGGAUUCAUUCACUUCAUUGCAAAGCAAGCAUACUACGCUAUUAUCAAGCAAUCCUCAUUUUACAAGUUCCUCUUUCAUAGCCUGCUAUUUUUCCGCUCAAGACUUUCCACGCAUAUAUCUCAACUUUCGAAAGGGCCAAUCCCUCCCACACUCGCUUCUACCUGUCAGCAUUAGGUCAAUUUCUACCUAGACCGUAGAACGUUCUUGCAAAAGGAUUUGUCAAAAUAUUUACCACUUUGGGAUUAUUUCCAUAUCAUGUGGUCUUGUAAUUCCUUUUGUAGGAACACUCUUUGAGAAUUUUUUACAUUGGUUCCCAUUGUUUCACCUCCUAGUCAAACAAUCUACAUCUUAAUUCUAUAUUCCACUGCAAUGUGUUAUUCACCCUAUCUCCAAAAUCUUCGAUCAAACCUGGUAUCUUUACCACUAGUGCAAAGAUCUUAGGAAAACAGAUUUAAGGAUUAUCCCUUGGAUCCACUCAUCGUUCCAAAAUAGGAUUUUAUUUCCAUCCCUAACAACAAACCCAAAACCAGAGUGUCCCAAGGAAAUAAGCUGUUAGAGGGGCAAAUGGACCUUAUGAUGUUAGCCCAUGUAGUUGAGAUCCCUCUUCUAAACCAUUGCAUUCAAAUUCCAUCCCUUUCUCAGAAAUGGCCAUUCCCCACAAACUCAGCAAAUACUCUGUUUUUUAGCUUGAGCUCCACCAUGCAUAGUCCUCCACAAUCAUUAUAAUUGCAUAUUGUACCCCAAUCGACCAGGUGCAUUUUUCUCUCUUUUGCUGCCUUACGCAUAGGAACCUUCUUUGAGUGACGUUGCCAAAAAAUAAACAAACUUGCUUCAAUGACCUAUGAUUAUAUUUUAAUGAUUUCGCCAACGUAAAUGAAACAUGGCAUUGCUCUUACAACAACCAAAUAAAGAAACAAACUACAUGUUUUUUUUUUUUUUUUGCUAAAUCAUCAAGAGUUUCAUUAAAAGAAAGAGACAACACAACUCCAUGGUCCUACAAAAAUAUUGAACCAUGGAUUAUAAUGAGAAGUAUUUUGAUGACAGGGGAAUAUCACCUAAACGGAUCAAAUAUAUCAAAAAAUCAUACAACCCAAAGAGGGGCACCAAUAAGAUAUUCGUAAGUUCCAGCAACAAAGCACAACAUCAAGCACACAAAUGGCCUAGAUCUGAAACUGCAGUAGAAAAGACAUGAAAACAAGGCAACCAAUUAUUGCGGAGGAAAACACAACCUUACCACCAUGCAUGUAAUCGCCUCACCUUGGAAGACAUAAAUGGCAAAAUGGCGCAGGGAGUAAGAUAAAUGGAUAAAAUAAAAACUCAUUCAAGAUUGUUUGACUGGUGAUCAGAAGCUUACGUCUAAAACAAUUUAUUAACAAUUUGUUUGACUGGUGAUAAGCUUGUAAGUGAGAUGACAUACAAAUAAUGGUAGAAAAUUUAAUGGUUGAAAUUCAAAAAAGUUCUAUAUUUGGUCUGAUUGUAGAUAAAAAUGGGGCUCCACUUUCUUUUAGCUGUGAUGAAAGGAAAUAUAGUCUAAUGGAAAAUACUCUAACGCACCAGGUUAGGAGCUCUAUUCCCUCAGGAUACUUUCCAAAUAAAGUGAUCUGUCCUUUUAUGGUCGCAUUCAUUGUCAAAUCAACGAAAUCAGUGUCAUAUAUAAAAUCAAAGAAAGAUACUUUAAUUGAUAAAGUAAAAGGGAUACUAGAGUCCAUGGGACUCUUAUAAAGAAAGUUAAUUUAAUUGAUAAAGUAAAAAUAAUAAAAAUAAUUGGGGAAGAUUUUAAUUUAAUUGAAAUUGAUAAUGAAAAUAAAAAUAAGUGAAAAUAUUUUAUUAUGAGUAUUUAGGUCUAUCACUUUUAUCACUUUUGGAGUUCACUUUUGAUAUAGAGAAGACAAAUUCAUUUGGACUAGAAAUUCCAAAGAAAUAGAAGAACAUUUAGUGUUGCACCAAAAUAUCUAAAUUACUUUUUUUUAAGGGGCAAUAAUGCCUUUAUUCAAAAGUACUAAUGUGUUUCAAUACUUUUCUUGACAAGGAGGAAUUAUCUUACCAAGAAUUUUGCUGGGGAUAUCUUGCUUGGUUGCACUUGUUACGUACAAAUUGCGAAGAAGACAUUUAUCCAUGGAUGAUACUAUUGAAGAGUUCAUUCAAAGUCAACAUAACUUUAUGCCUAUUAGGUACUCUUUCCGUGAAAUAAAAAGAAUGACAAGAGACUUUAGAGAUAAAUUAGGUGAGGGAGGUUAUGGCUCAGUCUUCAAAGCAAAGCUUCGCAGUGGCCAUUUUGUGGCAAUAAAAUUAUUGAAUUCAAAGGCAAAUGGGCAGGACUUCAUUAAUGAAGUUGCAUCUAUUGGUAGAAUUCAUCAUGUUAAUGUGGCAAAACUUAUUGGCUUCUGCGUGGAGGGAUCAAAACAAGCUCUUAUAUACGAAUUCAUGCCAAAUGGAUCUCUUGAUAGAAUAAUAUUUGCAAAAGACAAUAAGAUCACUUUAAGUUGGCAAAAAAUGUUUGAUAUUGCUCUUGGAGUGGCUCGAGGGAUUGAAUACUUGCAUCGAGGAUGUGACAUGCAAAUUCUACAUUUUGAUAUCAAACCACACAAUAUUCUUCUGGAUAAAAACUUUAUCCCAAAAGUUUCAGACUUUGGUCUUGCAAAAUUAUAUUCAGUAGCUGAUAGUGUUGUAUCUCUCACUGCAGCUCGAGGUACAGUAGGAUAUAUGGCUCCUGAAUUGGUCUACCAAAACAUCGGAGGUAUCUCAUAUAAAGCUGAUGUUUAUAGUUUUGGAAUGUUAUUAUUGGAAAUAGUAGGAAAGAGGAAGAAUUUGGAUACAUUUGUUGAACAAUCAAGUCAAAUUUACUUUCCAUCGUGGAUUUAUGACCAAUUUGAUCAAAGAGAUAAUAUAGAGUUCAGAGAGGUAACAGAUGAUGAAAAGAUAAUAGUAAAGAAGAUGGUGAUAACAGCCUUUUGGUGUAUACAAUUGAAGCCUAUCGAUCGUCCUUCAAUGAGUAGAGUAUUGGAGAUGCUUGAAACUGAUAUUGAGUCACUCGAAAUGCCUCCCAAACCUUUUCAAUAUCUUCUUGACACAUCAAGUGAAGGUGAUGUUACUGAGAAUCCAAUAGAUGAAUCUACUGCAUCACUUCAUGUUGCAAAUUUAAGUAUAGCUUAAAUAUAGUGUAAGCUAGUGAACGUUCGUAUUAUUAUAUAUGUUACCUAUGUUGUUUGUAGCCAGAAAAAGGAAGAAAAGUUAAAAAAAUUCUUAUCCGUGAGUUGGCUAAUUCGUUAAAUUCUUCUCCCACUUUGGCAUCAGUUGACUUUUUUUUCUCCUUUCUUUUUGACUAAUGCAUCAAGGACUUCGAUUUCUAAAGUACUUGCUUUCAUCAAAAUGGUUGUUGGAAUAUUGAAGAUAAAAACGAUCCCAUGCUUCUUUGUUUCCUUGACUUAAUCGUUAAAACUUGUUAUAGCUGAUUCUCGCUCUUUCUCAUCCAAAUUUUAGCAUGUCGAAGUCAAUAGCAGAACUGCCGUUGUUUAGCCUCAUGACCCUUUCCUUUAUUUCUAUUCCCUAAUGCUUGCCUCGCUAGAUGUGAAAAAAAGGACUUCAGUGUCUCUUCUUUGUGUGGAAACCUUGCCAUCAUUUACCCUUUCCGAUUAAAACGUCAACCUAAGUGCAAUGACACAGAUUAUAGGGUUGAAUUGGAGCGUGAGAAUGAUAAUCGCAGCAUUUGGGUCAGGAAAUAUGGGAAAUUCUAUGUCAAGGAAAUCUUUAUUCUAAUUUUACGAUCCGAUUGGUUGAUGGUAGUCUGGAUGCUGAUAAUUGCUCUCUUCCUCGUACUUCAAUGCUUUUGAUUAUGAUUCUCCGUGUGAGGCCAUGUGUUUUUUUACAUCCAAACCAUCCUAAUGAAAUAUUUUAUUUACCUGAUAGCAAAAUGUAUCUUGUCAAUUGCACAAGACCACAGCAUUAUUCUCUCCACGUUGAUGCCUCUCUUUCCAUCCACCUUCCUACAUUAACUUCGUAGAUCGAAAAAAACCGCCAAGCGAUUACAAUCAGUGUUGCAUUGUCAUAUCCGAGCACCUUCCAGUUAUGAUUCAGAAUGUCACAGGCCUGUCUGGUUUGGAUAUGUACGAAAGUAAUUAAUUGGCUUUGAUUACUCAUGGGAAGACCAUGGUUGGAUUUUCUGGGAGGACAAACCUUCAAUAUUUCGUACGAUGUAAGCAUUUCGAACAUUUCAAUUCUCUUUUCUUAGGUUGGGACUUAACAUUCUAAUUUGGAAAAUUGUAGUCUAAUAAUUAUUUUAUAAUGAAAAGUUUCUUUUUUUUCUCCAAUUUAGAUAAUGAAAAUUUUGAAUUCUUGUCAUUGUAAGUUUGCUGAUUCAAACGACAGUUAAUAUCAAAUUAAAUUCAGCCUUAUUAUCUCUCACUUUUAAAUAAUAUUAGAUGUGCUAACAUAAUGUUCUUUGCUUUUGCAUGGUAUAUUAUCUGCCUUGGAAAUAAGUUACUUGAUGUGUUGGAUAUUGUAGAUUGGCAUCGGUGAAAAGUAUGCCUUGACAAACCAUAUUUCGUUUAUGUCAUGGUAUCUUUCUACAGGUACGUAUAUUAUCGUCUUGGAAUUACAAGUAAUUUUAGCUUUGCAAUUCUAUAUACAGGGAAUGGAGAAAUAUCAGUGUUCUCGCUUGUUUACAACUAGGGGAGCAUUAAAAUGUUACACGAAUAUUACUUUUUGAGGAUCCAAUAAUCAUUUGUCAUUAUAAACCAUGGUCAUUCAAAUAUGCUAAUAUAUGUUCCAAUAAUUUUCUUGGAAAGGAGGUUUUGUUAUAUCGGGAACUUUGCUGGGUAUCUCUUGCUUGAUUGCACUUGUUAGAUACAGAUUAUGAAAGAGAUAAUUAUCUGUAGAUGAUACAAUUGAAGAGAUCCUUGUAUGUCAGAAUAACUUAGUACCUAUUAGGUAUUCUUAUUAUGAAAUAAAAAGAAUAACUAAUGGCUUUAGAAAUAAAUUAAGUGAAGAGGAUUAUGGUUCAAUGUUUAUGAAAACUUUGUAGCAACCAUAUCGUGGCAGUAAAGUUGUUGGGCAACUCAAAAAUUAAUGGGAAAGAUUUCAUUAAUAAAGUUGUAACAAUUUAGAGGAUUCAUCACAUUAAUGUCGCAAAAAGUUAUUGGAUUUUGUGUAGUAGAAUUAAAAUAAACUCUUGUACAGGACUUCAUGCUGAAUGGAUCUCUAGAUUAAAUCCUAUUUUCAGGAGAAAUAAGAUCACUUUAAAUUUUCGAAAAAUACUUGAUAUUGCGUUUGAGGUGGCUCGAGCAAUUAAAUAUUUACUUUGGGGGAGUGGCAUGUAAAUUUCAAACUUUGAUCUUGCAAAAAUAUAUUCAAUAGAGAAUAACAUUGUGUCUCCCAUUACAGCACAAGAUACACAAUGAUAUAUUGCUCCUCAGUUGGUACAAAAUCAUUUAAGAUAUCUCAUACUAGGUUGCUGUUUAUAGUUUUGAGAUGUUAUUAAUGAAAACUGUAAGAAGGUGAAAAUUUUUUAAUACAUUCAUUAAACUAUCAAGCCAGAUAUCCUUUCCAUCAUGAAUAUACUCCUCAGACUUUUCCAACUUUCUUUUGAAGCAUCAAUUGAGAAUCAUGGUGGUGAUAAUCCAAUUGAUGAGCCAACUAAAUCUGCAUGCUCUGAUCUUUAAUUAAUCUCACCUCUAUAAGAGUAAUUCUUCACAUGUAGCAUAUUAAAAGUAAUAACGAAACUAAAUUACCUUAUCAUGGGUAUAUCAUAAAUUGUUUUAGUGAUUAUCAAUGCAAAAUGCAAUUAUCAUCGAUCAUGACAUAUGACACACAUAUAAUUGAGUCCAUAAUAUUUGAAAUCACAACCAAAAUCAAGUAGAGGAAAUUGUGAGAAAAGGACUUCGUGAUAAGGUGAUUUUAAAAAUAACCACCUAUAUAAAGUUAUCUAUUUCUAGCCAAAAAGAAGCAUGAGUAGAUCAAAAUGUCCUUAAAAACAUCAUUUCAAAUAAAUGCUUAGCUAUUUGAACUAUCUCCCUCAUGCCAGAGAGAAAUAAAAAUAAAUGCUCAGCUGUUUAAGCUCGAUCAUCUUUCUCUCUCAACUCUGCCAAGUCUCUGUUGAGCACCAUCGUCGUCAGCUCUUUUAGAUCUCUGAACUAUACGAGCUUUGUCAACUCUCUAUUGAGCACCAUCGUCAUCGGGCUGUGGUCUAUCUCUCGGCAUCCGGCCAUAUUGUUGUAGAUUAACAGACCUUAUAGCAGAGAUGACAUCAAGGUAUUUGUUAUUGGGUUUAUUGCUGCAACACACUUAAAUUUCUGAAACAUUUGGUGUAAAUUAGAACAUGGAUUAAAAACAUUGCCCAAAGUUGUUACAUGAUAUGCAUCUAUAACAUGUGUUACCAUUAUUUUAGCGUGUCACGACAUUGGUUAUAUGCAUGGCGUGUUAUAACAUUUUACGUUAUAUGCAUGGCGUGUUACCACAUUUUCUAUUAUAUGCAUGGCGUGUUACCACAUUUUACGUUAUAUGCAUGGUGCGUUACAACAUUUUAUGUUAUUUGCAUGGUGUUUUAACACAUUUUACGUUAUAUGCUUGACGUGUUACAACAUUUUAUGUUAUUUAAAUGGCAUGUUAGCACAUUUUACGUUAUAUGCAUAGCGUGUAACAACAUGACUGAUAAAAUUUUGAACAUGGCAUGUAUUGUGUAAAAUGAUUAACAAAUUUUUUUUUUUUCAAAAUUUCAGUGGGGUUCCAAUUGUGCGACUUGUGAUAAGACACGGUGGUCAGUGGGUGAAUGGCAUUUACAAAGGUGGCGAGUCAAGAAUGCAGGGGGUUAGGAGUGAUUUGUCGUUUGUCGGCUUGAUGAAGUUGGUUGAAGAUGUUGUUGGGGUAAACUUAGAAUUUAACGAGAUUGAGUUACAUGCAUUGAUCAGUACACCCGGAUAGCUAACACGACCAAUUAUCAAGGAAAAUGAGGAUGUUGCAUUAAUUCUGCUAGAACAGAGGAAUGUUCCAGUUGUGUAUGUCAGCAUUAGGGGACGCAGAACAAAUGAACAACAUGGUAAUCAGCUCAAUCAAAAUGAGAUUUACAAUGCUUCACAAUUACCACAACAUUCACAGGAGUUUGUGCAGCCUGGUAGACAAACAACAUUCACAGAAUAGUCAGCUGCAUAAUUCCAAUCAGGAUGUGCAUCAAACCAAUUACUUGCUCUUGUCUAACAAAUGCAACGAUCGGGUGGAAUUGUAAAGUGUGUAAUGCCAUUGUCAAAUGAGAAUAGGACAGUUGAGGAUAACAAUGUGAGGUUGGAGGGUGACACUGCGACGCUGAAGGAUAAUACUACAUUUGAUAAGGGAAAUGAGGAUUUGUUCGCUGCCGGUGAAGAUAGAUUUGAUCACAAUUCAGAUGAUCGGCUUAAAGAAUGGCAUGAUGACAGUUCAGACGAUGACUGACUUUAUGACAGUGACAUUCCAAUUCCAAAUAAUGUUGAAGGUGAAACGGAACCUGUUGGAGGUGUUGAUGUAGGAGAUGUUCAGUGUGAUGACGCCAUAUACAAUAACCCCAUCACUGGUGAGAACGGAAUUCGUUCCCUUGAUACAUUAGUCGAUGACAGUUAUUAGCAAAAGGGAAAUGCAGGGACAUCUCGUACGUGGUAAAUUGCAGGUGCAGAAAGGUUCUCCUUCCAAACAAUUACCAUUGAGGAGUCGACAUGUGCCGAUGAUCGCUUCUACAAAAGAAGGAUGUUUAUGAUAAGAGUAAAAAGGUCAUGUCAAGGUCGUUAUGAGGUUGGUUGCAAGGACAAAGCAUGCAAGUCCAAUGUCCGUGGAACAAAGUUACCUGACAAAGGAGAAUAUUGGCAAGUGCGGACGUUCCAUAAAGUACACACCUGUAUUGUUGAUGAUUUGCAAGGGCGAUUUCCAACUACGAGUGUGAAGAUAAUUGGUGAACUUAUGUCACACAAGCUUCGGGCUAAUGGAGUCGCAUUAAGACCUAAGGACAUAAUGCGUGAGAUGAGGGUUCAGUGGGGAUUGGAAUGCUUGUAUGGUAAGGCUUGGCAAGCGAAGGAGUAUACGGAAAGGCUUGUUUUCGGUUCACCAGAGGAGUCAUUUCAACCACGACCAUUGUAUUUUUAUAUGUUGGAACAAGAAAAUCCUGGGACAGUGACUACAGUGGCUACUAAUGAGGUAGAAAGAUUCAAGUAUUGUUUCUAGUCAUACGGGGCUUGUAUUCGGGGGUUUAGGGAUGUAAUGCAUCCUACGGUUGCAAUUGACGUGACAAAUCUCAAAGGCAAGUUCAAGGGUGUUCUGUUUGUCGCUGUAUGCAAAGAUGCGAACGAGUGCGUAUAUCCAGUUGCGUUUGGCAUCGACCAUGUUGAGGACAAAGACUUGUGGACGUGGUUCUUAGCAAGCUGCGUGAUGCGGUUGGUUUUCCUGAAAACAUUAUGUUCAUUUCUGAUCAACAUCUCAGCAUUAAGAAAGCAAUCCAAAAUGCAUACCCAGAAACGCACCAUGGUUUAUGCGGUUACCACUUGAAAAAAAAACUUUAAAAACAAGUUCAAGUGCGAUGAUAUUUGUAUGUUUUUCACCCUUACUUGAUAUUGCUAUAAGGUGACCGAUUUCAACAGACAUAUGAACCAGCUACAGUAAAUUCACUCGGGAGCCCACGCUGGCCUUAUAAGAAUAGGGCCUGAGAGAUGGACACGUGUAUGUUCACCAGCAAGGCGAUACCAAAUGAUGACAUCCAACAUUGCGGAAUGUGUUAACUCAUGCUUGAAGCAUGCAAGACAAAUGUCGAUCAGUGUUUUGAUCGAGUUCAUCAGAGACAUGUUCCAACGUUGGUUCCAUGACCGGUACGAGGAGGCUGUCAAGGUGACCACACCCCUCAGACCUUGGGUUGCCAGGCACUUGAGCCUACGGUUCAAUGAUGCACAUCACUUUGUAGUUAAGCCUAUCAAUAGAGUGAGUUCGAAGUUAAAGACGGGAAGAUGGACGGACUUGUAAACUUGUCCACGAAGACCUGUUCAUGUUGUGAGUUCCAAAUAGAUUUACUACCAUGCAGCCAUGUCAUUGCAGCAAUAAGGUCAGAAUAUCUUUAUUUCUUAUUUGAACCCUAAUUGACAUAGCAUUUACAUUGUGCUUAAAGAUUGAGUUUAUUACAUUUUUCAAUAAAUGCAAACGUGAAGCCAUUGAAUUCUGUGCUGAUUACUACAGGACAACCGUUUUGGUGAAGGGUUAUUUAGGAUCCACUUGGCCGGUAGGGCAUCUUAGUGAGUGGGACAUCCCCCCUCAUGUGAAACAAAUUGUCGUCUUACCACCAACUCGGCGAGGCCAAGCGGGAAGACCUAAGAGGAGAAGGAUUCCAUCGGCUGGUGAAGGCAGUCGAGCACAGAGAUGUUUGCAAUGCAAGAGGUACGGGCAUAACAGACAAAAUUGUCUAUCCCUAUUUGCAGUUCCAUCCACAAAUCUGGCACAAUCUCCAAGUGAAUCGGCACCUCCACGAAUUCGUCGACCCAAAGCAUGUUCAAGUUGUAGACAACCAGGCCACACACACAACAACUAUCCAAUACGAAGGACAAUGUCUGAAAAUGUAGGGUGUGUUGUGGAUGAAGACAGCUUGUCCACCUAACUAAAUGUGUAACCCAUGUGCAAUACCUUUCUCACAAUUUCCCUUUGCAGUAUCUUACAUUCAUUCAUAUUUUUUAGUGUUUGUUAGUUUCCUCUUGUAGAUGAGUUUUUAUUUUUUUUUCUUAAUUUUGCAGAUAGAUUAUUUAAGUAUUCAUUUCAUUUUGUCCGUAGUUUUGAACACUGAAUAGACUUGUGAAGUCCCUAUACUGUUACCUCAUUUCUCACAUUUUAUUACCACUUGUAUUAAACAAUUAAUGAUUUGAUUUAAUUCCUUUCUAUUUCAUUUGAUUCAACCGUUUAUGUUCUUACAAUGAAAUUCCUUUCUAUUUCAUGAGUAAUUAAAUUUUGCCAAUAUCAAUUAGUCGACUAAGAGUAUUCUACCUGCAAGUCUUGUGGUGACAUGAUACAAAAUUAAUAAAAUUAAGGAAAGUUUUAAAAAAGUCAUACCUGUUAUAAGAAAAAUAAACUAACCUGAUAUUUUAAUUGUUAUUUGGGGGAUUUCGGCUCUCAGAUGCUUAUCCAUACUCAAUAUUAAAACCCACUAUAAGUGGUCGCAGCUGCAUUACAUCACAAUGACUCUCCAAGAGAUGGGGGAGUACAAUGCAGUGAAACGUACGUGCUUCGAAAUGCUAUUGGAGGUCUAUCCACAAGCUUCUUCUAUCAAACUUUGACCUUGCUUGCAUGGUUGAGUUGAUUGUAGCCUGAUACAGUUUUCCUAGUACCCCAAGGGAAGCAUACAUGGGUUUGUCAACCUUCUGCAUGAAGUUUGGAAACUCCCUUGGUUUCAAAGAUCGAGGCAUCUCAGUUGGUGCUCCUGUCUAUGCAAAAUCAACAGCCAUAUAAUGAAGAGUUGCCAAUUCUAGGUCCAUGAUUCGAGGUCUAGAUCCAGCAUAGAAUUGGCAACUCUUCACUCUAUGGCUGUUAAUUUUACAAAGACAGGAGCACCAGCUGAGAUGCCUCGAUCCCUGAAACCAAGGGAGUUUCAAGACUUCAUGCAGAGGGUUGACAAACCCAUGUAUGCUUCCCUUGGGGUACUAGGAAAAUUGUACCGGGCUACAAUUAACUCAACCGUGCAAGCAAGGUUAAAGUUUGAUAGACGAAGCUUGUAGAUAGACCUCCAGGAGCAUUCCAAAGUUUGUAUGCUUCACUGCAUCAUAAACCCCCAUAUCUGGGAUCAGUAAACUGUCAAGAUCCUCAUACUAUCUGCGUUGGAUUUGCAAAACAUGGCACACAUGCACCAGUGAGUUAAGCCAUAAUGUGCAACAAGGUAAACCCAACAAAUAAAUAAGGAAUAAAUGUUGUGACAUGCCAUGCAUAACAAGCAAAAUGUUGUGACACUCCAUGCAUAACAAGCAAAAUGUUGUGACACGCCAUGCAUAACAAGUAAAUCAGUUGUGACACGCCAUGUAUAACAAGUAAAAUGUUGUGACACGCUGCGCAUAUCAAGUAAAAUGUUGUGACACGCCAUGCAUAUCAAGUAAAAUUUUGUGACACGCCGUGCAUAACAAGUAAAAUGUUCUGACACGUCAUGCAUAACAAGUCAAAUGUUGUCACACGACAUGCAUAUCAAGUAAAAUAUUGUCACACUGGCACGCCAAUAACUAACUAUAAUAACAAUGUCGUGACACGGUAAACACAAAAAACCAGUAAAACCACUACGACUUAACCCCAAAAACCAUUCAUCCAACCAGCGAGAAAACCCAGUCUAAACAUUUGCAAAACAAAACAUACAAAAAACACGAACAUAUCAAACAAACCCAAUAAAAAAGCAAAAACAUUAACAAAUACAAGUGUAACUUUUUUUGUUUUUCCAUAGACUCGAGCUCAGUAAUUGUCAACUAAAAGAACUCAUGACAUUUUAAUUUAUGUUCACAAUCUAUUUCUUUGUCAUGCAUGUGAAGUAGAUCCGUGCUCAUGCAAAGUACAUGGGAAUUCCUUUAUUGGGUGAUGAGGUGUAUGGAAGGACAAAGAGCAUGGACUUAUCAUUUAAACAAACCCAGGACUCCCCCUAACUAUAAUGACUAACUUUCAUGCCAUUCUUCUAUGAUCUGAUCAAUGUUGGUUGGAUUGAGACUGAACGAAUCAUGGGAACUAGUUUCCCACUUUAAACAGGGUCAGAAAAGGGAAAAAAGUUUUGUUUAUUAAGAAUUUCGGGACGUAGAUUUCAAGUGGUCCAAAGAAUGUUUUAAUUUGAGACUCACUUACCUCUUCACUCAUAGCCAAUAUUUUUUAUGUUGCUGUGAUGUCGUUACGCUUGCAAAGAGCCUUGUCGAACAUUCCAGUACCAGCAGGAAUGAGAAAUGAAUCACACAAACGUUAGAAAUUUUGACAAAUAACUGUUUAAAAUAAAAAAUGACUUUAUAAUAUUCUCAUUUAUUCGUUUCAUUUAUAAAUUAAUUCAGUGGAAGUCCAAACGGUUACCAUGUUAACUGCCGACUUUUUUUUUUUAAAUUCAGUUGAAGUCCAAAUGGUUACCAUGGUGUGUCAGCUGUUCAAGCAAUGGCAUGUCACAGUCGUGUCACAAUCGUGUCACAUAUUCUAACCGUGGCGUGUCAUAAAUUCUAAACCCUGUCGUGUCACAGUCGUGACACGUUGAGUGCAAGCAGAUUUAUGGCGUGACAAGGCAGCAUCAUGGGGUGACACGCGAUAGCCCAAUUGUUAUGAAACGUCGAGUGGAAGCAGAUUUAUGGCAUCACACGUUGAGUAUCUGCAAAUUUAUGGUGUGACACAGCACGACCCAAUUGUUCUGACACGCUGAAUGGAAGCAGAUUUAUGGGCUGACACGCUGAGUGUUAAUGGAUUUACGACGUGACACGUUGACUUCUUAUAAAUUUAUGAGGUGACACGCUCAGUGCAAGCAGAUGUAUGUGGGGACACGCUGACUGGUAGCAAAUUUAUGAUGUCACAUGCUGACUUCUUGCAACUGUGUAUCAAAUUAAAUAUAUUGUGUAUACAAAAGAAAAAAAAAUUUUGGUAUCAAAUUAAUUGUGUAUAGGCAAAAAAAUUAAUUGUGUAUAAAAAUAAUUGUAUAAAAUAUAUUGUGUAUACAAAAAGAAUUAAUUUUGUAUACAAUGAAUUGUAUAAAAUAAAUUGAGUAUACAAAAAAAUUGUAUAUAAAAAUAAUUCUCUAUACAAAAAAAAUGUAUAGACAAGGGCCGAUAUGUUCAGGGUUUGCUCUCACAACUGUUGGAAAAAAUUUCUAAAGUAUAUUGCCAACGUAUUUUUGCAAUCAUAUUCUACUUAACUCUGAUCUGUUCUGAUUGCAAAAUAUGGUCCAUGUACCCUAUCAUGAACAUACCGCAGCUGACACUAUCAUUUUGCCGAUGCACUUUAUGUUUGGCAAAUGAAUAUCUAAUGGCAUCGAGGUCAAAUCCCGUCUCUUUCGACAUCUGUUGUUGAAAUAACUGGCUUGGUGGCAGAUGAUUGGCAUCAUUGUCGUCAAGGGUGUCAUCUGACCCGCACGAACUCCGUUAUCCUUAGCAUCCGCAGUUCUUACGAAGUCCAACACCUUGAUCGUCUACCUCACUAAGUCGAUCUUCUAACCACUCAAUGCCCACCAACGUUGCAAAGUGCGAGGAUGAAAUCCACAUCUUCCCAUUUUUUGUCGUAUGUCGGCCUUUCACCCUUCACGUAUCCCCGCAACUCAUUUGGAAUUUGCAUUGUGGCCCGAGCAUCUUCUAUUGGAAAUUUUGUGUGUAGCAUAUGGAUGGUGUCCUGUGAAACAUGUAAACAUUAGCUUACACUUCAUGCAAUCAAAAACUUAGUAUUUAUAGAAUUGAACAAUUUUUAAAUAAACUUUCGAAGAAUGUAGUAAACCACUCAUGCACGGGUAGUGUACAGCUUCGACUUCGGCCUUGUCAUCCGCUUACAGAGUACGCUGAGGCAUGCGUCAAUAAGUUCACUUGUCAUUUCCUGAUUGGGAUCCUCUAAGGUUAUGAAAAAGUCAGCCCCUUGAUCCCCUAAGAUACCGACGUUACGCCUGCAUAUGUAACAUAAUGAAUUUCAUAAGUCAUUAAUGUUAUUUGCAAUAUUUGCAAUGUUAUUUAAUGUUUCAUUAAAAAACAAUAUUUGCAAUGUUAUUUAUGAGCUUACCUCGCGGACUCGUCUUUCUUGAAAGCUUCAUAGGCUUCUACGAUUGUAUCCUUCACAUCUUGACGGCUCACUAAGGGGUCGACAUACGGGUUUGCCAUGUAUUUGCUUGCCAUUUUUAGCCGUGCUCGCUCAGUUGGGUUUGAAAUUUCUACUGCACCAUGAUGGACAACAGAUGACUCUGGUGACGACGACCGUGUCUCAACUACAUCAGGAGUGCUCUGAUGAUAAAGAACGAUAGCUUCUGCUGCUACCUCGAUGAAUGCAUCGACCGGAGGAAGAUGCUCUUCUUCAGCCACGACUAAGUCAAGGUCCCCUCCCAUCCAGCAGAUGCGUCGAUAAUGGACUCGGGCAGAGGAACAUGCUCUCCUUCAGCAUCAUCUGAUUGAAGGGUGACAUCCACUGUCACAACUUCAUCGACAACGUCAUCGACAUGAGUUACGUGCUCUCCGUCGCACCAAGAAUGUCAUCGUCAAUGUGAACACUAAGUUCAUGAUGCUGCUCAUCAUCAGCAUCAUCGUGCUCCAGACCAGCACAUUGAGAUGGACCACCUUACAAAAUGGAAAAAACCAUUAGUUAGCUCAUAAAAGACCAUAAACCAUAACCAGUAAAAUGUUAUGACACGCCGUACUAAUCAAGUAAAAUGUUGCGACACACCAUGGAUAACAAGUUAAACGUUGUGACACGCCAUGCAUAACAAGCAAAAUGUUGUGACAUGCUAAGGAUAAAAAGCAAAAUGUUCUGACACACCAUGCAUAACAAGUUAAACAUUGUGACACGCCAUGCAUAAUAAGUAAAAUGUUCUAACACGCUAUGCAUAUCAAGUCAAAUGUUGUCACACGCUAACGCUGACACGCCAAUAACUAACUAUAAUACAAAUGUCUUGACCUGCUAAUCACUAAAAACCAGUUAAACCACAACCACUUAACCCCAAAAACCAUCAAACCUGCAAGAAAACAUAGUUUAAACAAUUGCUAAACGUAAACCACCAAAAUACAAGCGAAGAUAUAAUAAUGUACUUGUGAUUUAAGGUCGUCAAGAAUCCGAGCAACAAUACGGUCCUCAAGCGUCUGUAUUGCUAGAGUCAAUGACUGAAUUGAAGCCUUCAUCUCCAACAUCUCUUUUUCAUACUUGCGCAUGAUUCGUCAGAGCUGGCGGGUAGUGACUACUCCAUCAUUGACUUUUCUUGACUGGGUCAACUGUAAUAACAUAUAAAACUGUGCUAUUCAAUAAUCAUAUAUGGAAUUGUUGAACAUUAAUCGUUACAACUUUAAUAUCCUUACCGACGGCUCGUUAGCAGUCUACGGUGGAGCCAGAUCGAUCGGUGCUUAAGGACCUAUCGUCGCUUCCGUAAAUUGCAAUAACAAAAAUUAUUGUGUUACUCAAUAAACAUAUGUGGAAAUGUAGAACACAAAUCGUUAGAACUGAUCUUACCAAUGGGUCGUUUCCACUGUGCAUCUGCGGAGGACAGAUGGGUGGUUAUGGAGCUACCGGCACAUGGUUCAACUGCAAACACAAAUAUGUUAUUCGAUAAUCACAUAUGGAAUUGGAGAACACAAAAUCGUUAGAACUGUCCUUACCGAUUGUUCACUGCCUUGACCAUGGUCGUCCCCUUCGUCCAUCAACUCAGGGCCCGACAGCUCAUCAACUAAAGCUGCGGUGGUGCGCGUCUGCUUCGUGCCACCAGAGGCUCUUUUCUCCUUUUUUGCAUCGCACCUAAGCCUCAAUCUGACUGAUCCUCCAUGUGCCCUAUUGGCACGUACUCGUGGCCCUCCGAUAAUGGGACAUCAAGGUCCACAAAAUACUUCUGGCUGGCCUCAUCCACGGUGGGUUCCAACAUCUUCAGUGCCCACAACUACAAAUAAACAAAUAAAAUGUUGUGAUUAUCGAAUAGGGAGAAUUAUUAUACAAAUAUAAAGCAAAAAUUAGCAACGGUUCACUCACAUGCUUAGAUGACUCUAACCUCUGAAAUGCCUUAUAAAAGUCUUUUGGCUUCUUAUUGCAAUCCCAUCUGAACAUUCGUGGGUUGACGUUGUCCUUCGGACCAGAAGGGGCAAUUAUUUUUCAGAGGGCUGGAAUUACCUCCAUUGCUCAGAACUGCAAGUUAAAUGUAACCAUUAUUAGACCGUAAAUCAUAAACAAGUGCAGCCAUAAAUUAUUUUUUCAAAAAAAAAUUGAAAAAUGUUACGUGAUAGUGCCUGUAUCACCCAUGCGAAUCCAUAAAUGUUGUAGCGUAACCGAGUUUCCUUUGUCACGCUUGAGUCAGGCACUCGGAACCCCUUCGAAAGGUAGUCCAAGGUCAGCUUCCAAACAUAGUGCCCCCAUGGGAAAACAUUCCAAACGUCGAUGUCCUCCACCAAUGACAGCAACCAAGGCGUCACCCGUCUACGGUAGUCUUGACCAAAUAAAAUGUUAUUCGUGAUCAAGACGAGUGCCAUCUUGGUCGCGUCUCUUGGUCGCUGGAAGUUGCCCCACGAAACUUAUCAAGCCAAGCCUGCAACUUAAUGCUCUCCUACCCAUUCCAGUAUCUGGCAUGAAUUCUGUCUGCAGCAACCUCGUACGGUCGUCUGAACACAUCUGGCAUUGGACCAAACUUUAGCCUGAUGAUGAGGCAGAACUCCUGCUUUGAUAGCCGCGCUUUGCUCUUGCCAAUGGCAAACCAUAACUCGUGGUCCAUUGACUGGCUCUCAAUGAUCCGGUGAACCAUGAUGCUGUGCAGGAGAUCGACGUAAAAGUACCCUUGUGGAUAGAAGUCCAGGAGCAUUUCAAAGCACGUACGUUUCACUGCAUCGUACUCCCCCUUUUGUUGGAGAGUCUUUGUGAUGUAAUGCAACUGCAACCACUUACAUUGGGUGUUAAUUGCAACGUUGAACGCCCACUUCUCCCUUGGCACGAUCAGCAAACUAUCAAGAUCCUCAUACUGUCUGCGCUGGAUCUACAAAACAUGGCACACAUGCACCAGUGAGUUAAGCCGUAAUGUGCAAUAAGUUGUACUAAAGACAUAAAUAAGGAAUAAAUGUUGUGAAAUGCCAUGCAUAACAAGCAAAAUGUUGUGACACGCAAUGCAUAGCAAGCAAAAUGUUGUAACACGCCAUCCAUAACAAGUAAAAAAUUGUGACACGCCAUGCAUAACAAGUAAAAUGUUGUGACACGCCAUGCAUAACAAGUAAAAUCUUGUGACAUGCCAUGCAUAUCAAGCAAAAUGCUGUGACACGCCAUGUAUAUCAUGUAAAAUGUUGUCACACGCCAUGCAUAUCAAGUAAAAUGUUGUGACACGCCAUGCAUAUCAAGUCAAAUGUUGUCACAUGCCAUGCAUAUCGAGUCAAAUGUUGUCAAACGUUAACGCUGACACGCCAAUAACUGACUAUAAUAACAAUGGCGUCACAUGGUAAACACCCAAAAUCCCUAAAACCACUACGACUUAACCCCAAAAACCAUCAAACCAGCAAGAAAACACAGUCUAAAUAUUUGCAAAACAAAACAAAAAACAAGAACAUAUCAAACAAACCCAGCAAAAAAAUAAAAACUUAACGAACACAAGAAUGUUUUAAUUUGAGACUCACUGACCUCUUCACUCAUAGCCGACAUUGUUGCCAUUGUUGUGGUGUUGUUAUGCUUGCAAAAAGCCUUCUCGAACACUUUGGUACUAGCGGGAAUGAGAAAUGAAUCACACAGACGUUAGGAAUUUUGAAAAAUAACUGUUUAAAAUGAAAAAUGGCCUUAUAAUAUUCUUAUUUAUUCAUUUUAAGGGGAAUUAAUUCAGUAGAAGUCUAAAUGAUUACCGCGUAAAUUGCUCGUUUUUUUUUCCUCUCUCUAUUUUAAUCAUGACGUGUCAGUUGUUCAAGCAAUGCUAUGUCACACACUCUAAACGAGACCAUGGCGUGUGUAGACACUAAAUUAAAAAUAUAUAAAAUAUAUAUAUAUAUAUAUAUANNNNNNNNNNNNNNNNNNNNNNNNNNNNNNNNNNNNNNNNNNNNNNNNNNNNNNNNNNNNNNNNNNNNNNNNNNNNNNNNNNNNNNNNNNNNNNNNNNNNNNNNNNNNNNNNNNNNNNNNNNNNNNNNNNNNNNNNNNNNNNNNNNNNNNNNNNNNNNNNNNNNNNNNNNNNNNNNNNNNNNNNNNNNNNNNNNNNNNNNNNNNNNNNNNNNNNNNNNNNNNNNNNNNNNNNNNNNNNNNNNNNNNNNNNNNNNNNNNNNNNNNNNNNNNNNNNNNNNNNNNNNNNNNNNNNNNNNNNNNNNNNNNNNNNNNNNNNNNNNNNNNNNNNNNNNNNNNNNNNNNNNNNNNNNNNNNNNNNNNNNNNNNNNNNNNNNNNNNNNNNNNNNNNNNNNNNNNNNNNNNNNNNNNNNNNNNNNNNNNNNNNNNNNNNNNNNNNNNNNNNNNNNNNNNNNNNNNNNNNNNNNNNNNNNNNNNNNNNNNNNNNNNNNNNNNNNNNNNNNNNNNNNNNNNNNNNNNNNNNNNNNNNNNNNNNNNNNNNNNNNNNNNNNNNNNNNNNNNNNNNNNNNNNNNNNNNNNNNNNNNNNNNNNNNNNNNNNNNNNNNNNNNNNNNNNNNNNNNNNNNNNNNNNNNNNNNNNNNNNNNNNNNNNNNNNNNNNNNNNNNNNNNNNNNNNNNNNNNNNNNNNNNNNNNNNNNNNNNNNNNNNNNNNNNNNNNNNNNNNNNNNNNNNNNNNNNNNNNNNNNNNNNNNNNNNNNNNNNNNNNNNNNNNNNNNNNNNNNNNNNNNNNNNNNNNNNNNNNNNNNNNNNNNNNNNNNNNNNNNNNNNNNNNNNNNNNNNNNNNNNNNNNNNNNNNNNNNNNNNNNNNNNNNNNNNNNNNNNNNNNNNNNNNNNNNNNNNNNNNNNNNNNNNNNNNNNNNNNNNNNNNNNNNNNNNNNNNNNNNNNNNNNNNNNNNNNNNNNNNNNNNNNNNNNNNNNNNNNNNNNNNNNNNNNNNNNNNNNNNNNNNNNNNNNNNNNNNNNNNNNNNNNNNNNNNNNNNNNNNNNNNNNNNNNNNNNNNNNNNNNNNNNNNNNNNNNNNNNNNNNNNNNNNNNNNNNNNNNNNNNNNNNNNNNNNNNNNNNNNNNNNNNNNNNNNNNNNNNNNNNNNNNNNNNNNNNNNNNNNNNNNNNNNNNNNNNNNNNNNNNNNNNNNNNNNNNNNNNNNNNNNNNNNNNNNNNNNNNNNNNNNNNNNNNNNNNNNNNNNNNNNNNNNNNNNNNNNNNNNNNNNNNNNNNNNNNNNNNNNNNNNNNNNNNNNNNNNNNNNNNNNNNNNNNNNNNNNNNNNNNNNNNNNNNNNNNNNNNNNNNNNNNNNNNNNNNNNNNNNNNNNNNNNNNNNNNNNNNNNNNNNNNNNNNNNNNNNNNNNNNNNNNNNNNNNNNNNNNNNNNNNNNNNNNNNNNNNNNNNNNNNNNNNNNNNNNNNNNNNNNNNNNNNNNNNNNNNNNNNNNNNNNNNNNNNNNNNNNNNNNNNNNNNNNNNNNNNNNNNNNNNNNNNNNNNNNNNNNNNNNNNNNNNNNNNNNNNNNNNNNNNNNNNNNNNNNNNNNNNNNNNNNNNNNNNNNNNNNNNNNNNNNNNNNNNNNNNNNNNNNNNNNNNNNNNNNNNNNNNNNNNNNNNNNNNNNNNNNNNNNNNNNNNNNNNNNNNNNNNNNNNNNNNNNNNNNNNNNNNNNNNNNNNNNNNNNNNNNNNAUGAUAAUAAAAAAUAAAUAAUUGUAUUAGCAUAGCAUAUACAUAUCGCAUCAUACAUAUCAUUGCAUAUUAAUAUUUUUGUUUUCGAGUUUAAGCCCCGAUGAUGGGAUCUUUCGGGGAUCCUGCGAAGGCGGGUAUUUCUCGAAAAGUUCCUUAGGUGAAAAGAUGUCCUCGGGUCCCACCAGUAUGAUGGGAGGGCUCGAGAACCAUCUUUAAUAAAAGGCUUUUACCCGAAUUAGGUCCAUUAUGCACAAAAUAUUAUUUUAAAAAGAAAAUGUACGAUGACCCCGAAGACGGGAAUUAUUCGUCGAAUUUGCGAAGGCGAGUUUCUCGGAUAAUUCCCUAGGUGAGAGAAUAUCCCGAGUCCCACCAGUAUGAUGGGCGGAUUCGGAAAAUAUCCUCGAUAAAAGGUUAUUUGUCCGGCAUUUUUAUCUCACGCCAUGCAUUUCAUCUCGCCACUCAUUUGCAUUCCAUUUUAGGUUAAAUAGGAGAUAAAAUAAAAAUAAUAAUUAAGGAAAUCUAGUGAAAUUAAAAUUAAAGCCCAAUAGGAUAAUCUAAAAAUGGUACUGUUCAUGGAACGGGCGUUCGAGGGGUGCUAAUCCUUCCCCGAGCGUAACCGUACUCCCGAACCUAGAUCCAGAAAAUUGUAGACCGGUUUAAGGUUCUUUUCGGUGGACUUAAAAUUAAUUUAAGUUUGCAUCGAUUAAAAUCGAGUCAAUAGGUGGCCAAUCGCACCUAGUAAAAAAAAAAAAGAUUGGUGGUGACUCCUGGUUUAAUUUUUUAGUGAGUUUUCACAUUCACGUCUGGCGGUCGGGUUCCUGGACCCGCACGUUACGACAGCGUGCCAGCUUUUCAAGCAAUGCUGUGUCACACACUCUAAACAUGGCGUGUCACCAACUCUAAACUCUGGCUUGUCACAGCUUCCCUCCAUGGCGUGUCACCAACUCUGAACUCUGGCGUGUUACAAAUUCCCUCUAUGAGGUCUCACAAACUCUGAACGCUGGCAUGUCACAGAUUCCCUCCAUGCCGUGUCACCAACUCUGAACUCUGGCAUGUCACAAAUUCCCUCAAUGGCAUCUCACCAACUCUGAACGCUGGAGUGUCACAGAUUCCCAUCAUGGCGUGUCACCAACUCUUAACUCUGGCAUGACACAAAUUCCCUUAAUGGUUUCUCACCAACUCUGAAUGCUGGCGUGUCACAGCCGUGUCACACAUUCUCAACAUGACGUUUCACAAACUCUAAACCCUGCCUUGCCACAACUGUGUCACACAUUCUCAACAUGACGUUUCACAAACUCUAAACCCUUCCUUGCUACAAUCGUCUCACAUAUGGCCUACUAUAGCAGAACCAUUUCCUGCUUUGGACUCACAUCUUUCUCUUUUCAACUCACCACCGUAUCAAAGAUUUCUGGUUUCACAUCAUUAGCCAAGCUUUCCAUUCAUCACGACCGGUUUCUCGUUUGGUUUAAUAUCACUCUUCUCAUAUUAUUUGAAUGUCAUGUCCCAAAUUUCUGAAAAAUCAUCUCAUGCAAUAUUAUUUUGUUUUGCACAACCUUCGCAAAAAAAAAAAAAUGGAUGUUUUGCACAAAAUUUCAUAUUCGUAAAAUUCUUUGCAUAUUUAUUUUUUCUCAUUUUUUACCUAUUUGAGAGUGCACGUUAACGAAGAUAGCUCAUUAAGGGUAUUUUUGUCUCAAAAUUUAUUAUGGUGGUUAAAAACAGUUAAAAUUAUUUCGAAAGUUAUUUACAAAAACACGUUAUUUUCAAGAGCUAAAAUAAAAUUCCCUCAAUCAAGUAUAUAGCUAAAAUAUGUCAUGAAGUAAAAAUUAAAAUCUCUCUAUUUGACAACAAUAUAUUUAGAGCAACCGGGUUUUGUAGUACAUUCAAUAAACACUUGCAUGUGAAAUUUAAAAAUAAUUUUAAUAUUAGUAACAAAUUUGAAAACCUUCAGUAAAGAUCUUCAGUCAAGCACCCGACGUGAGCGAGUCGUACAGUGCCAGCAUGACGAGCCUCGAAGCUAAGGCGCCAGACGUUGCUUCCGGAGUUCCAGUAGCCAUUGACGUGUAGGCUAGGCUGAGAUGUGCCUUCCUUGACUAAUUGUUGGUCUUCAGAAAAAAAGACAAAAGAAGUUCUGAAAAUCUUAUCCAAAUGCUUGACUGACUACUUAAAUUGUCACCCACGAAUAUUUUGUCGUCGUUGCAUGUCCAUUCCUUCUUAUUUUUUACAAAAAAAAACUAAAUCAAUUUAUUUUAUUUAUUUAAAUUCAACUCAAAUUAAAAAUUAAAUCAAACAAAAUUUAAAUUUUUUUUACUAUUAUAAAUAAAAGAAAAAAAUUUAUUUAGUCUUUUUAUAUUAUUUUAUUCCAACAUAAUGUAAGUUAUUCAUCUAAAUUUGACUUUAGGUAUAAAUUUUUUUUUAUAGAAAGAGAAUUUAAACUUAACUUUUACAAAGAAGAUAAAUUAAUGUACAUAUUCUACAAUCAAAUAAUCAAGUAAGAAAAUAUUUAUAUAUUUUUUUACUUCAUAAAUUUUUUUACACUUAAAUAUUUGACUUAUUAAUAAAUAUAUCUAUCAUCUACUUAAAUAUAUGUAUUUUUCAAAUAUGUUUUUUAAUUUAGUCCCUCAAUUUCUCAAAUUUGUUAAAUUUAGUUCCUGUAUUAUAUAUUUUUAUUUAAUUUAGUCCAUAUGACGUNUACAUUUAAAUAUUUAAUUUAUUAAUAAGUAUAUCUAUCAUCUACUUAAAGAUUUAUAUUUUUUAAAUUUAGUUCUUUAACAUCUCAAUUUUAUUUAAUUUAAUUUUUAUAUUAUAUAUUUUUAUUCAAUUUAAUCCCUAUAACGUAACACACAAAAAAAAAUUAAUUUUUUUAUCUGUCACGUGGCACUAAUACGUCAACAUGUUAGUACUACAUCAGCAUUGCUAUGUCAUCAUAUUAAGGUCAUGUGACACUGUCACAUUAUCAAAUUGGUAUCACGUGACAUGCCACAUUAGCACUGAAAUUGUCUUUUUAACAGCAAAAUUAUAUGUCGUUAGUGGAAAAAAUUAAAUUGAAAUAAUUCUCAAAAUUAAAAAAUUAAAUUACUUUAAUUUUUAGUAUAGAGAUUAAAUUAAAUAAAAUACAUGAGUAUAUAAACUUGAUGAGUAUUUUGAUAUUUUAGUAUUUUGUCUAUGGAAAAUUACAUGUAAUUUUUGUUUAAAGGGACAAGUUUAAGUUUUUGUUUCUCAAAAAUCGUUCUUAUUAAAAAAAAAAGAAAAAAGUUAAGAGUUUUUGUAAUUUUUUUGUAAAAUAAAAAUUAAAAAAAAUUGGAUUUAGUAUUAAAAUUAAGUGAAAUAAUUAAUUAAUGAAUAAUAUUAUUUUAACUUGACUUGAAGUCUUCAAUCCACUUGACACAGGGCCCACAAAAAUUCAAUUAUUGCAUGAGUUUGGAUCUAGCCCAUCUGCUACUUGCAGAAACUGCUCUCCACAUUGACUUUGAUUUUCAAAGAUGAAGACUUGCUUUCAUUUACGGCCGAAAGAACAAUGUUUGUGCGUCCAUAUUUUCUCUUCGAUUAACAACCCUUAACACGUUAAUUUUGUUUAAUUUAAUUUUUAUAUUAUAUAUUUUUAUUUAAUUUAAUCUCCAUUACAUGUUAUAAAUUUUUUAAAAAAAUUUUGUGAUUUAUCACAUAACACUAUCACGUCAUUCCAUUAGUAUAAUGUGAUAUGUCACGUUAUCAAAAUGUAUCUUAUCAACAUAACAUCAACACUAACAUUAUCUCUUUUAAUAAAAAAUUAAAUAUUAUUAAAAAGAAAAAUUAAAUUAAAAUAAUUUUUAAAAUUAAAAAUUAAAUUACUUUAAUCUUAAAUAUAAAAGUUAAAUUAAAUAAAAUACAUAAAUACAAAGAUUUAAUGAAUAUUUUGAUCAAUAUAAAAUACUUCUCUGCGCUAUUUCCCAGAGACCACAUACAGAACAUGAAAAAGGGGAGCUUAGCACAAAAAUUCCUCUAUCACUCCCGGGAAGCAGAACUCCUUAACAAAAUCAUGGAUUCGUCUUUUUAGAAUUCCUGCAUUGCCAAAGCAUGAAGUCCUCCUUCCACUUCAGCCAAAGUAGAAUCUCCCAAGCUCCAGACAAAUGUACCAUUUGAAAAUCAAAUUUUUGGGUGAGAUAAUACGCGGAAACCAUCAAUUCCCACGGACUGCAUUGUAGAGCAGUUCCCACGGACAGCAUUGAAGAGCAGAUUUUGAUGUCCAAGCUUGGACAUAUUGACUGUCCUAGUUUGGUCAAUAGGCUCCACGCAUUUAGAUUAUGCCUCGGAUAGCUUUUGGGCUGCAGUAGGCAAUUUUAUCACAUUUGGUGGACACGUUAUGCUGGAUAGAAGCAUUUGGACAGCUUUAAAGGAGUUGGUGUAAAAGAUCGUCUUGGUUUCACAUUAAAUGUGGCUCUCUGGUAGCAAUGUUUGGGCUAGGAUAUUCAUUGUCUUACACACCAAACCGUGGGGUCCAACUGAAAUAAUAACUUGAUGGGCUGUUUAUUGGAUUUUUAUGUACCCGGGGACAGUUGUAACUUCGUCUUUGUGAAGUCUAGCUGGGAACAGACCUCCAAUCUCUUCAAAUUGGAUGUUUUUAGAAUUGGAAUUGUUUUUAAUUUUCUUUAUUUUAUUUUUAUUUUUAUAUAAUUAUAAAAUUCAAGUCGAUUUGACAUUGACAAUUAACAAAUAAAAUUUUUUUUUUGCAACUAAUAAAUCAAAACCAUAAAUACUCCCUCCACGCCCUUUUAGUUUUGUACCAACUCAGCCUCUCAUACUAUUAUUACGACAUUUCCUAGUCCACCACGCAUGAAAAAAAAAAAUUAAAAUCCAAGUUGAAGUUUUAAUAUUUUAUCCAUUGACAAAAUUUCAUGUAAUUUCAUGUAAUCGCCGAUCGGCGGCAAGAGAGGAAAAGGUAGCCUGCGGUGCGGCUGGUCUUGGGUGGUGGCCGGUGAAGAAGGAUUUGUUUAGAGAGGGUGGAGGCUUUUAGAGAGAAGUUAGAGAGUUUGGUUGGUAGAGAGAGAAAAUGGUGAAGUGAAAUGAAAGAAGAAAGGAAAAAAAGGGGUUUUAUAGCUAGGCUUGGUGAGCUCAAAACUACGUAGUUUUGAAGCUCACAAACAAAUCCUCUCUAACCUCCCUAAACGGCGCCGUUUUGCUGGUGGAGUAUUGGAACAAUAGGUCUUGGGGCAGAUCCACGGGGUUCUAGUGACGGGCUGGCUGAAGUGGGUUGGUCAUUUGGGCCGCUUUUAGCCCAUCAAGGUAAAUCCUUAACAUUGAUCCAUUUUGUAUGAUUUUUAUUUUGAGAAAUAUUAGGUAGAAUUAAUUUUAAAUUAUUAUAGUAUAAAAUUUUAUUUUAUUAUUUUAUGAUAUUUUAAGACUUAGGAGAUUUAUGUAAAUGAAAGAAUAUAGAAACAAUGGAGCAUAAAAAAAAAAUUAGUAAUAGAAAAUAAAAUAAAAAAUACAAAAUUCUAUGAUAUUAAUCACAACAUAAUAUACUGAUGAUGGGAUGAUCGGUCGGGACGUGAGAAAUAGUAAUCUCGGAUUAAUUUUUUUUAGGUUCGAAAUUCGAAUUAAAGCUCCACCACUAAUAUGAUGGGAAGAUCUUAAUUUUGAGGUUUCCAGAUUUUUAGAUAUCAAUUAUUUCAACUUCAUUUUCUAACUUAAAAUAGCAGGCACCGCCCUAAUAUUUAAGUAAGAAAGAAAAGUUCUUAACUUAUUGCAGAGCUUUGACUUAUUCCUAACAGGGAGUGUUACAGCCAUCGCGCGUUCAUUUAUUAGAUAUUUGAGUGCUUCGUCUGUACAUAUAUAUUUUCCUAAGACUUUUUAGCUUCAUCCUCAUUAAUCAACACGCAGUGAAAGAAAAUAUCAGGCACCGCCCUAUGGAAAACCAUUGCUUCAUUUUAAGUCUGACUCGUCUCCAAUAAAUAAGAAAGAAACGUUAUUAAUUUAUUGCGCGUUCACUGAUUGCCACAAAAAUGAUUGUUAGGACCUUGGCACGACAGAAGAUAUUUAAAUGCUUCGUCUGUACAUAUUUUCCUAAGACUUGUUAGCUUCAUCCUCCUAGUCUCACAGGUCACAGCCCAGCUUUCCAGAAUGCCAAAAGCACAACUUCCAUUGUUUGGCCUUAUGGUCGUCCUUGCUCUGUUUCUAUCCCCUGAAUCUUGCAUCGCUAGAGGCGGAAACAACGACUGCGGCUUUACUCUGUGUGGAGACGUUAACAUCAGUUACCCUUUACGAUUAAAAGGCCAGCGACGGGCGUGUGGUGAGAUUGAACUGGAGUGCGAGCAUGAUAACCGCACGACCUUGGUCGGGAAGUACGAUAAAUAUUAUGUUCAAGAGAUCUUUUACGAAAAUUCUACACUCCGAGUUGUGGGUGCAAAUCUGGGCAGGGAUAAUUGCUCCCUUCCACUCAAUCGGUUCUAUGAAGAUUUUCCCUUUUGUGGAAUUCCGUUCUUUGAUUUCAGUGGGUUCCCUGACCAUUAUAGCUUUAUGCAUCUAGUAAAUUGCACAACACCAGCAGAAUCUUCUCUCUAUGUCAAUGCCUCUCAUUGCCCCAGUAGCUCUUUAUCUCCACUCUCCUACUUUUAUUUUUUAGAUCAAGAAACCCAUCCACGAGAUUUCAAGCAAUCUUGCACGGUCGUAGCUGAGGUUCCAAUCAAGGUUGAGAAUAUCACAGGCCUGGAUUCUUUGAAAAUCUACGAAAAACUAUUAUUGGGCUUUGAAUUGUCAUGGUCCACGCGGGAAAGAUACUGCUCAAAUAAGCUUUCGUUCAAUCAAAUGUAAGAAUUUCCAAGCAUUUUAGAUUCAUUUUCUAAUUAGGCUGAGUUUGGUUGGUUCAUAAAUUUUUCAUUUGAAAAAUUGGGGUAAAAAGCUUAUGUUUUGCAAAAAUUAUAUUCUAAAUUUAGUUUUCAAGAUUUUGUUUUUAUGUUUUGACAUUAAAAACUUUAAUGUAUAAAAUUUACUAAAACUAUUUUUUUCUUAAAUUUUGUAAUAGAAAAAUAAAAUGAGAUGGCGAUAAUAUAUAAUUGCUUUGACUCUGCACUAACACUUUUACUUGGAUGUCUUAAACAUUCCAGAUUGGCGAAAAUUCGGGAUGCCUUGACAGACUACCUGAACAGCUUUCUAUAUUUUAUUAUCCAUCGACCCCUUAUAUCAGCUUUCAAUGGUUUUCCAGCCGAAACUAAUAGUAUGCUUUCUGGAGUUCAUUAUUAUGAUUUGCCUCUUCUUUUCCUUGUGUUGAAACUUAUACAUUUGUGGUCUUGGUUUUUUUUUUUUUGCAGGAACAUAUAUUAUGUGUAUUGGAAUAACAGGUAUGUUUUAGCUCUAUACUUGUGCAUAUGAAAAUUGACUUCUAAAAAUUAAAAGAGCUUAUGUUCCUUUUUAAUGUAAAAUUCAAAAAUCUAUAAAAGCUCUUUAAGGAUUUUGAAGGUGAAUGGGUAUACUAGAAUAAACUUGUUUCAGAUAUAGAAAAAGAAACAGCAGCCUUCAAUAAUAUGAUCAAAUAAUUAAAUUUCUAUUUCAAAAUUCAUUGCAGAAAUUAGUAAUUAAUUAUAAUGUUCUAAUACUAAAGCAAAGGGAGAUCUUACUAAGAAAUUAUCAAAUGCAGUAGAGAUUUCAAAUACUAGUAUUUAAUAAGGGAGCAUGAAACAGUUACAUGUAGAGUGUUUAGGGUUUAGUUAUAAUUACACUUUCAUUAGGUUAUAAUUAGUUAUAAAGUUCACUUAGACAAAUGAUAGCAACACAUAUAUUGCACAAUUUACGUAUAAUUUUUUGGGGCAAUAGCCCUCAUUCAAAAUAUAUAUGCUAAUUCAUUUUAAUGUAUUUUUCUUCAAAAGGAGGAAUAAUCUUGUCAAGAAUGUUGUUGGGGAUAUCUAUCUUGAUUGCACUUGUUACAUACAAAUUGCGAAGGAGACAUUUAUCUGUAGAUGAUACAAUUGAAGAGUUUCUUCAAAGUCAAAAUGAUUUAAUGCCAAUAAGAUAUUCUUACUAUGAAGUAAAAAGAAUGACUAGAAAUUUUCAAGAAAAAUUAGGUGAAGGUGGUUAUGGCUCAGUAUUUAAAGGAAAGCUUCGAAGCGGUCAUCUUGUAGCAAUAAAAUUAUUGGGCAAGUCAGAAGCUAACGGGCAAGAUUUCAUUAAUGAAGUUGCUACAAUCGGGAGGAUUCAUCAUGUUAAUGUGGCGAAACUUAUUGGAUUUUGUGUGGAGGGAUCAAAACAAGCCCUUGUAUAUGACUUUAUGUCAAAUGGAUCUCUAGAUAGGAUCAUAUUUGCAGAAGAGAACAAAAUCAGCUUAAGUUGGCAAAAACUGUUUGAUAUUGCUCUGGGGGUGGCUCGAGGAAUUGAAUAUUUACAUCAAGGAUGUGACAUGCAAAUUCUACAUUUUGAUAUCAAGCCCCACAAUAUUCUUCUAGACGAGUACUUUAUCCCAAAAGUUUCAGAUUUUGGUCUUGCUAAACUUUAUUCGGUAGAUGAUAGCAUUGUAUCUCUCACUGCAGCACGGGGUACAAUAGGAUACAUUGCUCCUGAAUUGGUCUACAAAAACAUUGGAGGCAUCUCGAAUAAGGCUGAUGUUUAUAGUUUUGGAAUGUUAUUAAUGGAAAUGGUGGGAAGAAGGAAGAAUUUGAAUGCGUUUGCUGAACACUUGAGUCAAAUAUACUUUCCUUCAUGGAUUUAUGGCCAAUUUCAUCAAGGAGAGGACAUUGAGUUGGGAGAGGUUACAGAUGGUGAAAAGGUAAUUGUUAGGAAGAUAAUAAUAACAGCUUGUUGGUGUAUACAAGUGCCACCUAACGACCGUCCUUCAAUGAGCAAAGUCUUGGAGAUGCUUGAAACUGAUGUUGAGCUCCUUCAAAUGGCCCCCAAACCUUUUCAACUCCCUUUUGAAAUAUCAACCAAGGAUCAUGCUGAUGAGAAUCCAAACGAGGAUCCAACUUCAUCACUUCUUUUUUCGAAUGAAAUUAGCUUAAAUAUAGCAUAAGCUAUGGAACUUUUCAUUUUAUUAUGUUAUUUUUGU
This 90525-nucleotide long non-coding RNA is filed under the name Theobroma cacao (cacao). RNAcentral's name for it is "long non-coding RNA (TCAC_LNC004344)". The record is from RNAcentral. Lineage: Eukaryota; Viridiplantae; Streptophyta; Magnoliopsida; Malvales; Malvaceae.